CACCAUCAUCGUAAGUGCUGGGAAACUUACCAAGCAAGUAUUCGGAUUCUUCGCUUACUAAAUUACUUUUACUCCAAGGAUGUUUAGCCAUUGCUUGCAGUCCUGCUAAUUCAUGGGCAACUUCCUUCAUUGUUGGCCUUUCCUCUCCCUUCACUCUCACACAUCUCCUAGCUAAAGUUGCUACUUCCAUAAGCUGCUCAACAUUUUCAUCAUUAAGCACUCGAGGAUCGAGAAUGUCGAGCAAACGGUCUUCUUUCAUCAAAGAAGUGAAGUACAUUGGCAAAACUCGAUUUUCCGGUCUUUUGAAACAUACCACUUUUUGUCCUGUUAACAACUCCAUAAGCACAACCCCGAAGCUGUAGACAUCACUUUUUUCAGUAAGAAGGCUUGAAAGCAUGUAUUCAGGAUCCAAGUAACCGAAAGUUCCUUGCACAAUUGUAGUUAUUUGUGCUUGGUCAGAUGGGAUCAAUCUGGAAGCCCAAAAUCAGAAACUUUUGCGGUGUAAUUGUCAUCUAACAGUAUGUUCGCCAACUUGUUGUCUCGGUGAAUGAUUGGAAUGGAAGCUGCAGAGUGCAAAUAAGAAAGGGCUUCUGCUGUUUCAGUGACUAUUCUCAAACAGGUCUCCCAUGAAAGAUAAGAGGUAGCAUCAUCAUUAUGCAAAUGGUGAAAAUGGGUUCUGUUGGUGAUAUAUUCAUAAACUAACAGCGGAACUUGGGUCUCCAAACAACAUCCUAGGAGUUCGACAACAUUCCUAUGGUUGAUUUGGUAGAGCACCAUUAUUUCAUUGAUGAAUUGUUCAACUUGGCUAGGAUCUCCAAUUAUUGACUUUUUGAUGGCAACUAUUUGAUUAUCAGCCAAUGUUCCCUUGUACACUGUCCCUUGCCCUCCCUGUCCUAAAAUUCUGCGUUCAUUGUAAUUGUUUGUUGCCUUCUCGAGUUCCUCAGUUGUAAAUACUUUAACAUCUUCACGGUACCCUUGUUUUGAAAGUUGUUCCCGCAACAAAAUGCCACCAUUUUGCUAAAAGUAAGGUUCUUUUAAUUUUCACCAAAUUAAAGUUCAUGUAUACAAUUGUACAUGAAACCAAAGUUCAUGUAUAAUUUUGAGAUUUAUCUCUUUUUGAUUUUAAUGAUUUAUAUUUCUCAUCAGCUCACUGGAGUUGACAACUAUAAUAUUUGCAGUCGUGCGAUGCGAAUUGCGUUGAUUGCCAAAAAUAAAUUGGGUUUCAUUAAUGGUACUUGUUCCAAAGAUUUAUUGGCAGAAGAUUUGUACUCAUAGUGGGAGCGAUGCAAAGCUAUCGUGUUAUCUUGGAUAUUGUACACGGUAAGCAAAGAGCUCUCUACAGGUAUCGUUUUUGCUUCAAGUGCAACAGCAGUUUGGCAGGAUCUUAGCAAGCGAUUUAACAAGACUAAUGGUUCAAGAGUCUACUUCUUGCAUUGAGAAAUUUCUUCUCAUCUUCAAGGAAUUUCUUUGAUUUCAACCUAUUUCACAAAGCUUAGGUUGUGAUGGGAAGAGUAUGAUUCCCUAGUUCUCGUUUCUUCUUGUGGUUGUGUGCAAACUAAACAGGUUAUUGAUCACAUUGCGCAGCAGCGUUUGUUUCAAUUUUUGAUGGGUUCAAAUGAAACUGAUAGUGUUGUUUGGAGUCAAAUUUUAUUGAUGAGCCCCUUGCCUAUGGUCAAUCAAACAUAUUCCAUGCUCGUGCAAGAAGAGUCACAAAGGCAGCAUGUAUCAGGUCUAGUUGUUGCUGAUCCUACCUCUUUAUAUUCAGCAAAUGUCAAUCCAUACAUAAAUCGAUUUAAUGGUGUGUGUGAUCAUUGUAAAGUUUAGGGCCAUAAGAGAGAAAAUUGUUAUAGACUAAUUGGAUAUCCACUUGAUUUCAAGUUCACUAAUAAGCGUUUUAUGUCCGGGGCUAGUGCAAACAACGUGGUAGCAAACGAAGGGACAGUGGUUGAUAGCAGUGUGCCCAACAGCAACAUUCGAAGCUCUCUUGGUGUGUUUCAAUCUCUUGGGUUCACACAGGAACAAUAUUAGAAAAUAUUAAGCUUGUUGAACAAAGAAUCUUUGGUCGAGACGACUACAAAUAUGGCAAUUGGGGCAAAUUUAGCAGGUAUGAGUACAUCUUGUGAAUGGAUUUUAGAUACUGGUGCUCCUAAUCACAUGCUUUCUAGCUUCCAACACCUUGAAUUUCCUAUUGCAUGCACUUCUAAUUCACCAAGUGUUCGUUUACCAAAUGACUCCUCCACACCCAUAACACAUACAGGAUCGUAUACCCUCUAUCUCGGUGCCACUCUUAAAAAUGUGUUAUAUAUACCUGAUUUUCAAUACAAUCUCGUUUUUGUUUCAAAACUUACCAAGGAUUUGCAUUGUUUUGUUACAUUUUACUCACACUUUUGUAUUUUCCAAGACCUCUCAAGUGGCAUGAUGAAGGGGAUUGGUAGGGAACAUGGCGGCCUCUAUAUUCUUCAUUCUUCCCUAGCUAUAGUAUCUUCAACUCAUGUACCUUCUUCAACAGCUAAUUCUUUUCAUACAACUCUCGGUAGUUCUUUUAUCUGGUAUGUGCGACUCGGCCAUGCUCCUUUGUCAAGGUAUUUAGUUCGAUGCUUAAUUUUGUAGCGUGUAUUUCCAGAGUUUUUUUAAGUUUUGAAAACCAAAUUCUAAUUUGUCAAAUUCAAAUAAUUUUGCAGUUUACAUUAAGAACACCCAAAAAUUGACGAAUCAAACAAAACCCAAAAGCAAAAACAAAUCCGAAAACUUAGUCCAAAAAUCUUAAUUUCUCAACCAAAACAAACCAUUUUAUGUGAAAACCAAUCUGAACUCCUGCACGCCGUCCGGUCCUAAGCCUGACGAUCAUUUGAAACAUACUAAACAAACGAGUAAGCUAGAUUGUUGCAUAUUGUGACUCGGAUUGGGGAACAUAUCUGAUGACUAGAAAGUCGAUUACAGGGUACUGCAUCAAACUAAGAGAUCCGCUCAUUUCGUGGAAGUCCAAGAAGCAAAACACAAUCUCUCGGUCAUCUACGGCAGCAGAAUAUCGAAGCAUGGCAUUGACAGUUGCAGAUAUAAUUUGGUGAAGUGGUCUGUUGGGAGAAGUUAGUCUCGACAAAUUGGAACCAACAAAAUUGUUUUAUGAUAGUUGUUGCGGAAAGGAUCGAUUCGAGAACUCCGAUAUGACUACAAGUAAAUUGACCGAAACGAAAAAUAAAGUGAACACAAGGAUUUACGUGGUUCGGCUUUAAUGCCUACGUCCACGGGCAGAGGCGAAAAGAAAUUUCACUAUAACAAGAUGAAGAUUACAAGUGUUUUACACUCAAGACACAACCCGAGAACCUCACAACUCUCAACCCCUAUAGAAAACCCGAAAGCUAAAAUCCUAGCUUUCAAAGAACAAGCUUUGCUCUCUCUUGGUUUGGGAUGAUCAAUAUGGCUAAUGAACCUCUCUAUUUAUAAGAGAGUUCAAGGACAUAAUUGUCCAAAACUUUGGCAAAGAUUUGUGGUUGAAAAUGGACACCAACAACCAUCCACUAAUCCACUACCACCAACAACCCACUACCAACAACAACAAUCCACUACCAAUUUUAAGCCAUUUCUUAACAAAUCUCCACCUUGGCUUGAAAUUUACCAAGCUGAACAUCAUAGUGAACUGGAUCACCUCUUCCAAACGCCUCUCUGGCGCUAAUCAAUCCCGAAUACCUAUCAAGUCCAAGCAAUGCUUGAACUUAUAUGCAGGGAUCACCUUAGUUAACAUAUCUGUAGGAUUCUUCUCGGUAGCAACCUUGCUGAUAACAAUGUCACCUUGCGUAACAUGUUCCCGAACAAAAUGAUAUCUGACAUCAAUGUGUUUGGUCCGUUCAUGAAACAUCUGAUUUUUAGUCAGAUGUAUGGCACUCUGGCUAUCGCAAAAUACAACAGUGAAAUCCUGUUGUAAACCCAAACUGCUUACUAGACCUUUCAUCCACAAUGCUUCUUUCACUGCUUCUGCUAACGCCAUAUAUUCCGCCUCAGUCGUAGAUAAGGCUACGGUAGACUGUAACACAGCUUUCCAACUAAUGGCUCCUCCAGAAUAAGUGAAAACAUAACCCGUCAGAGAUCUUCUUUUGUCCAGAUCUCCAGCAUAAUCAGAGUCCGCAUAGCCCGUGACACUGCUAGUGCAGUCACUCUGAUCAUAUACCAAGCAUAAAUCUGCAGAACCUCUCAAGUACCUGAGAAUCCAUUUCACGGCCUGCCAGUGUUCCUUGCCAGGACAACUCAUGUAUCUGCUGACCACACUAACUGCAUGUGAAAUGUCUGGACGAGUGCAAACCAUUGCAUACAUCACGCUUCCAACUGCACUCGAGUAUGGAAUGUGAGACAUUUGCUGCUUUUCUUCCUCAGAUUGUGGUGACAACUCUGCAGAGAGUUUGAAAUGUGGUGCCAACGGAGUACUCACAGUUUUCGCUUUAUCCAUGCCGAAGCGUUGAAGAACCUUUUCAAUGUAGUUCUUCUGCGACACACGAAGCUUGCCCGCCUUGCGAUCUCUGUGAAUAUCCAUGCCCAAAAUUUUCUUGGCAGCACCCAGAUCCUUCAUCUCGAACUCACCACUCAACUGCGACUUUAACUUGUUGAUUUCCGACAUGUUUUUGGAAGCAAUUAACAUGUCAUCAACAUACAGCAACAAAUAAAUGUGCGAACCAUCUGAGAGCUUCCGAUGAUAGACACAAGCAUCAUAGUCACAUCUUGUGUAACCAUGCUGAAUCAUGAAGCUAUCAAACCGCUUGUACCACUGCCUUGGGGAUUGUUUCAAUCCAUAUAAAGACUUCUUUAAUAGACAGACAUGGUCUUCUUUACCAGGAACUGUAAAACCCUCUGGUUGACGCAUGUAGAUUGUUUCCUCGAGCUCACCAUGCAAGAACGCCGUUUUUACGUCAAGCUGCUCAAGUUCUAGAUCAGACUUGGCCACCAUGGCAAGUAAUAUACGAAUGGAAGAAUGCUUUACGACUGGGGAGAAAACUUCAUUGUAGUCAAUCCCCUCUUUCUGAGUGAAGCCUUUAGCAACCAAUCGUGCCUUGAAUCUAGUUGCUUCAACCCCUAGGAUGCCUUCCUUUUUCUUGAAGACCCAUUUGCAACCAACUAUCUUCUGGUUACUUGGCGGCUUAACCAACUCCCAAGUAUGGUUCUUGUGAAGAGAUUCUAUCUCCUCACUCAUAGCAAUUGCCCACUGUGCCGACUCAUCACACGUGACAGCCUCAUUAUAACUGGAAGGUUCUAUACCAAUGGACUCCGCCACACUGAGCGCGAAAGACACCAGAUUAGCGUAACGCGGAUUUGGUUUGAUUUGUCUCUUCGUUCUUCCAGUGGCAAUGCUAUAUGGUUUUUCUUGAGGUGACUCAUCUUCAUCGGAAUCUUGCACCUCAACUUGAUCAUCCUGGACUGAAGUACCUUCCGUAGGAAUUGGAGCGUCCACCUGACACUCCACCUGCUUCUCAACACCGUGAUCUCCCAUUCUAUCUGACUCCUCCUUUUCCCGGGAAUUUGUGGUGGAUCGAAGCAUGGAUGACUCAUCAAAAGUCACAUCUCUGCUGAUGAUGAACUUGGACGAAACCGGAUCAGGACACCACAACCUGUAUCCUUUCACCCCUUGGCCGUAUCCAAGAAAUAUGCAUUUCUUCGCCCUCGGUUUGAGUUUUCCCUCAUUUACAUGAGCAUACGCAGGGCAGCCAAACACUCUUAAACCAGAGUAAUCAGCAGGAGAACCAGACCAUACUUCCUCAGGAGUCUUCAGCUCAAUAGCUGUUGACGGAGAUCUGUUAACCAAAUAACAAGCAGUAUUAACAGCUUCAGCCCAAAAUUCUUCACCGAGCCCAGCAUUUGAUCGCAUGCAACGAGCUCGCUCCAAGAGAGUUCUAUUCAUGCGUUCUGCAACUCCAUUUUGUUGUGGUGUUCGACGAACAGUGCGGUGUCUCACUAUUCCUUCAUUCUUGCAGAACUCAUUGAAUUCACCUGAGCAAAACUCCAAGCCAUUAUCCGUCCGGAAUCGCUUGAUCUUCUUUCCUGUUUGAUUUUCGAUCAAAGCUUUAAAUUGCUUGAAGUUGAUGAGAACCUCAUACUUGCUCUUCAGAAAAUACACCCAAACCUUUCUCGAGUAAUCAUCGAUAAAGGUAAGCAGAUAUCUGUAACCACCUUUAGAAAUUGUCGGAGAAGGCCCCCAAAGGUCAGAAUGGAAGUAAUCCACUGUGCCUUUUGUCUUGUGAAUCCCAGUGCUGAACUUUACCCGAGUCUGCUUACCGAAGACGCAGUGCUCACAGAAAUUCAACUUUCCUGUACACUGCCCAGACAAUAAUCCUCGUUUGCUUAGCACCGAUAAGCCUCUCUCGCUCAUAUGCCCGAGCCGCAUAUGCCAUAACUUCGUGGUGUCAGAAUCUAGAUCAUCUGAUGAUGACACUCCCGCAACACCUGUAACCGAGGAACCAUCGAGGAAGUAAAGGCCCCGCUCCAAAUUACCACGUAUCACAGUCAAAGCACCCGAGAAUACCUUGAGAACUCCACCUUCAGCAGAGUACCGAAAGCCUUUCUUGUCCAACGUACUCAAAGAGAUCAAAUUUUUCUUCAUUUCUGGAAUGUGCCGAACAUCAGUUAGAGUUCUAACAAUACCGUCAAACAUCUUUAUACAAACUGUGCCAAUCCCCAUGACUUGACAUGCGUGGUCAUUUCCCAUUAGUACUGAACCAGAAUGCUUCUCGUAUGUUGAGAAUGCAUCUUUCGAAGUACUUAUAUGAAAUGUAGCUCCCGUAUCAAGAAUCCAUCUCCCACCAGCGUAAGAGUCGGAUACUGCAAGAACGAUCUCGGCAUCACUUGAAGAAUCUGCAUCAGCUACAUUCGCACGAUCAUUUUGUUGCUCCUGUGAUUCUGAUUUCUCCUUCCUUUUCGGACAAUCUACCUUCAUGUGCCCGUACUUCUUACAGUAGUAGCACUGUAUUCUCUUCUUGGACUGCGAUCUAGGAUGGCUUUUACUUGAACUUCCACCCUUUGCCUUGGAUCUUCCUCGAGCAACCAAGCCUUCGCCUUCAUUGUUUUCGACCACCUUACCAGUGAUUUUCUUCCUCAACUCACUGGAACUUAAGGCAUUUUUCACCUCCUCUAGAGUCAGGUCAUCACGACCGUACAUCAUUGUAUCAACAAAAUUCUCAUACGAGGGAGGCAAAGAACACAAAACAAUUAUUGCUUGGUCCUCAUCAUCGAUUUUGUUAUCGAUAUUAUUCAAAUCCAUGAUAAUGGAAUUGAAUUUAUCCAGGUGCUGGGAAACAGGUGUACCUUCCUCCAUCUUCAGGGCAUAGAGUCUUUGCUUGAGGUAGAGCCGGUUCGUCAAUGACUUCGUCAUGUACUUGCUUUCUAACCGGAGCCACAAACCGGACGCGGUUUUCUCAUCCGCUACUUCUCGUAGCACUUCAUCUCCUAGACAUAGCAGAAUAGCACUAUGUGCUCUUUCUAGCAUGUCAUCCUUUUGCUCUUCCGAAAGCGUGCUUGGUAAUUUAUCUUUACCAGACAAUGCUUUUAGCAAUCCUUGUUGAACCAGCACUGCCCGCAUCUUGAUGCGCCAUAAACUGAAACUAUUUUUCCCGGUAAAUUUCUCGACAUCAUACUUAGUCGAUGAAACACUUGUAGCCAUAAUUUGGAACCUUUGAAUGAAUGAUAAUAUUUUCUUCCUGAUGUGAAAGAUCAGACAAAGCUGCAGUCACAGGGCAAUUCAGAAAAUAUUAUCACUCCUUCAACUACGCUCUGAUACCAAUUUGUUGCGGAAAGGAUCGAUUCGAGAACUCCGAUAUGACUACAAGUAAAUUGACCGAAACGAAAAAUAAAGUGAACACAAGGAUUUACGUGGUUCGGCUUUAAUGCCUACGUCCACGGGCAGAGGCGAAAAGAAAUUUCACUAUAACAAGAUGAAGAUUACAAGUGUUUUACACUCAAGACACAACCCGAGAACCUCACAACUCUCAACCCCUAUAGAAAACCCGAAAGCUAAAAUCCUAGCUUUCAAAGAACAAGCUUUGCUCUCUCUUGGUUUGGGAUGAUCAAUAUGGCUAAUGAACCUCUCUAUUUAUAAGAGAGUUCAAGGACAUAAUUGUCCAAAACUUUGGCAAAGAUUUGUGGUUGAAAAUGGACACCAACAACCAUCCACUAAUCCACUACCACCAACAACCCACUACCAACAACAACAAUCCACUACCAAUUUUAAGCCAUUUCUUAACAAUAGUCAAGUAGCCCUUCAGAGAGUAGCCAAUGUAUUCCAUGAACAAACUAAGCACAUAAAAACUGAUUGUCACUUUGUUCGGGAGAAAAUCAAAGGGGGGUUGGUUAAAACACAACACAUAUGCAUCAGUGAGCAAAUAGCAGGCUUAAUGACAAAGGCCCUCGGUGUGCAUCAGCAUGAGUAUUUGCUGUCCAAGUUGGGAGUCAAAGAUCUUUAUCACCCUCCAACUUGAGGGGAAGUGUUAAAGAUACUGGUAAUUGGGUGAAUAAUAGAAAAAUCUUUGUAGUAGUUAGAUUAGUUACUAGUUAAUAGUUAGUUGAACAUAUGCUAUAAAACAUCUUACUAUUGUAAUUUAAGAAUGAAGCAGUAUACUUUUCAUUCAGAUACAAUACUGGUCUAACUUGUAGUUCAUCAUUGUUGGACAUCUCCGACACUUUCAAUAUAUAUAUUUGUAAUUAUAUUCAAUUUUUUUAAAAAGAAAAACUGGUAUUGGAUAUUUGGUUUGCCAAAGUAAGAAUAUACUAUCAAGUUAUUUUGCUGGUAUUUUGUAAGGCUUAGCAAUCAAAUAUAGUAGCUUACUAAUAAAACCCGUUGAAAUCAUUAAACUGGAAUUUGGAACUCAUGCAAGCUUUGGAUAGCAAAUGAAAAAAAUUACCUCUAAUCUCAUUAAUGCAUGAAACAGGAUAAUGUUGAUGAUUAAUUUAACAACUAGGAUUUAUUUUAUUAUGAACGUCUUCCACGUAGUUUUUUAAUUUUUAUUUAAUUACUUAUAAUUUUACUUAAUUGUCGGUAUCACAGAUAAAGAAAUAUCAAUUUAAUUUGAGAAUUUUAUUUAGAAUUCGAAUGGAUUUUUUAUUUGGUAAAUAAAUUUUAAAAGAAAAUUUAAAAAAGAAAAACUAACAACCGAAAAUUCCAUCCAACCAAAUUGAAGAAUUUUAAUUCAAUUAAUUUGAUUUUAACAAUAAAUUAAUUGGAUUAAUAAGUUUUAAUGACUUAUUCAAUUUAGAUUUUUGAAAGAAUUUAUUAAAUUAUUUAUAUAUAAAAAAGGAAUUGACGAACCCACCCAAUAUACGCUUUCAAGUUUCACUCUCCCUUUCAUCUAGAGUUCACAGUUCUAGAGGUGCUCAUGGGCCGGGCCGAGUCCAGAAAAUUUUUUUGGCCCGUGUCCUAGGCCCAGGCCCGGUCCAAGAAAAAUUCCUAAGCCUAAGCCCGGCCUGACCCGACCCGACCUAUAUUUUAAUAAACACCAAUUUCUUUUAAAAAAUAAAAAUAUUUUAAAAAUAUUUUAAAAAUAAAAAAAGUAUUUUAAAAAUAAAAAAUAAAAAUAUAUAUUUAUUAUAUUCGGGCUGGGCCGGGCCCAGGCCAAAAAAGUGGUGCCCGAGGCCCGGCCAAUUUUCUAAACGGGCUUCAUUUUUUCCCAAACCCAUAUUUCGGGCCUAUAUUUUUACCCGAACUCUCUCAUAUUUCGAGCGGGCCGUCGGACCGGGCCAGGUCGCCCGGCCAUGAGCACCUCUAGUUCACACUAGCAAUGCCUCUAUUAGAGAAUAGGAGUUGUUAGUUAGUUAGUGAGUCUAGUAUGGUUGUUGCUCAAUUCAGAGUAGUCACUAAAGUCUAUAAAUACUGUACAUUAAGAAUUCAGAAGCAAGCAAGUUUGAAUAAACAAACAAGAAGUUUAUUCUAUUAUUUUCUCCAUUUCACUCUCUGUCUGGAUAGAUAUUUCUUCCUUUUUAUCUAGUUCUUUCAUGGUAUCAUUCGCCAAUUGAUUCUAGUUAUUGUUUCUCAUGGCUUCUGCUGAUUCCGCAUUUGGUGAACCUAGCUCUAGUGUGUUUGCUGCCGAUCGAGUCACAACCGUUCUUCCUCGACAUGAAGUGGUCAAACUCGAUGAAGGUACUUAUCUUCAAUGGCGUAAACAGGUAAAACUGAUUGUUAAUGGCUAUGGACUCAUAGGUUUCUUAGAUGGCACUGUUGCUCCGCCAUCACGAUUCGUUAUUCUAUCCGAUGGCUCUCGUGCUCCAAAUCCGACGGCUCAGGUGUUUACGCAGCAAGAUCAGCUGCUGAUGUCCUGGCUUUUGUCUACUGUAACUUCCUCUCAUCAAUCCUCCUUUGAUGAUACUUGCACGGCGUGCGACAUAUGGAGUAUGGCCAUUAAUCUUUUUGCAGUUGAUACGGGCGCCAAGUAGUCGAGGAUUCGGCAUGAGCUUCACUCGUAGAAGAAAGGUAAUCUUUCUAUUAAGGCAUAUGUUGCUCGGAUUAAAGAUUUGUGUGCUAUGUUAGAUGCUUUUGGCUCUCGUAUCUCCGAUGAAGAGAAGAUUAAAGUGGUGCUUGCGGGUUUACCGUCGAACUUUGAGGCAGUUAUCUCCUCUGCUCGAUUGUCGCCUGGAGUUUUUCCGUUACAACGUUUGGUGGAUGCGUUAGUCGAUUGUGAGAAUCGCCAAGAUCGAGUGUUGCAGGAGGUAAGUUUGAACGCGAAUCUUGUUCAAAAUGAGCCGUCGAUGGAAGGGGCCGGUCGUGAAGGCCGUGCGUCUGUUCGUGGUCGUGGUCAAUUCUUCAAAUCUCGUGUUCAAUGCCAGAUCUACAGUCGAUUCGGUCAUGUGGGUUAGAAAUACUAUUAUCGGUAUCACCGAGACUCGAAUGAAUCAUCUGGUGUUGAAGGUUCUGAUUCUGGAGUUUUUGUGCAAAAUGGUGAAGACCAGGUGGUGGCUCCUUAUCAGAAAAGUCAAAGAGUUUUUUAUGGUCAAGGGAGUCAUGGUGGUCAAAAUAGAUAUGCUAGUCAAAAUGUGUGUGCUGGCAUGCAAAAUAGGUCAUUGGCACGUGGGCCACAUGUGUCUAAUGCACAACAUUAUGCCUACAAGCCCAAUUUGUGCAAAUUCGGUCAUGAUGAAGGGCAAGGAUAUAAUGGAGACACGUCACAUGGUUUUACUACUGGAAAUGGACAGUGGCAAGGUUAUAAUGGAAACAAGUCACAUGGGCCAAAUAUUCAACAUUCCUCUCAUGGGCCGCAUGUUCAAUUUAAUGCUGGGCCGAAUAUUGUACCAUCCUCUAAUUUUGUUCAAGUUGAUCAAUAUGAUCCUGGCUCACCUGAACCGAUUGGUGAUGGACUAGGUAUUGGUGGUCCGGUUCUGCGAUUUACCAAACCGCGUGCUCAGGCCUAUACUGGGUCUGACUCAUGUAUUGGGCUUCCUCAGCUAUGGGACUUACAUGCGUCUGAUUAUUCUGAUCCUUCAGUAUCAGGCUCUCAUGUUAAUACUGCUCAACUUGGAUCUAGUACUGGUAAUGAUGAUUCGUGCAUUCUAGUGUGCGGUGGCACCACAUCUUGGUAUCCUGACUCGGGAGCGAGUCAUCAUGUCUGUCGCGAUGUGUCAAUUUUACGUGAUGUCACGCCAUAUUCAGGUAAGUCAUCUUUUUUAAUGGGCGAUGGUACUCUUGCGGUAAUUUCGUCAAUUGGUACUGCUAUUUUACCUACUCAAUAUAAAUCGUUACGGUUAUCAAAUGUUUUAUGUGUGCCAAGUAUACGGAAAAACCUCUUAUCCGUCUCACAGUUUGCUCGUGAUAAUGGUGUGUUUUUUGAGUUUCACCCUACCUAUUGUGUUAUUAAGGAUACGGUGACUCAGGAGAUAUUGCUGACAGGCCGUAUUCAUGAUGGUCUAUAUCAGUUUUCUCUGCCAGUGGUUUCUACUUCGCCUACGACUGCUCCAUUUGUUCCUCAUUCGCAAGUUCCACAUACAGUUUCGACUACUUCUGUGUUUGCUUUAUGGCAUAAUCAUUUAGGCCACCCGUCGACUUCUGUGGUCAAAAAUAUUCUAAAUAAAUGUAAUGUUGUUUCAAAUAAAACUAGUUUGGAUGGUAUAUGUAUUGCAUGUCAAAAAGGCAGGUCACAUAAGUUGCCUUUCUCCCCUUCGACUAGUAGCUAUCGUCCUUUUGAGUUGGUUGUGUCUGAUCUUUGGGGUCCUACACCUGUUGCUUGUGGUGAUAAGAGAUAUUAUGUUUCAUUUAUUGAUAUGUGUACUAGGUUUACUUGGGUUUAUCUUUUACGUUAAAAAGCUCAAGCACUAGAAUGCUUUACUCAAUUUUAACAAUUGAUUACAACACAGUUUGGCAAGUCUAUUAAGCAGUUCCAAAGCGAUUGGGGAGGUGAAUACCGUGGUUUUACGUCUGUCUUAGAAUCUCAAGGGAUCAUACAUCGACUGACCUGUCCGUGUACUUCAGAACAAAAUGGAGUAGAUGAGCGUAAACAUCGUCACAUUGUUGAAAUGGGUAUUACAUUGUUGGCUCAUACAAAUUUGCCUAUGGAAUACUGGGGGUAUGCGUUUUGUUGUGCGGUUCAUCUUAUAAAUCGACUUCCUACUGUUUUACUUCAUGAUAGUUCUCCGUUUAAGGCACUAUAUGGAAGUGACCUGACCUAUGAACAUCUUCGAGUGUUUGGCUGCUGUUGUUAUCCUUACUUACGUCCGUUUGUAGGUCAUAAGUUGGAAUUUCAGUCUCAGUCGUCUACGUUUUUAGGCUACAGUCCUCAUCACAAAGGGUAUCAAUGUCUUUUACCAGAUGGUAAGGUUAUAAUUUCAAGGCAUGUGGUCUUUGAUGAGCAAAGAUUUUUGUUUGCUGAGACUAGUCCAGACAAGUCUGUAUCGACAACCAGUCAGACUAGUUCGACGGUUGUUCCUCUCGUGUGGCCAUCCUAUUCCUCAAAUCUUGAGCCUUGCAUGAUGACACCGUCUUUACAAGGGUUGCAGUCUCAGUCCACUGAUCCUGUAUUAGAUGUUAAUUUGGAGCAUCCCCAGUCUCAUGAUUCUUCAGCUGAUGUUGGGACUGGGUCGGGUAAUCUUCCAGCAGUGCAUGGCUCAGGAUCAUCAAGUGAUACCAAUGCUCACUCCCAUUCUACUAUGAGAAUGUCUACAGGUGUUUCGUCGGCAUCUGAUAGUCAGAUUAGUCGGACACCUGUAGGCAAACUCACCCAAUGGUCACUCGAGCUAAAGAGGGAGUUUACAAGCCUAGGGUUUUAAAUGUUGAAGCUGUUGAACUGACUACAAUUGAAGAAGCCUUGGCUACUAUUGAGUGGCGUGCUGCUGCGCAAGAUAAGUAUGAUGCUCUUAUGCAUAAUUCCACAUGGGAGCUAGUUCCUGCUCCGUCUAAUCGUAAGGUCAUUGGGUGCAAAUGGUUGUUCUGAAUCAAGAAGAAUUCUGAUGGUACUAUUGCUCGACAUAAGGCUCGAUUAGUUGCAAAAGGCUACUCUCAAGUUCCAGGUUGUGAUUUUAAGGAAACGUUUAGUCCAGUGGUCAAACCGGCUACUAUCAGAGUUAUUUUGUCUAUUGUUGUGUCUAGAGGGUGGUCGCUUCGGCAAGUGGAUGUGAAUAAUGCGUUUCUAAAUGGCGAUCUUGACACUGAAGUUUUUAUGCAUCAACCUCCCGGUUAUGUUUAAUAUGGCUCAGAUGGCAGACCUUUGGUGUGCCGUCUGAAGAAAGCGUUGUAUGGUCUUCGUUAGGCUCCUCAUGCCUGGUUUGAGAAGCUAAAAGGAUUUCUAGUCUCUGUGGGGUUUGUGGUUUCAAAGUCUGAUGCUUCCUUAUUUGUUCGAGUUGUGCCAGCUUCAACAUUGUAUGUUCUUGUGUACGUUGAUGAUAUUAUUAUUACUGGUGAUGUACCUUCUCUUAUAGAGUGGUUUGUUAAAUUGCUGAAUAGUGAGUUCUCGCUUAAGGACAUGGGUGAUCUCUAUUAUUUUCUUGGGAUAGAAGUUAUUUGUUCUUCGUUAGGUUGCCUUCAUCUUUGUCAGAAGAAGUAUAUACGUGAUAUUCUUAUACGUUGUUUGAUGGAAAAUGCGAAGAGUGUUCAUACACCGAUGGUUAGUUCCUCUAUUAUGACUAGAGAUGGUGGUGAGCAGUUAGAGGAUCCGACUGAAUACAGGAGUCUUGUAGGAGCAUUACAGUAUGUCACUCUUACGUGGCCUAAUGUUGCCUAUGCUUUAAAUAGAAUAUGUCAGAUUAUACAUUGUCCUACUUCCAUUCAUAUGACCGCUCUGAAGCGCAUUUUGAGAUAUCUAGGUGGAACGAUUGAUUUUGGGAUUGUGUUUCGUCUGUCCACCGUUUUGUCCUUAGAUGGAUAUGCUGAUACAAACUGGGGAUUAGAUUUUGAUGACCGGAGAUCCACUACUGGAUACUGUGUUUAUUUCGGACAUACACCUGUGUCGUGGUGUACGAAGAAACAACAGGUUGUUGCUCGGUUUACUGUUGAGGCAGAAUAUCGAAGACUUGUCGCAGUUACUAGUGAGGUUACGUGGCUUUUAUCGUUACUUCAAGAAUUACAUGUUCAGUCUAAUAGUAUUCCCAAUAUUUGGUGUGACAGUUCUGGGGCAGUUGCGGUUGCUGCUAUCCUGUUCUCCAUUCAAAGUUUAAGCAUGUUGAGUUAGAUUUAUUUUUUGUUCGUGAGAAGGUUGCUGAUGGUCCUGUUGCCAUUGGCGAGGUUCCAGCGUGUGAUCAGGUAGCUGAUGUUCUCACUAAGCCACUUUCCCUAUCGAGUUUUACUCAUUUUCGGAGUUUUCUACGGGUCUUGCCUGUGGAGAAGAUGGAUGAAUAUUAGAGAAUAGGAGUUGUUAGUUAGUUAGUGAGUCUGGUAAGGUUGUUGCUCAAUUCAGAGUAGUCACUAAAGUCUAUAAAUGCUGUACAUUAAGAAUUCUGAAGCAAGCAAGUUUGAAUAAACAAACAAGAAGUUUAUUCUAUUAUUUUUCUCCAUUUCACUCUCUGUUUGGAUAGAUAUUUCUUCCUUUUUACCUAGUUCUUUCAGCCUCAAAUGCACCUUUUUUUUUCAAUUGAUAUUAGUUAAAUUACCGUGAGACUAUCUAAAAAUAGAAGUUUUAAAUAAAACUUAUAAAUCUUAUCAUAUUGUGAAACAAAAAUUAGAAUAUAAAUAUAACGUAUUUACUAGAAAUGACAGGUAUAACAAAUCAAAUAUCUGUAUUUCCUGGAUUAUAUAAAUGUAAAUCCAUAAAUCUAUUAUUCGCAAAUUAUUCGGGUAUUAUUAUUUAAAUACAAAUCUAGAUCAUAUAUACUAUUGUAAUAUAAUGUUACAAAAAAUUAAUAAUAAUUGUAAUGCCUAAAUUUUGCCCGGGUACAAAUAAUAAAAGGGCCCCAAAUAAAGACACAGUCCAAUUACAACAAAAUGGGGCCCAAACCAAAAUAAAACACAGGCCCAAUGUGCGGUGGCCCAAAAUCGCCAGAAACCCUAGGGUUUCUAAUCUUCAACAGCACCGCAACUCCAAUCUAGGCCGAAUCUCCAUGGAUUCACCUGCAUAGCAAGAAACAGAGAAAAAGGAAAGAAAUCAAAGAUUUCGAACCAGGAGUGAUUAGUUUCUUUAUUUUUAUUUUAUUAUGGCUAUAAGAAGCCGGUAAACAUAUUGUAAUAAGGAUUGAAAAAUCAAAUAAAAAUCGAGGCUUUUACUUUCGCAAUACAGAGAGAGCAUAGUCGAUUAAAGGUUGAUACUUGCAUUUCUAUUGUAUUUUUCCGUUAUAUCUAUUUGUUUUUAUUAUUUAUGUAAAUAAUAUAAAUAUAAAAGGAAGGAAAAAACCUGUAUUAGAGCCCUAACUGCCGCAGAUGGCCGAGGAAGUCGUCACCGAGAAUUGACGACCGGAAGCCGAAAGGUUUCUCUGUUUUUAGGGGCCCUUUCGUUAAUAUUUUGCGAGAUUUGAGAUCGGAUCUAGGCUCAGGGGUCGAGAAGGUUAAAAGGGGAAUUUUCCCCUUUCCCGGCCACCGCGGACGGUGGUGCCGGUGCCGGAGAUCGGCGACCGGUGCCGUGGCCGGUGAAGGGCCGAUGACCAACCGAUGGCCGAAGGACGGACUGAGGGGAGAGUGUUGCUUUAAAGUUUUUUUGUUUUUUUUUAAAAAGGGUUUCAUAUGAUUUUUUUUUUAGGAUUGGGAUAUUUAUAGGGCACCAAAACGGCGUCGUUUUGGAGAGCCCCCAGACGCCCAAAACGGCGUCGUUUUUAGGGAAGCCGACCCGGCUCCGACCCGACCCGGCAUAGGAUCCGCGUGUUUUUUUAACGGAGGGGUAAAUUGCACUUUCAACCCCUCCGCCUUUUAAUGUUUUCUGCAAUUAAAUUUUUUUAUUUUAUUAAGUUACCCAUUAAUUUAUUAUCGUUUUCAAUUUGGUCCUAAUGUGAAUGAUGUCGUUUAGAGGAGAAUGGAAAAUUGCCCUUCCAGCCCCUUUGUAUUAUCUGCGCGUUCAAUGUGGUCCCUUUGGCUUUAUUUAUUUGUGGAUUUACCUUAAUUUUUUUUAUUUGAAAUUCAAUUUAGUUCUCUUUUAUAUCUUUCUUAAAAUUGGUUGAUUUUUAGGAUGUAAUUAUUAUUUUUAUGUAAUUAUUAUUUAUAUAUAUAUGUAUAUUUAUUGUUUCCUUAUAAACAUAUUUAUUUUCUUUCAACUAAUAUUUUUUUAUUUAUAUAUUCCUACUUUUUUUAUGUAAAUGUUAAUUAAUCCUUUUUUAAUAAAUUUUACAUGUAUACAUACAUAUAUUUUUUUGAAUAUUCUAUUAUAUUUUCAUAUAUCUACGUACAUUUUUUAUUUUCGAAAAUACUAAAAUACAUGUUUUUUUUACACAUAUAUUUAUAUAUAUUUGUUUUUCUUUAUUUUCAUAAGAGCAUUAUAUGAAUUUUAUAAUUAAAAUUUUAUAUGUAAAUUAUGUACUUUAUUUCUCAUAAUUCCAAUGUGUAUAUUAUGCGAUGUUUAUCCUUUAUUGUUUCUUUCAUUUGUUUAUUGACCUUUUUUUAUUUUAUAUUUUGUUCAUUUAUUUAAUAUUCUUGUAUGUCAAAGAUUAUUUCUUUUAUGAAUGUUAGUUUCCUUUAUUUAUAUGUUUAUAUUGUUUCUAUGCCAUUGUGAUAAUUAUUAUUGCAUUGUAUAUUUAAUGUAGCAUCACAUCAUUUUUUACUCGAUUUCAAACUUCUCAAAAUUGAGAUAAUGCUUGUAUUUUGGAUUUUCAAGGAAAUUGAGCCCUAAUGUAUUGGGUUCCGAUUUUCUUCGUUAAAUCUAAGAAUCGAGCAUUUCUCUUUAAUCAAAAAAAAAAAGAACUCAUUAUUGGGAAUUCAACACGUUGUGUCCUAACGUAUUGGAUGUGACGCAUUGAUUUCUCGAAAUAAAUAUUUUUUAAAAAAAUAAUAAAGGAAAUAUUCCGAGUUUGGGAUUCUAGAGGAAUUGUGCCCUAACGUAUUGGGCCGCGAUUUCUUAAAUCUUGAAUAAAUGGAUAUUCUUUUACAUUUUUUAUUGCACUAGUAUUUUGCCCUAAUUCAUUUUUGGGGAAAAUUAGAAUGUCGUGCCCUAACGUAUUGGGUGUGGUAUUUUCUUUCUCUGAAAUGAUAAGGGUCUUAAUACGUAACGUUUUUAAGUUUUUUGCUAAGGAUUAUAUUAUUCAAAUUUUUGACAUUAAAACAUUAAUUAAUUAACUAGGUACCAAUUUUUGGACGUAAUGAGGGUGCUAAUCCUUCCUCAUACGUAACCAACUCCCGGACCCGUUUUUCUAAAAAUCGUAGACCAAAAUCGUUUUUAGGUGACCCAAUCACACCUCAAUAAAAGAUUGGUGGCGACUCCCAAUUUUCAUUUUUUAAAGUCGACAAUCUAAAAUUUUUGUUUUUUUUUCAAAAACAAAAAAUGGUUUCGACAGCUUGGCGACUCCACUGGGGACACAUACGAGAGUCGAGCCACAAAGUUGAUUAAUUUCUGUCUUAUUGUCGAGAAAAUAAAUUUUUAAAAAACUCAUGAUAUCCUUUCGCAUUCAUUAUCUUAUUGCUUAAAUAUUGUUUGCAUUAUACAUUUCAUGAGUUGAACAAUUUUACCCUUUUAAGUGGGAGUGAGAAGCUAUGCCUUCAUGAGGUUUUCACCUCCGUGUAGGGUAGUGGAUUGCUUCCGGGAUACAUCCGUACCUAUUUCUUCGUGAGAUUUUCGUCUCAGUACAACCAUAGGGAAAUGUAUUCCACUGAACCGAACUUGAUCCAUUGAGCCUAUAAUGGGUGAGGAUUGAGGAAUCUGCUGGUUCGGGUACCUUUACCCUAGAAGUCAAACUUCAUAUAAUGAACCUUAGGAAUCCACCCUAGGUAGAACUAUACUAAACCCUAGUAGAUAUCCAAUUAGGAAUUUUACUAUUUCUUAAUUAUAUAUUAUGUUUUAUGAGAUACUGACUUUUUGUGUUUUAUUUUGAUUGCAUGACAUGGCAUUUCAUUUCAUCAUAAAAGGCGUCAGUCUAUAUUCAGUUGCUAGAUAGAAGGCUUAUCAUGGAAAGAGGGUUUCUUGAUAAAGAGGAGGACAAUGCGGCUGUCCGAACUUGGUCUAAAACAACACAGGAAGAAAAGGGUGAUAGUUUGGCUGACGGGCAUGUAUCGGAUGUAUGGGACUUUACGCAUAUCAGUGUAACUCAAAACAAUUUGCAAGAAUUGAAGGAAAUCUGGGGUUAGUGGAGUGAUGAGGUUAGACAGCUCUUUUAUAAUGAUUAUGGGGAUCUACCUUAUUUGCUUGAUGUGAAGGUAGACAAGUGUUUGUUUCAAGCCCUCGCCCAAUUCUGGAAUCAUGCUUACAGCUGCUUUACGUUUGGGAAGGUUGAUUUUGUAUCUACGAUAGAGGAGUAUAUGGAUUUACUCCGUUGUUCAAAGUUUCAAGUGGAUAGGGUCUAUUUAAGAGUGGUAAAUGUGCCAAGAGUGUAACAGGAAUGAGUGAGCAGUGGGUUGUCGCACGAAUUAAGCAAAAGGGGGAUAGUAAGUGCGUUCCUUGGAGAGGCUUGAAAGAUGCAAUUCUCACACACCCAGAUGUAAGGAAAAUGUUAGAUGUUUUUGCUUUAAGUAUAUACGGCUUGGUUGUCUUCCCUAAAGCCUUGGGGUAUGUGGAUGAAGCAGUCACUGAUAUAUUCGAUCGUCUCGAUAAGAAGGUUACACCGAUUCCAGCAAUUUUGGCAGAAACUUUCAGUUCAUUGAGUGCAUACCGGAAGACGGGCGAAGGUAGAUUUAUUGGAUGUGCACAGCUUCUACUCGCAUGGUUUCAUAGUCACUUUUGGAAGGUGGAUAAAGUUUCCUAUCGGGUUUUCUCUAAAAAUUAUUCACCACUAAAGGAGAUAGUCGUUACGCCAAGGAGAGACGACAUUUCGAAGGAGAAGUGGAUGGCAAUUCUUCAAAAUCUUCGAGAGGAGGACAUUGAGUGGAGAGCUCAUUGGUUACUUCCAGAUGAGAUCCUGUAUAGGUGUGGUAGUUUUCGUACAAGGAUGAUGGUUAUAGAAAGAAGAUUCAAUAGAUGGCUAGUGCGUGGAAACAAACUCGCCGAAUGAAGAGGCUAGCUGUGGGUCCAAUAACAACUCCUGAGUAUCAUCAAUGGUGGGCUAGAAGGAUUAAUGAUAAUACACCUAAGUUAAAUCAGGAAGACAGUCAGUCAAUCGAAGAGCAUUUGCGAGUCAUUCCUUCUGAGUUAGAAAUCAUAAGGAAAGAUUUUGAGAGGAGAAAUGCGGAUUUAAAGAAAAAGAUAGAGCAAAUGGAGGCGGAAAAGACGAAUUUAAGAUUAGAUAUAAACGUUCAGAAGCUUGAAAAUGAGAAGUUAAAGAAAGAGAAAAACAAGGCUGAGGAAGAGAUGGGUAGUCUAAAGAUGGAUUAUAAAAAAUGCGUUUGUCAAUGAGAAUUACUGGGAUGGGAAAGACUUCAGAACAAUGGUGAGCAGAAAUCCGAGAUGAAAAGGACAAAGCCGAUAGAUGGGAACAGAAAUGUCAGGAGAUGCAGAGACGAACUGAAGAUUUAGAAAAGAGUUUGUCAGAAAGCCAAAAGGAGAAAUGCGAGCUAAAGGAUAGGGUGGUUGUGCUGGAAGGAUGUCUUCGUCAAUAUCGAAAUCGAAAUUUGGCAAAAAAGUUGAAAGCUAGCUUGAACAAGAUUGAAGAAAUGAAGAAAAGAAUCGAAGAGCUAGAAACGGAGCUGCAAAAUUGUGAGAUCUAGAUCAAGCACUUGAAAGCAAACGAGAGUCGUAAUAAUGAACAGCUUCAUCACUUUCAGAGUCAAGUUAGAAGGAGAGAUCAUCUUAUCGAGGAAGCUGUGGUCCAGAUUCGAGAAGUAGCUGAUCAUAUACAGACUUUAGCAGUACAGGCUGACACGCUGAGUGUAAAGUAUGAAUUAGAAUCGGAUCGGGGACAAGAAUUAGCUUUGUUACUUAGAAAGAUUAGAGUUCUAAGUACUAGGGCAGAGUCUUAUUUGUAAUUCACUUUAUGUAAAGGAAUUUAAUUUCUAGUAAAGUUUUCUUAUAUGGAAUUGAAUCAAAAUUGACGCCUUUCUGCAUUCAUUUCAUGCAUUACAUUGUUUCAUAUGCAUUAAGAAAUAUAUUAAGGGAUUCUAAUUAAUUUUAAUCACUCAUCAGUUAAUCUGGAAACCAACCAACCCACCAAGCACCACUACGGUACCCAAUCGAAAACUAAAGAUAUGGAUCAAAAUAUGGAAAUACUAGAACAAUCCCAAAAAGAAAUGCAGGAGCAGCUUCAAAAGCAAAUGAAUGAGCAGCAAAAGAUGGUAGACAAAAUGAUGGAAUCUCAAGGGAGUGUGAUGGCUCAGUUAACUCAGUGGUUCAGCAAAGGAACUGAUAAAGGAAAAGGCUUUGUGCUCAAUAUUGAAGAAGGAGACAAUGAGAGACCUAUCUAUCCUCCGGACUUUACCCUCCAACAAGUUGAGAUAUACCUACGUAGGUCCUCUGUUACCAUUAAUCCUCCAGGUGACGCUACAACGCUAAUGAAUCUCCAAGCAGGAUCAGGCUCUAACCCUAGAGCCAACUUUGUUAAUCCUGCUAUUCCUGAUUUCGAUGAGACGGCUGGAAAGGAGAAAAUGAAUGAUGAAUUGCCAAAACAGCUAGAGGAAAAGUACAAAUGGCUGGAAGAGAAAUUUAGAGUGAUGGAAUGCGCAGAAGGCUACUAUAGGAUGGAUGCUAAAGAAUUGAGUCUGGUUCCGGAUUUAGUGCUCCCUUACAAAUUCAACAUGCCAGAGUUUGAAAAAUAUAAUGGAACCAGUAGCCCCGAAGCUCAUAUCACCAUGUUCUGCAGACGAAUGACCAGUUAUGUCAAUAAUGACUAACUCUUGAUUCAUUGCUUCCAGGAUAGCCUCACAGGGGCAGCAUCCAAGUGGUACAAUCGAUUGAACCGUACCCAGAUUAAUUCAUGGAAAGAUUUGGCACAGGCGUUCAUAAAGUAGUACAGCCAUGUGACUGACAUGGUACCUGAUAGGAUCACUCUGCAGAAUAUGGAAAAGAAACCAGGUGAAAGCGGGAAAAUAAAUGUUGGAGAAAGUAGUAGAAGGGCGGCAUCAAAGAAGAAAGAGAAUGAGGUCAACAACACAAGUUCAUAUUCAAAGACAGUUACAGUGAAUCAGCCGGGAAAAGUGGCUGUUAACCAGCAAGGAUUAUCAAAGCAGAGAUUUCAUACAAGACAAAAUACAGAGAAGAUUCAAUUUACGCCAAUUCCAAUGAUGUAUAGGGAGCUAUAUUAGAAUCUAUUCAAUGCACACGUGGUUUCCCCUUUCCACUUGAAACCUCUGCAGCCCCCAUACCCCAAGUGGUACGAUGCAAAUGCACAGUGCGACUAUCACGCGGGAAUUGAAGGGCAUUCUAUAGAACAUUGUAUGGCGUUCAAGAAGCUGGUGGAAAGACUUAUAAGCCUGGGUGUGGUUAAAUUGGAUGAUUCACCUAGUACAGAAAAUUCGUUACCUAAUCAUAACGGAGUGAACAUGAUAAGUGAGAGUAUGGGUAGAAAAAUCAAGGAAGACAUAGAAGAAGUAAAAAUUCCUUUGAGGUGGGUAUGGAGAAAUAUGGUAAAAAGGGGAUUGAUUGUUCCGAAUUCAGAGGGAAGCUUUGAAAGGAUGGAAAAUUACUGUGAGCUCCAUCACAAGGAGGGACAUGAAAUCCAGGAAUGCACUGAAUUCAGAGCCCUGGUUCAAGGCCUGAUGGAUAAUAAAGAAAUGGAAUUUUGUGAGGAAGUUAGGGAGGAAGGGAGUAUUUGCACAUCCAAAUCCUCGAAGGUUCCAAGAGUAGCGCAGCCUGUGGUCAUCAUCUCACGACCAAAGAAGGAUGAAGUGAGAACGCCAAUGAUGCCAAGAAUCAUAAUAAAGAAACAUGCAACCUUCUUUUACCAGGACAGUAGGAAGGUUCCAUGGAGCUACAUGUGCAAUACAACUGUCCCUGGAAAAGAGACUACAAAGGACCAGUGUGUGAGUGCCAAACUAGAAUCUAUGAAAGGGGUCAUAAUAGGGGAGUAGAAAGGGAAAGUAGUUGAGCCAGUAAAGGAGGAAGAAGCUGUGGAAUUCCUCAAAUUUCUGAAGCAUAGUGAGUAUAAUGUCGUCGAUCAGUUGCAUAAACAACCGGCUCGCAUAUCUGUACUAGCCUUACUCUUGAAUUCAGAAGUACAUCGAAAUGCACUAAUGAAGAUGCUAAAUGAGACUUAUGCGUCCAAGGAUAUUUCUGUCGACAAACUAGAUCGGUUGGUCAAUAAUAUCAGUGCUGAUAAUUUCAUAUUUUUCAAUGAUGAUGAAAUACCUCCUAGGGGCAUAGGAUCUACCAAAGCUUUGCAUAUCACUGCACGAUGCAAGGGGCAUAUUUUGCCAAGAGCACUGAUUGACAACGGAUCAGCUUUGAAUGUAUUGUAGUUAUUCACACUUAAUAGGCUACCCAUAGACAGUUCGCACAUGAAAACAUGUCAAAAUGUAGUUAGGGCGUUUGACGGUACAGAAAAGAAGGUCAUGGGAAGAAUUAAGAUACCCCUACAGAUUGGCCCAACAGUUUAUGAGGUAGAUUUUAUUGUAAUGGACAUCAAACCUUCCUAUAAUUGUUUAUUAGGAAUAUCAUGGAUACAUUCAGCGGGGGCAGUACCGUCAUCAUUACAUCAGAUGUUGAAGUUAGUGUCAAAUGGUCGGCUAGUGACAAUAAAAGCCGAAGAGGAUAUAAUAGCAGCUGUAUCCAAUGAGACGCCAUACAUGGAGACCAAUGACGAGUCAAUAGAAUGCUCAUUUCGAUCUUUGGAGUUUGAAAAUGCGGCAUUUGUUCCCGAAUGGAGUAAAAUUUUGGUGCCAAAAUUAUCCAAAACUACAGAGAUAGGUUUACAGUUGUUGGUGGGAAAAGGAGAUUUACCCGGAAGAGAGGGCUAGGGAGAUAUCUUCAAGGGAGGACUGAGGUUCCAAUGCUGAAAGAAAAGCAGGAUCACUUUGGCUUAGGAUACAAGCCAGAUAGAGGACAAAGAAGGAAGAAGAUAGAAAAAAGGCAGGAAAGGAGAAAGGCGCGUUUAAAUGGGGAGGAAGCUAAGUGGGAGCCAAUGAUAAUCCCCCACAUAUCCAAAACUUUCAUAUCUGGAGGAGUUAUUCAUCAUGAGAGAAAGAAAUCGGUUGAGGAAAGCAUCGAGGAGACGUUGGGAAGUAUGCACAUCAAUGCCAUUCAUGAGCAUGUGAAUGAGGAGAGGAGCUGGUUGGACAUUCGUCCUUAUGAGCCCGAGAAUGUUCCAGAUAAUUGGACUGCGGAAGAAAUACCCAAAGUCUUUAAAAAUGUCUCAGAGUAAUAUUCAGAACAAACUUGUUGUUUUAGCCUAGAAAUAACGAGAACUCUUUUGUGAAAUAGGCUUAUGUUUAAACAUCAUUAUUUUAAUAAAAUACAUCUUUGCAAUUGUUUCGAGUAAAUAUUCUUUCAUUCUUUCCAUACAAGUAAAUAUAUUCUUUCAUUGCACAAAUAAUUGUACAUAAAUUCAUACAUUCUUUUGUAAUCAUAUUAGGUCCUUGUGUAUCAACGAUGUGAAUGACGCCGCUACGAGCUCAGAAUGCCCUUUUGAACGAAACGUGUGUUUGGAAGGAUCGCACGACUUUGAAGGUGAUGAAGAUGGUGGCUUAUCUUUGGACUUGUUGAGGAUGGUGGAACAAGAGGAAAAGAAAAUCCUACCUCACAAAGAAUCAGUAGAAACUGUGAGCUUGGAAGAAAGAAAAGAGGUGAAAAUUAGAAUUGAGAUUUUUGCAAAGACAAGACGAGGCCUCAUUGAAUUACUACAAGAAUUCAAAUAUGGCUUCGCAUGGUCAUACUAGGAUAUGCCCGGAUUGAGUGCUGACAUUGUAGUGCAUCGCCUACCUAUAAAAAAGGAUUGCAAACCAAUGCAACAGAAGCUCAGAAAAAUGAGGCCUGAUAUUGUGCUCAAAAUAAAAGAGGAGGUUAGGAAACAGUUUGAUGCUGGAUUUUUGCAGGAGGUCAAAUAUUCUGAAUGGGUAGUCAACAUCGUUCCAGUCCCUAAAAAGAUGGAAAAGUACGAAUGUGCGUGGAUUACAGUGAUUUGAACAAAGCAAGUCCAAAGGACAAUUUCCUAUUGCCACAUAUUGAUACUCUGGUGGACAAUACGGCGGGAUUUUCAUUGUUUUCUUUCAUGGAUGGGUUCUCAGUAUAUAAUCAGAUAAAGAUGCAUCUGGAAGAUAUGGGAAAGACUAUGUUUAUUACUUUGUGGGGAACAUUUUGCUAUAAGAUGAUGCCAUUCGAAUUAAAGAAUGCGGGAGCAACAUAUCAGAGAGCCAUGGUAGCCUUGUUUCAUGAUAUGAUGCACAAAGAAAUUGAAGUAUCUGUUGAUGAUAUGAUUGCCAAAUCCAGAACAAAGGAAGAACAUGUGCAGGUCCUGAGAAAAUUGUUCGUAAGAUUAAGAAAGUUCCAACUCAAGCUUAAUCCGACAAAAUGCACUUUUGAAGCCAGGUCAAGAAAGUUGUUAGGCUUCGUAGUUAGCAAAAAGAGAAUUGAAAUUGAUCUAGACAAAGUCAAGGCAAUACGAGAUUUAUCGCCACCACGUACCCAGAAAGAAGUUCGAGGCUUAUUAGGAAGACUGAAUUACAUUGCUCGGUUCAUUUCACAGUUGACCGAAAAAUGUGAUCCCAUAUUUCACCUUUUGAAGAAACAUAAUCCUGAUGUUUGGAAUGAAGAAUGCUAGAGUGCCUUUAAGAAGAUAAAGCAAUACUUAACCAAUACUCUAGUUCUGUCACCACCCAGCCCAGAUAGACCCUUGAUUUUGUAUUUAAUGGUGCUCAACAACUCUAUGGGAUGCGUGCUGGGUCAACAUGAUGCGACUGGAAAGAAGGAAAAGGCGAUUUACUAUCUCAGUAAGAAAUUCACUGACUGUGAGAUGAGAUAUUCGCCUAUCGAAAAAUUGUGUUGCACCCUGAUUUGGAUGACCAAGAGGUUGAGGCAAUACUUACUCUAUCAUACGACUUGGUUAAUUUCAAAAUUAGACUCUUUGAAGUAUAUGAUGGAGUCAACAGCAUUGAAUGGAAGAAUGGCUAGAUGGUAAAUCUUGCUCUCUGAGUUUGAUAUCGUAUAUGUAAGUCAGAAGGCCAUCAAGGGGAGUGCGAUAGCAGAUUUCUUGGCUAGCAGAGCUCUGGAAGAUUAUGAGCCUCUAGAUUUUGAUUUCCCGAAUUAAGAUUUGAUGUAUGUGGCAAAUGCUGAAGAGGAUCCCCAAGAGAAUCAUUCUUGGAGAUUAAACUUUGAUGGAGCAUCAAAUGUACUAGGCAAUGGGAUUGGGGCAGUCCUGGUGUCUCCGAAUGGAGAUUAUCAUCCUUUCACCAGUAAAUUAGACUUUGAUUGCACUAAUAACAUGGCUGAGUAUGAAGCUUGCAUCAUGGGUAUACGGGCAGCCAUAGAGCGGAAAAUCAAGACAUUAGAGGUGUACGGAGACUCAACAUUAGUAAUAUACCAACUAAGAGGGGAAUGGGAGACAAGAGACCCUAAAUUGAUCCAUUAUCAGAGAUUAGUUUUGGAAUUGAUCGAAAAGUUUGACAACAUUACCUUCUGUUAUCUCCCACGGGAAGAAAAUCAGAUGGCUGAUGCUCUUGCUACUUUAGCUUCCAUGAUUAAAGUAAAUCAGUUAGAGGACAUGAAGUUCAUUCAAAGUAGUAUUUAUGAGAUCCCAGCCCACUGUUAUAGCAUUGAAGAAGUGGAGAAUGAUAAUAGUCCCUGGUACCAAGAUAUAUUGAUAUAUGUGAAGAAUCACGAAUAUCCUGAUCAGGCAACAGAGAAUGAUAAGAGGACAUUGAGGAGACUAGCUAUUGACUAUGUCUUAGAUGGGGAGAUCCUAUACAAAAGGGGAAAGGAUCGAGUACUGUUGAGAUGCGUGGACGCUAUAGAGGCUAAGGAAAUUUUAGAAGAAGUCCAUGAGGGUGUUUGUGAAUUCACCAUGGCUAGACAGAUUAUGAGAUUCGGGUAUUACUGGUCCACCAUGGAAGGAGAUUGCAUCAAUCAUUCCAAGAAAUGCCAUAAAUGCCAAAUUUAUGGGGAUAAAAUGCACGCGCCUCCUUCUCCUCUUCAUGUUAUGACUUCUCCAUAGCCUUUCUCCAUGUAGGGUAUGGACGUCAUUAGACCAAUAUCACCGAAGGCUUCUAAUGGACAUCGUUUCAUUUUUGUGGUUAUUAACUACUUCACUAAGUGGGUAGAGGCAGCCUCAUAUGCUAAUGUCAUGAAGUCAGCAGUCAGUAACUUUUUGAAGAAAGAGAUCAUAUGUCGAUAUGGAAUGCCUGAAAGGAUCAUAUCUGACAAUGCGCUGAAUUUGAAUAACAGCACAAUUCAAUAUCAGACACCAUAAUUCGUCACUGUAUUGUCCAAAAAUGAAUGGUGCAAUAGAGGCGGCCAACAAAAAUAUUAAGAAGAUUGUGGCGAAAAUGGCUGAAACUUAUAAUGAUUGGCAUGAGAAGUUACCAUUCGCUCUUUUGGCUUACCGAGCAUCGAUCAGGACUUCUAUUGGGGCAACACCUUUUUCGUUGGUUUAUGGAAUGGAGGCAGUUUUACCCAUUGAGGUUGAAAUUCCUUCUCUUCGGGUAUUGGCUGAGUUAAAAUUGGAUGAGGUCGAAUGGAUCCAAUCUCGGUACGAUCAAUUGAACCUGAUUGAAGAUAAAAGAUUAAAAGCCAUUCGUCAUGGUCAAAUGUAUUAGAAGCGAAUGAUGCGAGCUUAUAAUAAGAAGGUUCGUCCUAGAGAAUUUCAUGAAGGGGAUUUGGUUUUGAAAAAGAUCCUACCUUUACAAAAGGAUUUCAGAGGGAAAUAGAUGCCAAAUCGGGAAGGACCUUAUGUUGUGAAAAAGGCUUUUUCUGGAGACGCUUUGAUUUUAAGUGAAAUGGAUGGCAAAAAUCUUCCGAAUCCUGUAAAUUCAGAUUCGGUCAAGAAAUAUUUCACUUGAAGGAAGAGAGGAAUCAAAGUGAAAACCCACAAAAGGCGCUCUGAUUUCCUAAAAAAAAGGAAAAAGGAGAGGCCAAGGUGAAAACCCAAAAAGGGCGCCUUGAGACCAAAGGGGGUUUGAGUUGAAAACCUGAAAAGAGUGGCUCAAACAUUGUCAGAUUGGGGCAUAUGGGGAUCUUUUUUCACUUAAGUCAACAAUAAAAGGAUAUACGACGUCUUAGGGCAUUCACAGAGUACUGUAGAUCCCCUAAACACAUGCUAAAUUCAGAAUGGUUCUUGGCUUGCACGGAGAAGUUCAAGCGGUGAUAUCCAAAGCACCUAGUCUUCAUUUUAUUUGUACCAAAUUUGUUGGUUCUUGUAAAUACUUCAUUCUUUGCUGUUCUUGAAUACUUUUUCUUUUCAGGACACUCACUAUCAAUGAACUCUUGAAUUAAUUCAUCUCUUACUCAGUAUUUUUGAUCUUUGUGUAAGCAUGUCACAUUAGAAUAAUGAUUGAUGGACUAAUAAACUUUCACAAAAGAAGUUUGGUAUAUUACUCUGGGAAUUUCUAAAUAAUUUGGUAACCUGAAACAGGACUAUUGUUUAAAACACCCCGAGUUCAAAAGAUAAAAAGCCUAAGAAGUAAAAAGUUUAAAUUAAGACUACUUUUUCGAAUUUGGUUGUCCAAUAGUGAAUGAGACAGCAAGAAGUCUUGAUAGGGUAGGAAGAAGUCUCCUAUGGAAAGAAAGCUCCUUAUUUAGGCAUAAGCAUUUGAUAAGACACCCUGAGAGAGGUGUAAACAAAUUUCAUAAUCUGUAUCCUUGAAUUACGAUAGGAGAGGACUGAGAAGAGUCAAAUUUUCCUACUCUUAAGUCACGGUGGAAGAAAUAUAGUACAAACUCUGUGUCCUUGAGAAUUGAGCUUUGAAGUGCACAAUGGGGGCAAUUUGAUUUAGUGUUUUUCGAAGAUAUUAGCCAAGUAAAAGGCGCCAGCGACAAAACCUUAAUAAACUUCAAAAAAAAUGAUAAUUCUUGAAAAAUGACAUUCUGCAUUUAUUCAAAUGUCAUUCGUACAUGUCUAGUUGGGAGCCUUUGAUGCAUUUUAUGCCAUCCUAAUCAUUAGGCAUAAUUAGCUUCAUUAUACAGGUCAUGUUCCCCAGAGAGCAGAUCAGUGAAGAUAACAGAUCGAGUCUUAUCUCCCUGAAGUUACAGUGGAGCAGACUAAGUAGGCAAGUCUUAUCCACCUGAAGUUGCAGUGAGGCAGACUGAAGGUGGCAAAUCUUAUCUCCCUGAAGUUACAGUGGAGCAGAUUAAAGCUGGUAAUCCUAUCUCGCUGAAGUUGCAGUGAGCGGAUUAAAACCUUAGAUCUUAUCUCUCUGAAGUUGCAAAGAACAGAUCACAUCUAGUCUUAUCCUCCUGAAGUUGCAGUGAGGCAGACUGAAGAUGGCAAAUCUUAUCUCCCUGAAGUUGCAGUGGAGCAGAUUAAAGCCGGUAAUCCUAUCCCACUGAAGUUGUAGUAGGCGGAUUAAAACCUUAUAUCUUAUCUCUUUGAAGUUGCAGAGAGCAGAUCGCAUCUAGUCUUAUCUCCCUGAAGUUGUAGUGGAACGGACUAAGUAAGCAAAUCUUAUCCUCCUGAAUUUGCUGUGAGGCAGACUGAAGAUGGCAAAUCUUAUCUCCCUGAAGUGGCAGUGGAGCAGAUUAAAGUCGGUAAUCCUAUCCCACUGAAGUUGCAGUAGGCGGAUUAAAACCUUAGAUCUUAUCUCUCUGAAGUUGCAGAGAGCGGAUCGCAUUUAGUCUUAUCUCCCUGAAGUUGCACCAGGAGCAAGUUGAAGCCAUAAAAGUUACAGUAAAGAAGAUUGAAACAUUAGUUCAUAUACCUCUGAAGAUGCAGUAGGAAGGAAUGAGGCUACUUGAAGAAGAAGAAGAGCGCCAAGGUCCAGCAUGACCGGACAAAAUUGGGCAUUUUAAAGUCUUUGCUCUAUUCCUGUUACACGAUAACGAGCAAAGAGGGGCAACUGUAAUGCCUAAAUUUUUCCCGGGUACAAAUAAUAAAAAGGCCCUAAAUAAAGACACAGUCCAAUUACAACAAAAUGGGGCCCAAACCAAAAUAAAAACAGGCCCAAUGUGCGGUGGCCCAAAAUCGCCAGAAACCCUAGGGUUUCUAAUCUUCAACAACGCCAAAACGGAGGCCCAAUGUACGGUGGCUCAAAUGAUUUUUUUAGAGGAUUGGGGAUAUUUAUAGGGCACCAAAACGGCGUCGUUUUAGAGAGCCCCCAGAUGCCCAAAACGGCGUCAUUUUUGGGGAGGCCGACCCGGCUCCGACCCCACCCGGCAUAGGAUCCGCAUGUUUUUUUAGCGGAGGGGUAAAUUACGCUUUCAGCCCCUCCGCCUUUUAAUGUUUUCUGCAAUUAAAUUUUUUUAUUUUAUUAAGUUACCCAGUAAUUUAUUAUCGUUUUCAAUUUGGUCCUAAUGUGAAUGAUGUCGUUUAAAGGAGAAUAGAAAAUUGCCCUUCUAGCCCCUCUGCAUUAUCUGCGCGUUCAAUGUGGUCCCUUUGGCUUUAUUUAUUUGCGGAUUUACCCCAAAUUUUUUUAUUUGAAAUUCAAUUUAGUUCUCUUUUAUAUCUUUCUUAAAAUUGGUUGAUUUUUGGGAUGUAAUUAUUAUUUUUAUAUAUAUGUAUAUUUAUUGUUUCCUUAUGAACAUAUUUAUUUUCUUUCAACUAAUAUUUUUUUUAUUUAUAUAUUCCUACUUUUUUUUAUGUAAAUGUUAAUUAAUCCUUUUUUAAUAUAUUUUACAUGUAUACAUACAUAUAUUUUUUGAAUAUUCUAUUAUAUUUUCAUAUAUCUACGUACAUUUUUUAUUUUCGAAAAUAUUAAAAUACAUGUUUAUUUUUUUACACUUAUAUUUAUAUAUAUAUUUGUUUUUCUUUAUUUUCAUAAGAGCAUUAUAUGAAUUUCAUAAUUAAAAUUUUAUAUGUAAAUUAUGUACUUUAUUUCUCAUCAUUCCAAUGUGUAUAUUAUGCGCUGUUUAUCCUUUAUUGUUUCUUUCAUUUGUUUAUUGACCUUUUUUUAUUUUAUAUCUUGUUCAUUUAUUUAAUAUUCUUGUAUGUCAAAGAUUAUUUCUUUUAUGAAUGUUAGUUUCCUUUAUUUAUAUGUUUAUAUUGUUUCUAUGCCAUUGUGAUAUUUAUUAUUGCAUUGUAUAUUUAAUGUAGCAUCACAUCAUUUUUUUACUCGAUUUCAAACUUCUCAAAAUUGAGAUAAUGCUUGUAUUUAGGAUUUUCAAGGAAAUUGAGCCCUAACAUAUUAGGUUCCGAUUUUCUUCGUUAAAUCUAAGAAUCGAGCAUUUCUCUUUAAUCAAAAAAAAUAAGAACUCAUUAUUGGGAAUUCAACACGUUGUGUCCUAACGUAUUGGAUGUGACGCAUUGAUUUCUCGAAAUGAAUAUUUUUUUAAAAAAUAAUAAAGGAAAUAUUCCGAGUUUGGGAUUCUAGAGGAAUUGUGCCCUAACGUAUUGGGCCACGAUUUCUUAAAUCUUAAAUAAAUGGAAAUUCUUUUACAUUUUUUAUUGCACUAGUAUUUUGCCCUAAUUCAUUUUUGGGGAAAAUUAGAAUGUCGUGCCCUAACGUAUUGGGUGUGGUAUUUUCUUUCUCUGAAAUGAUAAGGGUCUUAAUACGUAACGUUUUUAAGUUUUUUGCUAAGGAUUAUAUUUUUCAAAUUUUCGACAUUAAAACAUUAAUUAAUUAACUAGGUACCAAUUUUUGGGCGUAAUGAGGAUGCUAAUCCUUCCUCAUACGUAACCAACUCCCGGACCCGUUUUUCUAAAAAUCGUAGACCAAAAUCGUUUUUAGGUGACCCAAUCACACCUCAAUAAAAGAUUGGUGGCGACUCCCAAUUUUCAUUUUUUAAAGUCGACAAUCUAAAAUUUUUGUUUUUUUUUCAAAAAUAAAAAAUGGUUUCACCAAUAAUAAAUAAUAAAGAUUUUACAUUUAUUUGAAGCACUUAUUUACAUUUUGAAUAAACUAUUAUUUUAGUCAUUGCCUUUUAAUUCUUAAUUUUUCUUUUAAAUUUUUUUAUAUGUUAAAUUUUAAGUUGAUUUUAAAUAAAUUAUUUCUUUAUUUUAAGAUAUUACUUAAUUAAAUUAACUUUUAAUAUUAUAAUAUUAAAAUUAAUAAUUAUUAAAUUGGUUAACUUAAAAUAUAAUUUUAAAAAAAGACAUAUUGAUAUUAAAUAUAUUUUCAAAUAUAAUAAGAGUUAAUAAUAUUAAUGAUUAAAGUAUAGCAAGUAUAAAUAUAAAAUUACAAAUAUCAAAAUUUAACAAUUUUAACAUUAAAACAAAUUAAUUUAACAAUAUAUAUUGUUGGAAAAAUUAUAUUUUAUGGGAAUUUUGAGGCAUAUUAUCAAUAAGUAAAGGUUGAGAGUUGAAUAAUAAAAUUAUAGUUCCAUAUUCUACUCUAUGAGACAUUUACAACUGUGUAUCAUAUACUCAAAAUGAUUGAGUGAUGAAUGAGAAAUUGAUGCUCAAAUUAAGCUAUUUAAAAAUAUUUGUUGAGGAAAAGUAAAAGCUUAGACCCCACAUUAGUUAAAUACUAAGUGUGAGAUGUGUAUGUAUAUGGAACCCUCUUAAAUAGUAAUUAAAUGACUAAAUUUGGAACCUUGCCUCACGCGAAAGGUUGGUUAUAGGUCCAAACUCAAUGGGGUAGGGGCACCUGCACAACGUGGGCGACGCAAAAUGUCGGGCUCAAAAUGGGCUUGCGAACAUUUUAGUCCAACACGAAAUUAUUUUUCCUCAACAGAUAAAAUUUGUUUAUAUAAAGAUAUUUCUCUUAUUUUAUUUGAUUCCAAUCAAUUUUAUUUAAUUUUUAAUUAAAUUGAUUUGUUGGCUCCUUUAAUAGUAGAUUUGAUAUUUCCAAAACUCCACCAUACUAAAUGCCUAUAAAAUGAUAUGGAUGAAGAAUUUUUCCACAUUGAUAUCCUCUUAGGCCGAAUUUAUUUUGCUGUCAAAAUUCUUCUUUUCCUCUCCGUAUUUUCCAAAGUUCCGGUGAUAGAAAAAGGUAAUGUUUGUUCGUUGAUCGCUGCAGAGACGCUACUGCUUUGAUCAUUAUGUUGUUGUAUUUUGAGAGACAUUCGACCAACAUUUCUCCAAGUACCGUAGGAGCGGCCGAAUCUAUGUUAAGGAAACCGUGUUAAACAUGCCUCAACGUUUAGUAAAUCUCUAUUCUUCCUUUCGAUUUCAACUUAUUGUUACGGUUUUUUUUUAUUUACGUAUUUGACAAUUUAAAUAUAAAUUAUUCUAUUUAUAUUUUAUUUCAUAUAUAAAUAUGUGUUUAUUUAUAUUUCAAUAUUUUAUUCGCUAAUGUGUUUUGUCCAACGUAUAUAUAAAUAAAUAACUUGUAAUAAAUUAUUAAUAAUAUUAUUUAAAUUAUAAUAUAUUAAUAUUAAUAUUUGAAUCAUAAUGAGUUUUUGUAUUAUUCUAAUAUUAAAUAUUAUUAAAAUUAAAUAACAUUAAUAUAAGUGUUUCUAAAAUAAUUGAAUAUUUUAAAAAAUAUUUUGUAGUUACAUUACUUGUCAAUUUAUUAAUAAAUAUUUUGAAUAAAUUCAUUAAUUUUUUUAAAAAUAAUAUUAUAAAUUUAGUGUACACUACCGACCUGUACAUGAUAUGGGAAUACAAGCUAGUUAAAUACUAUUAUCUACUGGAUAUCCAAUCUGCAAAAAGUAAAAAUAAAAAUAAAAGAUUUUCAAUCAGUUUUUAGAUAUCAAAAUUCACAAAAAUCUAAAUCGAAUCUAGUAAAAUUCUUUAUAUACACAAAAUCAAAAUUAAAAGUACUUUGUAAUUAGUGAAUUCAGAUAUUAAAAUCCACAUCUAUUAUUUGAAUAUGCGAUGCAGGUUUAGAUAAUGGACAUUCGAAGUAUCUAUCUGCAUCCGCAAUAGAUAGUAAUUUCAAAUCCGAAUUUCAAUAUUAAUCAAAUCCGCAAAAAAAAAAAAAAAAAAACUAAUUAGAUAUUUAGCUUCAACUUGAAUUAAGUAUUUUAAAUUUAUAUUUAAUUCAAUUAUAUGUUAAUUUUGGGAUGAAUUCAUUAAAUUAUUUAUUUUUAUGUAAAAUUAAUAAUUACCAUUAUUUAGAAUGCUUUAAUGGAAAAAAUAAAAUAUAAAAGUAAAAAGAAAUUUUAAAAAAUUCAUCUCAAAGUUAAUUAUUGUUACUAUAUAUAAUGAAAUUAAAAUUAAUUUUUUAAAAUUUUAACUAUAAAAAUUAUUAAUAUAUAUGAAUGAUAUGUUUGUUUUAUUAAAUGAUGGGUUACUAUAUCACUUCAUUUCUAACAUUUUUUUUUCUUUUAUGUUAGGAUAUUAAAAAUGAUCUUGUUUGAUAAUUGAAAAAUUAAAUAUAAAAAAAAUUAAAUGUUAAGUUUAAGUUAUGAAACUUGUUUAAUAUAUUUAUUAAAAUUAAGUGUAACAUAUGAUUAAAUUAUUUGAUUAAUGUAAUUUUUAAAAUUUUAAAUGUAAAGUUAUUUAAACAAGAAAUAAAGUAAAUUGAAAUGAAUUGAAAAAAAUUCUAAUUAGUGUACUUAUGGGAGGAAAAAGUUUAUUUAUUGCAUAUAUUACUAUAGUUAGAUAUAAAAUAAAAUUAGUAUAUAUUUAAGCUUAAAAUUAGAAAUAUGAGAAAAAAUUCAAGUAAAAAAAUAAAAUCUCUUGAAAAAUAAAUAAAAAGUUUUCCUUCUAUUUUCCAAAAGCAAGCCAUGGAAGUGACUACAAAUUACUAAUUGAAAUUAGUUUAUGGUUAGCUUAUAUACUAAAACAUAGUAAAAAAAUAAUACUCUUACCAAAGGUAGCAUGAGUGAUCAGAAACUCUUCAUCUAUUUAUUAUUUUUCACUUUUUCUCAUUCUAUCAUUUUCUCUUUAUGUUAGAUUAUCAAAGAUGCUUAUAAAUCACUGAAAAUAUUAAUUUUAGAUUAUUUAAUUAUUUUCAAUCAAUUAUCUAAACAGGGAUCAUGUUACUUUGAUGAUAACCUAUUAGGUUUUUUUGUGAAUAAGUACAUUGCAAUAGGGAAUGAGGAAACGGUUUACAAAUAUUGGAAUUGAAUCCCGAACCUCUUGUUAAUUAACUUGAAAUCCGCACAAAUUUAUCGCUGAGUCGGUGGACGGUCCACAAUAAUCAAUUAGUUUUAUCCUUUUAUAGUUUCGUAUGGUAAAUCGAUUGCUGAACAGAAUAGCCAAAAUCGUAGCUGAACUAAAUAUGCACAAUAUCAACACAUAAUUUGUUUGUAAAUUGAAUCACAAUGAUAAACAUUAUAGCAGUUUGUUUUCUAAGAUGGCUUUUCUAGAACUUGCAAUUUCAUUGAAACAUCACCGGAAACUUGAAGAGAACAAAGGCAGAGUAAUAAUUAUUACAGGAAGAUGACAAGUCUGCUUCAUGUAUAUAAAAUAUAGGAUUGUACUGGUCAAAAUGCAUCAGACAUGUCAAAAUGUAUCAGACAUAAGUGGAUGAACAUCUGAUACAGAUGUAAUGAUGGAAUCCCUGUAAAAUCCGUGUGAGAGUGAAGUACCCGAUCUCAGUUGGUUUUGUGACAACAACCUCUGCUUGUUUUGGCUGAGUCGGAAAAAAACCUCGCAAAACUCUAAUUCUCUCCAGUUCCAUGACCACUUCUUUCAUUGUUGGUCUAUCUUUGCCAUCUAAGUUUAAGCAUCUUUUAGCAAGGUAAGCAACUGCAACUAGUUCCUCCUUUUGGCCAUCCUUCAAAACUUGAGGGUCAAGUGUAUCUAGAAAAUGGUUUUGGUCCACCGAGGAGAUGAAAUAGGAGACUAGGCUUUUCUUUUCUUGCGAUCCAGAUGUUAAGACUGGCUUUUGUGCUAUUAAGAGCUCGACCAGAACCACUCCGAAACUAUAAACGUCACUUUUCUCAGUGAAUUGACUUGACUGAAAGUAUUCAGGGUCUAAAUACCCAAAGGUUCCUUGAACUUGAGUUGUCAAGUGAGUUUGAUCAAUGCCGAUUGAUCUCGAUGUUCCGAAAUCUGAUACCUUAGCUCGGAACUUUUCAUCUAGUAGUAUGUUACUAGACUUUAUAUCUCUGUGAUAGAUGGGGACAGAAGCAGAGACGAGUGUAAGUAAGAAAUUGCAUUUGAAACUUCAGCUGCUAUGCGUAAUCGCAUAUCCCAAGAUCUUGGGUAUUCUUCAUUUUGGUCAUGGAUUAGCUGAGAAAGGGUUCCAUUUGGAAUGAAUUCAUAAACGAGUAGAGAGACUUCGGUCUCUAAGCAACAGCCUAAUAAUUUGACAACAUUUCGGUGAUCAAUUUUGGCAAGAAUAACGAUCUCAUUGAUGAAUGGGUCGAGAUGCUCUUGGUCUACUAUUUUGGACUUUUUUACAGCCACAAUUCUCCCAUCAUGCAACUUUCCUUUGUAAACCACGCCUUGGCCACCACGACCCAGGAUUCUGUUCGUUAUAAGUUUGUAACUCUUUGGAAGUGAAGAAUUUAAUAUUCUCCACACCACCUUCCUUAGAAGACUACUUUUUCUCAAGCAGUAGCCCACCAUUUCUUUUAAAAUGCUCUUGCUUGCAUUUUAUAUUUCUCCUUUUCUCUAGUUUACUAUAAAGCCACCAAACUCCAGCAAACAACAAGAACCCUGCAGCUAAGCAAAUACCUGCGAUCAAAAUGAAAGUCAGUCAUCGAUUAACUUCUGACAUUCUUAAUAUCUCCAUUUUAAGCUAAGAUUUGAAAUAAAAUUUUCCAUUUUAAGUUCUAAUGUAAUACUAUCCUAAGAGGAGAGCAAGAAAGCCAAUACUAGUUUCUAACAAUUAAAUGAAUAGGUUAAACUAUUCUCCAGCAAAAACAGAGAUCUAGUAGACUUGACCUAAUCUUUAUGCAGCUUUUCAUGUAAUACAAUAUAAUUAAAUAGAAUGACCUUAUUAUGAACCAUGAAAUUGUUUAUGAGUCAAGCCGACCCUAUUAAAGCUUAGGGCCUGUUCUUCAUUACUUAAAAAAAGAACUUCUGACUUCAAAAACACUUUUAGAAGAAAAGCUAUGCAUAAUAAACUGCUUUUGGCUAAAAAUUUUAGCUUUUCCUCUUCUAAAAGCACUUUUGGUUCUUAAUUACUUUUUCAUCCCUUUAAUAACAUAGUACUUUCCUUUUUUGUUUUUUUUUUGUGCUUAAUUACAAAUGUAUUAAAAUCAUUAAUUAAAAAUAAAAAAAAUAUUUUUUAAAAUAUUAAUUAUAAAUAUUUAAUGGUUAUAUUUAAAUAUUUAAAAUAUAGUUUAUAUAUUCUAAUUAAAUUUUAUUAAUAAUUAAUAUUCAUUGCUUAAAAAUAUUUAAAAUUUAUAUUUUAUAUAUUAAAAUAUUAACAACAAGUUAUAAUAAUUUUUUAUAUUCUUACUAAAAAAUAAUAAUAUUAAUUAAUUUAAAUAUUAUUUAAAUGCAUUUGUUACUUGAUAAUAACAUGUCUAAAAUGAACAUUUUAUUUCUUAAAAGUACUUUUUGACAGCAAAGCUAAACACUCAAAUUUUAAAUCAAACUUUUCAAAAGCACUUCUCAAAAGUACUUUUCCACAACACUUUUCAAAAGCACUUUUCAAAAAAUUACCAAACUAACCCUUAAAAGUGCAAAUAAGCUUUAAUUUCAUAUUUUAUUCAACAUUUAAUUCACUUUCCAAUAUUUUUUGUGAUUUUCCAAAUUGAUACUAUUGCAUGCUGUCCAUACAAUUUUUAUCGUUAAUUUUAUUCAAUCAAAUUUUCUUUGCAUUAAUUCUCACUUACACUCACAUAACACUAAAGUAUAUUCAUAAUUAGUCAUGCCAAAAGCUAUUCAUCAUCAAUUAAUUACAAAUCUUCAUUGUAACACAUUCUCCAUAUCAACUUCACUCAAAUUUGACCACAUAUCGCUCACAUUGCUCACCACAUAUUCACAUUCAUUUGCACUUAAUCAUUUUCUGGUUGAACACUUAGGAAUAUUAUUGGAUACGUCAGAAGUUUGCACAUAAGUGCCACACUUGUAGCAAAAGCUACUUAACAUCAUUUUUCACAUAAAAGCUCAUUCUCGAGCUAUUCACUUUCAUGGGUCUGCUCACACAAGCUGUCAGUCUUUUGUUACUACUCAGUGCUGCUCACAUAAGCUGUCAGGCAUCCGCAACAUAUGCCGGUAUACCCAGCCACUGGUAGAACUUAAGACCAGCACCCGAGUUCACAUUAAUCACAAUUUUGCAUCACGAGCCUGCUCACACAAGCUGUAAGUCAUUCAUUACUACUCAGUGCUGCUCACACAAGUUGUCAAGUAUCCGCAACAUAUACCGGUAUACCCAGCCACUGGUAGAACUUAUGACCAGCACCCGGAUCCACUUUAUUCACACUUUCACAUAGAUCUCUAACGACAUGUCACUUGUAUCCUAUUCUAUUCCUAAGGUUCAACCGAGAAAAUUUCUCACACUUUAUUAUUUCGUAAAUUUUAUUCGAUAUUCAAUCACAUAUAUCAUAAAAUAUAUCUUUCGUCCACAUAUCAUAAAAUAUAUUAAGACAUAAAAUCAUAAAUAAAAAUUUAUGCAUUAUUUACAUAAAAACUUACCUCGGCUCAAAAUAUAGAAAUUUCUGCAGUUUAAUCCACAACUUUUUCCUUUCCCCAUUCGAGGUUGAUUCUGCGUCUUUCUUCAUCUAUAAUAGAAAAUUUAGCUUGUUUAAUAUUCACAUUUAUCAAAACAGUACUCGGUUCAAAUUUUAGAAAAAUUACGAUUUUACCCCUAAAUUUUUACAUAUUUCCAUUUUUGUCUCAAAGCUCGGAAAUUAAAUUUUAUUCCUUAUUCUUGUGUUUUAUAACAUGCUGAACACUUUUCCCUUCUAUAGCAACAUCCAAUUCUCACUCUAAUACUUAUGUACAUUAGGUAUUUUUAUCGAUUAUGUCAUUUUACUCGUUUCUACUUAAAAUCACUUAGCAAAAGUUGUUUAACAUAAUUCUAAGCUUCAUAAUCUAUCAUGAAACAUCAAAAUACACACUUUUCACCUAUGGGUAAUUUUCCAAAUAUAAACCCUACCUCGAAUUAAUGGUAAAAUAAGCUAAAUCGAGCAACGAGAACUUCAAAAACGUAAAGAAUAUUAAAAACAGGGCUAGGAUGUACUUACAAUAAAGCUUGAAAGUGGCCAAAACCCUAGCUAUGGGAGACUUGUGAUAUUUGGCCAAGGUAUGAGGAAGAUGUACACAUUUUGGCCUUAUUUUCCCUUUUUAAUUCAUUUAAUUUCUAAAUGACUAAAAUGCCCCUAAUUAAAAAAAUCUAUUUUUCUAAUUCUAUGUCCAUUUUUGUCUCACAAACUAACCAAUGGUCUAAUUGUUAUAUAAGGACCCCCAAUUUAUAAUUUCAUAACAAUUGAGCAUCUUUAACAUUAAAAUUCAACUUUUUCACUUUUUAUAAUUUAGUCCUUUUGACUAAAUUGAGUGCUCAAACGUCGAAAUUUUUGAACGAAAAUUUCACGUAAUCUUUUCGUGAAAUUGUAGAUCAUAAAAAUAUAAUGAUAAUAAUAUUUUCCUUUAUCGGAUUUGGGGUCCCAAAACCACUAUUCUAAUUAGGCCCUAAAAUCGAGCUGUUACAAAUUGUAAACUCAAAUGAAAUAAAUAAAGUACAACACAUUGAAUAGUUUUUGUUAACAUUCCAAUUCUCUUAAUCAUCACAACUGUACAUGUUGACAAACAAUCUUCACCAUCACCAAGUAAUUACUCCAAAAUUUGUCGAAACUAAUAUUAAAAACAUCCUUUACCUUCCCUAGUUUAAACCCAUUCUAAGCAAUAAACUUCUUGGAAGUGAUCAUGGCUUGCAAAUGACCCUUAUAAUCAUGCAAAUUCUUCAAAGUAAUAAAAGUAAUAGCAAAACAUUUCUCACUAGGAUGACAACCAACCCAAAGUCCAUUUGUGAUUAUACACAAAAAUUGUAAUAGAAGAAGCAUGCUAAAUUAAAAUGAGAUGUUUUACCAACAUCCUUCAAAAUUAAAUUGAUACAAGGUGCUGCACAUGGUGACCAAAAGAUGUUAGGAUACUUCUCAUGACAAAAUUUCCUAACAUCUUUAUAAUUUGAAGCAUUAUAUGUAAUUAGCUAGACCACAUUGCUCAAACCAACAAUUUUUACAAUCUUCGCAAAUAAAUUUUAAACUAAACUUUUCAAAAGCACUUCUCAAAAGUACUUUUCCACAACACUUUUCAAAAGCACUUUUCAAAAAAAUUACCAAACUAACCCUUAAAAUCCUCGGGCUUCGUUUGGUUUUUGAAAAUAUUUUUUAUUUUAAAAAAUUAAAAAAUAUAUGAUAAAUAAAAAUAAAAUUUUGUUUUCAUUAUUGAAAACAUGGUUGAUAACUAUUUUUCUAUAAUAGAAAUACGAAAAUUAAAAAAAAUUACAUUUAUAUGGAUUUAAAUGAUGAUAAUAAAUUUAAUAUAUGAAAAAUUGUUGAAAUUAAAAUAACCCGAUAUUUUUAUAUUUAUUUGGGUUUGAACAAAGGAUAACUCAUUUAAAGUUAAAAAAAAUUAUUUUGAUCAUUUUGAGUUUUACAAAAUAUUUUUAGUGAAUAAUAAAAACAAAUUUUUAUUAUUUUUCUCAUUUUUACAUAUUUUCAUCUGAAAAUUUACUUUUAAAAUUUCAACUAAAUGAAUGUUUUCCAUUUUAAGGAAAUGAAAAUGAAAAUGGCCUCUAUCUAUCCCCUAAAACUAUAUGGAGUCUUAAUUUUUAGGAUCAUUGAUGUAAGAUUCUUCUAUAAUUAUGCAAAAUUUGGGAUGAGCAACAACAAUAAGAUGUCUUGGACUGAUCCUUGUUGGAUAAACUACAAAUUUAGUAAUAAAGAAAUCAAAAAUAGUAAAGAAGAAACUAGAGAAUAAAAAAAUAAAAAUCAUAAAUAAAUAAGAAAUAAAAAGUGAAAGAUGGACGAGGAAACCGAUAGAUAUGAUGGAUAGAAGGAUAAAUGUAUAAUUGAACCCUUUGAAAUAUAAAUCCCAACAAACUCAAUUAAUGACUCUAAUCAACCCUCUAAGAAAUAAUCCUUGAAGAAUGAAUUGAAGGGUGAAGAAUGAAUUCCCACGACUUCUUAAAGAAAAUCAAGAAUAAAACUACUUCUAAAAAUUACAAGAAAGAAAUCUUGCACAAGAAAAAAACUCCCAGAGUUGAAAACUUUAUUAAUGAAAACAAUUGUCUCCUUAAUAAAAAAUGAAGAAGCCUUUAUAUAAGCUAGCUAAGUACAUCCAAAUAAAACUCUAAAGUAUACUGAAACUCUAAUUAAUCUAAAUAAAAAAGUAGUUUUAAACAAAACUUUCUUGGUAACAUAAAACUCCUAAAUAACUUAAAAUACAUAAUAAAUAUAAAAAAUUCGUAAUAAUAAAAUAAUAAGAGAUUAUAAAUGCAAUAUUGGACUCAUAUAUAAUAAAAAUUAAUCCAAAAAUCCGAACCAAAUAUGAUUUAAACUUGAGUUAAAAGCACAAAACUCGUAAUACCUGUCAUAACCCUGUCAAAAAAUUCUGCCCGCGCAGUUUUCACUAAAAUGGUCAUAAUUUGAGCUUCCGGACUCGAAAUCAAGUGAUUCCAUUCAAAAAGUCGACGCAAGUAUGCUGAUUUCCCAAACUUAAAAAUCGACAAUUUUGGUGACUGGAAUUUAAUAAAUUUCACCCCAUCCAUGCAUGUAUCACAUAUACAUAUUAGGUUACCCGUUCGAGUUUAACCUUUAAAACAAAAUCAGGUUACCAAUCCAAGCUAAACUUGCGUCACAUGUAUCUUCAAGUCCGCAACAAAUGUUGGAUUCUUGAAAUUAUCAAAAAUUGACCUGUAACCAUGUGUACGAUACAUUUACAAAGUUUCAUCAGGGUAAUUUGCAUCAUGCAAGUUCAUAUUUAUUCUCUUUUUUUAAUUUAAUCCAAAUCUCACACUUUAGUACUAAAUUGCAAACAAUUCAAAGUUCAAUAAAACAUACAUGUAUUCACAAUAUAGCAUACAUAAGGGUCUAAGCAUAAUUACACCAUAUGAACGUACCUGGCAAAAUGAAAUUAAACACAACAUACUAUUAUGUAGGCUACAACAUUAGUGUCAUUAAAAUUUUAAUGGUUCAACCAGUUUUCCAUCCACAAAAAUAAUUUGACUAAAAAUUGAAAGUUGAUGGCCAAGGUGAUCCAAAAAAAUAAGGUUAAAGUAACAAAAUAGAUACACAGUAGGGGUUAAAUUUAUCAUUAUGCCUUAAGCUUUUUAAAAUAAAGAUAAAAUUAUUUUAAUAUGUAGUGGUUUGAAAUUUUAUAAAUUAUAUGAAUUCUUUUAUGUAUUUUUACCAUAAAAUUAUAUUAUAUUAUUAAAUAUUGCUAAUAAUAAAUAUAUUAUAUAAUAUACACAGUAAUAUCUUUCACCUGAGUUAAAACUAAUUCCAAUUUUCACAAAAUGAGACAUGUCCAAAGCAAUUCAAUUAUUUAAUCAUUUGAAACUUGAGUCUUCAACCUUGCAACUUAGUUAUGCUUCAAUAAAUGAACCCCACUCUGAGAAAUUUUGAGGAAACAAAGUAUUUAUAGAAAUAAUUAUAAAAUGCAUAUUAAAAUAAAACAAGAUGUCAAGAAAUAAAUUGAAACAACGCAUAUAGAUUAAGCUCCAACUAUUGUAAUUUAACAUUAUAUUUCUCUCGAAACUAGGAAAUUUAGAAGCAAACUAUUUAAAAUCAUACACCAUCGAGCUGCUUGAGGUUCAAAUGUGAUUAUGUACAAAUGAUAAUCUGAUUACAUGCUUAGCGAGCACCUUCAAGUUCAAAUGUGAUUUUGUUAUUUAUGCUAUCAUACCCCAUCCCUGUCGAGCUGCUUGUUACACCAUCAUCAUAAGUGCUGGGAAACUUACCAAGCAAGUAUUCAGAUUCUUCGCUUACUAAAUUACUUUUACUCCAAGGAUGUUUAGCCAUUGCUUGCAGUCCUGCUAAUUCAUGGGCAACUUCCUUCAUUGUUGGCCUUUCCUCUCCCUUCACUCUCACACAUCUCCUAGCUAAAGUUGCUACUUCCAUAAGCUGCUCAACAUUUUCAUCAUUAAGCACUCGAGGGUCGAGAAUGUCGAGCAAACGGUCUUCUUUCAUCAAAGAUGUGAAGUACAUUGGCAAAACUCGAUUUUCUUCCGGUCUUUUGAAACAUACCACUUUUUGUCCUGUUAACAACUCCAUAAGCACAACCCCGAAGCUGUAAACAUCACUUUUUUCAGUAAGAAGGCUUGAAAGCAUGUAUUCAGGAUCCAAGUAACCGAAAGUUCCUUGCACAAUUGUAGUUAUUUGUGCUUGGUCAGAUGGGAUCAAUCUGGAAGCCCCAAAAUCAGAAACUUUUGCGGUGUAAUUGUCAUCUAACAGUAUGUUCGCCAACUUGAUGUCUCGGUGAAUGAUUGGAAUGGAAGCUGCAGAGUGCAAAUAAGAAAGGGCUUCUGCUGUUUCAGUGGCUAUUCUCAGACGGGUCUCCCAUGAAAGAUAAGAGGUAGCAUCAUCAUUAUGCAAAUGGUGAAAAAGGGUUCUGUUGGUGAUAUAUUCAUAAACUAACAGCGGAACUUGUGUCUCUAAACAACAUCCUAGGAGUUUGACAACAUUCCUAUGGUUGAUUUUGUAGAGCACCAUUAUUUCAUUAAUGAAUUGUUCAACUUGGCUAGGAUCUCCAAUUAUUGACUUUUUGAUGGCAACUAUUUGAUUAUCAGCCAAUAUUCCCUUGUACACUGUCCCUUGCCCUCCCUGUCCUAAAAUUCUGCUUUCAUUGUAAUUGUUUGUUGCCUUCUCGAGCUCCUCAGCUGUAAAUACUUUAACAUCUUCACGGUACCCUUGUCGUUUUGAAAGUUGUUCCCGCAACAAAAUGCCACCAUUUUGCUGAAAGUUAGCUUCUCUUAAUUUGGAAAUUUGCCUUUGCCUCAGCAUCCAACACCACAAUACUAUCCCCAAGAGAAGACCAAGAAACCCAAUGGCAACCCCUAAGGUCAAAGCAUAAAAUAAUAAUAAUAGUUACAUUAGCCAUGGUAAUGUAAUCUAAAAGUGAAAAGUCAUGCAAAAUUGUAUAUUGAGAGUAAUAAAUAACGAAAUUGUUUGUGUCAAGCAGAUCCAAUUGACUCAAGAUUGAGUUGGGUAAGUUAAGGAUAUGAGUCCUGCUUGUGAAUGUAGUUCCACUUGUUUACAAAUUACUUCAUAAAAAUAUAACCGAAAUUAUUGUUAGAUAUAAAAAAAAAUUAUUCCAUAAUGGGAAAUUGUGGUUAAAGAUGAGCAUGGACUCACGCCAAGGCUGCAGAGAAGUUUAUUGAUUUUUUGAAGGAUAAAUUUUAAAAUUAUACAUGAAUUAUGGUUUAAUGUGUAAUUGUAUACAUGAAAUUUUGAUUUGAUUCAUUUUUUAAUUUAUUAAUACAGUUAUUGAUAUAACAUCAUUUUAUGAUUAUGUAUUGUAUACAUAAAUAGUUAUAUUUAUCCAAUAUAAAAAUAAAUUGAUGUAUUUAUUUCUUUAAAUGCGUAUGAUUAAAUCAAAAUUAAAGUUUUAAAUAUACAUAUGAACCACAAUUAGAGUUUCAUGUGUAUAACUGCACCAAAUUAAAGCUCAUGUAUACAAUUGUACAUUAAACCAAAGUUCAUGUAUAAUUUUGAGAUUUAUCUCUUUUUUAUUUUAAUUAUUUAUAUUUUAAAUAAUUUAACUAGAGUAAGAGAACAAGUUGGAUAAGGAUAAGUGUAUAAUAAUUUCGCGUCUUUAAAAAUUGAUAACGAGCCAAAAUUUUAUUGAUUCUUAAAAUCUUUCAACUUCAUUUAAUUUUUGAAAAUAUUUUCUAUUUUUUAAAAAUUAAAAAACAUGUUUGAUAAAGAGGAAUAAAAUUUUGUUUUCAAUAAUGAAAACAGGACUGGUAAUUAGUUUUCUAUAAAGAAAGAUGAAAAUUGAAAAAAAAAAUAAUGAAAACAAAUUUUUUCUAUUUUUAUUUACAAAGUCUUUUUAGUACAAAUAAUGAAAACAAAAUUUUAUUAUUUUUCUAAAUUUUACAUAUUUUCAUAAUUUUUUAAAAAUUAUUUUCAAAAAUUUGAACUAAACACAAUUUCUUGAAUGUUUUUCAUUUUUCAAGGAAAUGGAAUUGGAGUUUACUCCCUGAAACCAAACGGAGUAUUUUAAUUUAUAUUUUGGGGUUACUAACCUAGAGCAACAAUAAGAGGAGAUGUCUUGGACUGAUCCUUGUUGGGUAAACUGCAACCUGUUCCACUUUUCUUACCAUCGCCUUCAUAACCCACCGGACAUGAACAAUUGUACGUCCCAGGUAAGUUGGUACAUCUUGCCGUUCCAUUGCAAGGGCUCAUACUUUCACACUCGUUUAUAUCUGAAAUUUGCAGAUUGUAUGCAAGUAAUAAGUAACACUAUCUUUAAUGUUAGAAACUACAAAUCCAUGGGGUAUAUAUACCUAUAGUUACCUUGACAUCCAUUAGGGAGGUAAGGGUUCCCCACGUAACCCUCAAGACACUUGCACAAAUAUCCAGAGUUAUUUUCUGAAUCAACGCAUUUACUAUACUCUUUGCAUGCAAAAUUGUUUACAUCCAUAUUCGCUUCGUUGCAACUCGUAUUCCCGAUGUUCCAAUCAAGAGUGAUUGGAAACUGCCUGCUUUGAAACUCAAAACCACGAAGAUCUGAAGCAGAGAAGGUAUAACUAUCGAUCUCUGCAACAAAUGCAUAGCUGCAGGGGUUUUCGGGCAACACAUUGGUAUGGUUGGCGUAGCUGUCGAGACUUAUGUUGUAGCUCCUCGCAUCAUUUGGGAUACUUGUCUGACAGCAGCCAAUCCCAGAGCAAGACCCGUUUGAAACAUCAGUGAUGUUGUUACACAACGACAAACAACCAGUUGCGUAACGUUGUCCGUAGGAACCAACUUGCUGCACGACAGCAUACGUGUCGCACCCGAUUGCAGUAAACUUGUUCUUGUUAUUGUUUAUUGAAAAUUCAGAAAUCCAAAGGUAGUAAAAUAACCAAUUCCUGUAUGAUGUGUUGUAACAAUCAUAGCUUGUAUUAUAAAGUAUGCGCAAUCGACCAUCGGUAGAUAUGUUGAUGACUUCGAUGUCACCGUAGAACGGUUUGUGGGGUAUGAAACUGGUGUUACAGUUGAUGAAAAAGCCUGCAGUGAUGUUGCAAUCGCCGCCGGUACCGAACGGGUAUGGGAUGAUAACAUCUCCGCAGCGGCUUCGGCAGCCAGGUUUUGCUACCGCUGGUGUUGAAGCUUUUACCGUCAAUAUAACAUUAAGCAAGAUCAUCAGCUGCAUACGCGCUAGUGAUCUGAUGGAACCCAUGGAUGUUUUUUCUAGACUGGAGGAUACCAAUGCAUCAAUUUACAAAUUCAGAAAUAUAUAAAAAGGGUUAGGGAAGCCUGCUUGACCUUACUAAAUACUAACAGUAGGGAGGACGUAAAGUGACCCAAAAGACGAGCGGGGAAUAUCAGUGUUGUCUGUUCUUUGGCUUUCGCUGUUGAAUAACGCGUGGUGACUUUGGAUUGUCCAUAAUUUCUUGGAAUUGAAAUGCUAACUUUGAUUCUGUCAAAUUAUAUAUAUACACAUAUUUAGUGCCUGAUGGCUGUCUAUGGCAGAUAUAAGCUUGUUCUAAAUGUUAGAUGAAAAAACAUUUUGCAUUAAUAAUACAAGAUAAAUAAAUAUUGAAAAUUUAUUCGGUAAAGAAUUUUUAAAAUUCACGAGUUUCCAUAUGUGACAUAAAUAUUUAAGUAUUAGAAAAAAUAAAACACAUUCGGAUUAAGUAUUGCUACUCCAAAAAAGAUAUUAAGUGAUUAUUAAGAAAAGAUAUUUAAUAUAUUUUAAAAUUUGAAUAUAAUUAAAAAUUUAUUGAAAAGUCAUAUCUACCUAAAUCAAGAUUGUGUAUGUUAAUGAUAAAUAUUUAAAAGAAAAUCAAAGCAACAUCAAUUUUUACUACUCCAGACAAUUAUAUGAAGCGAUAGAUGAAUGCAGUUACAACGCAAUACUUUCACAUGGAUUAUAAAGUAAAGAUAUUAGAAAUUAUAUCACUUACCUAGUGUUUUCUUUUAGAAUUUUUGCCAUUUAACUAAGUGAUAACUAUCUGAUACCGGACAUUCAAUCCCCUUUGGUUUAUAUGUAAUUUGCUUUUAAAAUUAUUGUUUUCCUCUGCUUGCACAAGCAUUAAUAAAUAAAAUUAGUAAAAGAAGUGAAACACAUCUUCAUCUAGUGGAUUCCAUUCUCGUAAUUAAAUCAUAAUCUUUGAGAAAAUUAGAAGAUUGAUAAAAUAAUUUAUUAAUAUUCAAACUUAAAUAAAGAUAAAAUAUGAAUACAUAUCUAAAAGAAAGAUAUUUAAUUAUAAAAUAUGAAUACGUAACUAUACAAUUCUUACAUUUAGACAUAGACAUCUAAAACUUGAUAGCAAACAUACAUGUACAAAGUUCUAAUAAGUAGAAAACUUAGGUCUUUUCACUUGGUUUUGCUUGCAAUACAAGUAGAUUUUAUGAUUUUCUUUUACAUUGAUAAUAUAAUACAACAAAGUGAAGUUAAAAAUAAUUGAAAUGCGGAUAAAUUUGAUGUGAAAAUGAUAUUAAAAUUAUAAAUUUUAAGUUAUCAAGGUUGACUAGGUUUUAAAUUAGUUUGAUAUAUAUUAGCUGUAAGAUCUAACCUGAAUUCUAUAUUAAUUAAUUAUGAGAUGAAUAAAGAUGUCGUAUGUAAAUGAUAUUAAAUAAUUAAUCAAACAUAAAUCAAAUCAAAGUAAUUGGAAAAAAUAUUUUAGUUUAAGUUGAUUUGAUUUGAUUUGAAUGUUAUGUUUGAUGAUGAAUUGAUUAGUUUGAUCUUUAAUAAAGAAAAGUUCCUGUAAGUAUGUUUACUUUUUUUUUUAAUAAAGAAAAUGAAGGUCAUAAAUAAAUAGUGAAAGAAAAACUAAUCAAAUGAAGAUUUUUCAUUUUAAAUAGAGAUGAGCUUCCAUCAAAAUAAUUUGUUAGGAAAUAAAAAUAGUAUGAAUGGACCACAAAAUUAAUUGCAUUCUCUUUUAUUAAAAAAAUAUUAAAAAGUCCAAACUACAAUUCCAAUUGUAAACUCAAAUGGAUUAAAUAAAGUACAACACAUUGAAUAGUCUUUGUUAACAUUCCAAUUGUCUUAAUCAUCACAACUGUACAUGUUGACUAACAAUCUUCAUCAUCACCAAGUAAUUACUCCAAAAUUUGUCUAAACUAAUAUUAAAAACAUUCUUUACCUUCCCUAUUUUAGACCCAUUCUAAGCAAUAAACUUCUUGGAAGUGAUCAUGGCUUGCAAAUGACACUUAUAAUCAUGCAAAUUCUUCAAAGUAAUAAAAGUAAUGGCAAAACAUUUCUUACUAGGACGACAAUCAACCCAAAGUCCAUUUGUGAUUAUACACAAAAAUUGUAAUAGAAGAAGCAUGCUAAAUUAAAAUGAGAUGUUUUACGAACAUCCUUCAAAAUUAAAUUGAUACAACGUGCUGCACAUGGUGACCAAAAGAUGUUAGGAUACUUCUCAUGACAAAAUUUCCUAACAUCUUUAUAAUUUGCAGCAUUAUAUGUAAUUAGCUAGACCACAUUGCUCAAACCAACAAUUUUUACAAUCUUCGCAAAUAAAUUGCAAAGAGUAUCGACAUCUAAAAUCAUGUCUGAUGCGUUAAUGGGUUUGAUAAAGCAUAAUCCUUUAGGAAAAUAGACUAGAAACUUGGUUGAUGACUUUUGUCUCGUAUCUUUCUACCCACCUCCCAUUAUGGUGCAUCCACAUUCUACCUCAAUGCUGUAAAUCCCUUUUUGAGUAUUCUAGUAGAUUGGUUCACAAUGCAUGAUAUGAUGGAGCUUUGUAUCUCAAUCCCAUAUAUGCUAUGGCAUCAAGGCACAGUUGAAACUUGUGAAUCUUUGAUCCUAUUUGUAGAGUCUAAAAACUCCGUUGGCAAUAUAUCAAAUAAAUUAUUUUAUUUUUUUAAUAUUUUAACACUUGUCAAUCUCCUGACAUUGGUUAUGGAGUCUAAAAACUUUAUUGGUUAUGUACCAAAUAAUAUUCCAAAUAAAAAAGUAUUAACUUGACAGUGUACUUUUUUUAUUCCAUAAGCAUUCUUAAAAAAAUUGACAUUGUCUUUCUUUUUAAUAUCUAUUUUUUUUUAAUAUUUCACUAUACUUUUACAAGACAUUUGUCCACCCCUGAUCAUGCUUAUGAAGUCUAAAAAUUCUACUAAUUGUGUUUUGUUAUAAAAUAAAGAAAGAUGGAAAGAAUAUUGAUCAAUUGGGAUGAUUACAAUGCUUCAUCAGAGUCUCUAUUUAUAGGCAUAAGAAGUAUAAAAGAAGUAGAGAUCUAAUUCUAAUAACUAUUAGAAUUUAAAGUACAUUAAAACUUUAUCUUGAUCAUGAUAGACAUCCACUUAAUAAGAUAUUCAUAACACUCCCCCUUGCAUAUCCAUUGGUAGAUAAUAUACCUCGUUAAAACCUUAUUAAGAAACCCUGUGGGAUAAAAACCUAAUGAAGGAAAAAGAGUACACAAUCUAUAAUACGCAUAAUAUGCUGCCUCAUUAAAAACCUUACUAGGAAAACCCAAUUAGACAAAACCUCGAUUAAGGGAAAAAGAGUAUAACACAUAUUUACUCCCCGUCAUGAAAACAUCACAUACUUUCUCAUAUUUUACGUAUUCAAUCUUGAAUACUAGUUUUUCAAAUGUCUAUUUGAAUGUAUUGCUAAGUAUUUAUAUCACUAUUCUUUUAAAAGUCAUGAGUGAGGGAAAUUUGGGAAAAUACAUUUUGAUCUCUUUAGGAGAUUCAACAAUAAUCAUAACAAACUUUAAUUCUUUUGUAAAAACACAAAUGGGUAUUUUGGAUCAUUUUAUAAUCCUCCUUCAAUUACUAUUCACUAAGUCAAAUUUAACACAUAUAUUCAAAUUAUUUCAAUUCAUAUAAAUGAACAAUUUCUCGAGAAGUUCAAUAUGCUUCUAGCAUCCUAAAUCCUUUAAAGAUUUUACUAUAAACUUUACUAUAUAGUGAUUCAUAAAAGGUUGUAAUAAUAACCAUUAGACGCAAGUUAAAUCUUUUAUGAAUUGUCAAUUUAAUAAUAUAUCUAAAGGUUAUUGCAUCCACCACAAAAGAAUAUUAUAUCUUUUCAUAAUUAAUGGCAGAACUUAGCGAAAAACUUUAUAUUUUUAUUCUGCUUUUGCAGAACUACUUCAAUUGAACCCUCACUGACUUUAUACCUUUAGAUAUUUGGACUACUGGUCCAAAAACUCUAGAAAUUUAAUUGUACUUGAGUUAUGUCUUUUUAUUUUGAUCAAUUUAUUCCAUAUCUAUAUUUCUCAAUAGAUUUAUUCAAGAUCCUCCUUUUACCUCAUUAUUUCAAUAGUAAUAUUGCAUGCAAAAUCAUUGUCGACCAAUUUUAUUAUUUGGUUCCACAUUUUCUCGAAUUGACAUAACUUAUCGAGAUCUCUUAUUUUUAUUAUUUUAAAAUUCAGUUUCAGGUACCUGAAUCUCUUGUAAAGUUUUACUUAUUAGUUAUGUCUUAGGUCUCUUCUAGAGCACCCGCCUCUACUGUAUGACCAUCUAGAAGAAUUUUCAUUUUGGAACCGAUAAAUCUAUUAUUUAUUAUAACUAAUUGUCCUACUGGGACUUUGAUUCAAAUUAAAAUAUUAGAUGAUAUAUAACACUUGGUUAUUCUCAUUAUUCAAAUUAAAAUAAUAUCAAGAAAUGAAAAAAAAAUUUUAAAACGUGACAUUAUAAGCACAAUCAUUUCUGGUUAAUGAAAUAUAAGCAUAACUAAUUGGCUUUCUAAUUCCAGCUUGAGUUUAUCAUUUCACUUUGUAAUUAAAUCUUUAAUUAAGCUUGUAAAUUGACGUGAUAUUAUGAGUUUUAUCGUUUCACUUUGUAGUUAAUUUUUUUUAAAUGAGAUGAAAAUAAUAUUUCGACGACUAAGAAUAGUGAUAGUAACUGAUUUAUUUGGUUUACAAACUAAGUUUUUAGAUGUAUAUUUGAGGGAAAAUGGCCCCGAUAACAGCUUUUGUUCAUAAUAUCAUGGAAAAGUUAUUAACGCAUUCAUUCCGGUGAAAAAAAAAGUAAGAGUGGAAAAAAGAUUUGGUUUUGUCAGAUGUAGUAAUAUGACGGAUGGGAGAAGGGCUAUUAGUCGAUCAAACGACUAUGAUAUUUUAGGAAAUGUUAGACUUUCACAAAAUAUUCAUAAAAGAAGACUUUAUUACUGUUUAUUAUUUCUCCUUUAAUGCAUGCAGAAGUCUCAUGCAUUUAUAGACAUACGUACAAUAAAGAAACUCUGGUAACAGACUAACUGCAAUCGAUAACUACACUAAUAGCCUUAACAACUUUAACAACUUUGAUAACUACUCUAACAUUCCCCUUGCUUAUUUGUUUUUGUAUUACAAAGAUCUCUUGAUGGCAGCACUCGAAGAGCACGUCUGAAGGAAGAAAAUUGCUUAGGCGUGAUCGGUUUUGUAAGGACAUCUGCAAUUUGUUGAGCAGAGGGAACAAAAUUGACUUGUAAACAACCAGCAAGUAUUUUUUCCCGAACAAAAUGAUGGUCUAUUUCAACGUGUUUCAUUUUGGUAUGAUGAGUGGGAUUUUCAGCAACAGAUAUUGUGGAAGAGUUGUCGCACCAGAUGGUUGGUAUCUUAGACAUUGACAUUCCAACUUCAUUUAGCAACUGUUGAGUCGAUAGGAGUUCAGACACGCAGUUAGCUAAGUUGCGAUAUUCUGCUUCAGCAGAGGAACGAGAGACUACGGACUGUUUCUUUGAACACCAAGCCACAGGAUUUGACCCAAGAUAUAUCACAUAUCCAGAAGUGGAACCCCGAUCUUCGAUGGAAGAGGCCCAGUCAACAUCCGAAUAUCCUACCAGUUCUAGUUGUCCUGCUGUAAGACACAAACCAUGAUCCAUGGUGCCAGCUAAAUAUCUUAAUACACGUUUGACUGCCCUCCAGUGAGUGUCACUUGGUGCACUCAUGUAUUGGCUAAGUUUAUUGGUGCAAAAUGACAAUUCGGGUCGUGUAAUACAAACAUACUGAAGCAUGCCCACAACACUUCUAUAUAAGUGCACAUCAGAGAAUGGAGGACUGCCAUCAGAAGCUACCAGCUUAGGCGUGCUUACCAUCGGAGUUAGCGUGGAUGUUGCUCCAAGCAUUCCAGUUUUCUCAAGUAGUUCAGUAACAUAUUUCUUUUGACUGAGCAUCAGUCUCUGUGAAGUGCGGCGAACAUCAAUGCCCAAAAAAAAACUGAGUGCUCCCAUGUCCUUGAGAGCAAAUUUGCUGUGAAGACACUGCACAACAUCUUCAAUGUCUUGAUCAUGACUUCCAGUAAGUACAAUAUCAUCAACAUAGACCAUGAGUAGAAGACACUUCCCAUCAGACACACGAAUGAACAAGGAGGAAUCAGCUUUAGAUGCUCGAAAAUCGAGUUGAGUCACGAGAUACUCCUUAAGAGUCUGAAACCAGGCGCGAGGAGCUUGUCUCAACCCAUACAGUGCUUUAUUUAGUUUGCACACCAGUUUUUGACCAGAGACACUUGGGACUUCAAAGCCAGGAGGUUGGUCCAUGUAUAUUUCUUCAGUAAGCUUACCAUUGAGGAAAGCAUUGUUAAUGUCGACUUGGCGUAGAGACCACCCCUGCAUAACUGCAAGUGAAAGAACAGUGCGAAUGGUGGAAGCUCGAACCACUGGACUAUAUGUAUUAUGGAAAUCAAACCCAGCAUGUUGAGAAAAACCUUUUGCAACUAACUGAGCUUUGUAUCUGUCAAUGGAGCCAUCAGACUUUCUUUUAACCUUAAACAAUCAUUUGCACCCUACUGCCCUCCGAUUCUCUGGAAGGGAACACAAAGUCCAGGUAUUAUUUCGAGCCAAGGCUUGGAGCUCACUAUAAACUGCUUCCUGCCAACACUCAAACAUCAUUGCCUCAUGAAUAUUGGAAGGAUCAUCUUUUUUGGAAGAAGCUGCUGUACUAAGAUACACCUUUGGCUUAAAAACUCCAGCCUUGCUUCUAGUAAUCAUGUGAUGAUUAUUGAGGGUCAAGGGUUGGAGAGGUUGCUCCUGUUGUUGAAGAGAAGUCAACAUAGGUGCGGAUUGUGGGGAUGGUAUUGUUUGUUGAGAAGAGGGUGUUAAAGGUGAUAAAGUAGGUGUACUAUGUAUUACAUUAUGGGAAGCAGAUUGUGAGUGAGACAUUGCAUGUGAUGGGAUAGGUGUAGUGGAGGUAGGUGGCGUAUUUGGUGGAAGUGUAGACAAAGUGCUAGAACACGACACAUGGGGUGAAGGAACAACUAAAAGUUUAGCACUAACUUGUGAACUAGAAACAGGUGAUGUAACUGGUGAACAAUGACUUUUGUAUGGAAAAGUAUUUUCAUUAAAGGUGACAUGACGGGUAACAUAGACUCUACCAUUGGGGUCUUUACAUUUAUAACCUUUAUGUACUGAGGAAUAACCUAGAAAAACACAGGGUAUUGAACGAAAUUGUAACUUUGCUUUGGUAAACGGCCGAAUGUUGGGAAAGCAUAAACAACCAAAAGUUCUAAGGUAAGAGUAGUCGGGUUUUGUUUGAAAUAGUUUUUCAUAUGGUGAGACAUCACCCAAAGGAUGAGAGGGUAACCUGUUAAUCAAGAACACGGCACUGCAGAAGGCUUCAUUCCAAAACAUCAGAGGCAUUGAUGCAUGAGCUAACAUAGAAAGACCUGCUUCAACAAUCUGCCUGUGUUUACGCUCAACAAGGCCAUUCUGAGCAGAUGUGUAGGGACAUGUGAGUCGGUGCACAAUACCUUGUUGAUUCAGAUAAGUUUUCAAAGCCUGAAACUCUCAUCCCCCGUCUGUCUGCAGAGACUUGAGCUUUGUACCAAGUAUUCUUUCAGCUUGGCGAUGAAAUUGUGGAAACACAUUUUAAACUUCAGAAUUGUUCUUCAGAAAAUAAAGCCAUGUAUACCGAGAAUAGGCAUCAGUGAAGGCAAUGUAAUACCGAAAACCAUUGGAAGCAAUUGGAGCUGGUCCCCAAACAUCAGCCACAAUCAGUUGUAGAGGUGAAGUAUACACAGUUGCUGAUUUUGUAAAAGGAAGCUUACAUUCCUUACCAAGAUGGCAUGCCACACAAUCAACAAAUUUAUUACUAUCAGUAAAUGGUAUAUUACAUCUUAUAAGUGCUUUUCUAAGAUUAGCACGACAGGGGUGUCCUAGUCGAUAGUGCCAAACACUAAGAGGAAGUUUGACACUAGUCGAAAAACACUGAGCAGACUUGAAAGGCGCAUGAGCUCCAGUAGAUUGAUUAAUAUGAAGUCUGUAUAACCCAUGAUGAACGGAACCACGAAGUAAAAUCUCCCUUGUCUUCAAAUCACGCACUUGGCACUGAUCAGGGAAAAAUUCAAACAUGACCUGAUUGUCUUUAGCAAACUUGGAGACAGAUAAUAGAUUUUUAGUAAUUCCAGGAAUGAGUAACAAGGAUCGUAUGUACAGAGGUCGAGAGUGAGUAAGCAAGGACGACUGUCCAGCAGACAUAACAGGCAAAGCCGAACCAUUGCCAACAAAUACCUUACCUGGGCUUUUGAAAGAUCCAGAUUCACCAAUGGAGCUAGCUGAAUUUGUUAAAUGAUGCGUGGCACCUGAAUCCGGAUACCAAGAAUUAUCAGCCACAGUUUCAGGGGUUGCUACAUACACCUGAGGUGGUGUUUGAGCUGUACCAGAGGACGGCAUGGGAACCUGUUGUGGAGAACUACCAACAAACGGAUUAGUCCAAGUAGACGAUGGAGGAGUGGAAAAACACCAACCUGAUGAAUUCCAUUGAGGUUGAGAAGAAGUGAACCAAGGCGUAGUAAAAGAACCGGAGCCAGCCAUGCUGAUGUUUGCUUGUAGAGGAGGCCUGUAGUUAGUACUCUUGUAAGAAGAGUCAAACCGAUGAUAACAGCGAUCAACAAGAUGACCAGCCUUCCCACACAACUGACAUUGAAUCUUCGAGUGAAAAAAAUGACCUCGCCCACGCCCCCGAUUCAUAGAUGAUGGUUGAUAAGAAGGAAUGGGAUCAUUAGAAGCUGUGGAGUCAGACGUUUGAUGCAAUACCACGUUAGCAGAACUAGAAACUUCAGUACUCACAAGCUGUUGUCGUGCUUCAGCAUCAAGAAGCAUAGACACUACUCCUUGAACUGUGUAGGGAACUUGGCUGGAAGUAACAAUGGUAAUAACAGAUUCAUAGUCUGGAGGAAGUCCAUUGAGAAUUGCAGUGAUGUGCUCAUGCUCACUAAUGAUUUCACCACAACUGGCAAGAUGAUCACAACAGCCUUUAAUCUUGACCAAAAAAUCUUUCAUGCUCAUUUCACCCUUGCGCUGAGAGUGCAAAGUCCGCCGAUAAAACGUUAAUUUGGAAGUGGUUUUACUCCUAUACAAGGCAACAACUGCUUUCCAGAUCUUCGCACUUGUAUCCAUGCCAAUAAGGUGAGGGAGAACAGACGGACUAAUAGAAGAUAAUAGCCACGACGCAAGCGCACUAUCUUGUUGCUCAAAAUGCGCAAACUCCGGAUUUUCACAACAACCCCCAUUGUCAUCGGAAAUAAACUGAGUAGGAGGAUCUUGAUUCUCAUCCAAGAAACGCUGAAGCUUGUGUGCUUUCACUGCUAAAAGAACUUGCUGUCUCCACAACAAAUAGUUGCUAUCAUCAAGAAGAACACUGAUCUUCUUUGAUGAAAAAAUCUUACUAUCGACAACUCCAUCAACAGAACUGCAGGCCAUACUGAAUAUACACAGCGGAAAAUCAAGUAAAAAACACCAAGAAACACUUUAAAUCUGAUACCAUGUUAGACUUUCACAAAAUAUUCAUAAAAGAAGACUUUAUUACUAUUUAUUAUUUCUCCUUUAAUGCAUGCAGAAGUCUCAUGCAUUUAUAGACAUACGUACAAUAGAGAAACUGCUGGUCACAGACUAACUGCAAUCGAUAACUACACUAACAGCCUUAACAACUUUAACAACUUUGAUAACUACUCUAACAGGAAAUAGAUUAUUGGUGACUUAGCCAAGUUUAAGGAGGGAGAUAGAUAUGGAAAAAAUCUUCAACGGAAGGAAAUGCAGAACAGAGACAGAACGAAAAAAUAAAAUGGGGGAGAAUGAAAAGUUGCAAGAAUUUAGCAAAACAGAAUUAGGAGAAAGUUCCUCGAGGAGUAAUAAUGAUCCAAAUAAGAUAGAAAAGGAGGAUGACAAGGUAAAGAAUAUCAGCAUAGUGGUUCAAGGACAUGUUGAAGAGGAGCAACAUUGGAAGCUUCAUAGAUGUUUGGUGGGUACAACAGCAGCGUGUUGUGAUACAAAAAGUUUAUUUGAAAGAAUAGUUAGGAAUGGAUUAGGGGAAAAUUACAGUCAAAAGAAUUCAAGGAAGAUAAUUUUUUAUUGAAAUACCAGAUGAGGAAUUGUUUGAUGUGUUAAAGCAAAACGAUUGGGCGUACUUAAGAGAGUUCUUUAUUAACAUAUAACUUUGGUCAGGGACAAUAAUGGUAGAGGAAAAAGUGUCGUGGAUUGAAGCAUAUGGUAUCCCCCUACACUGUUGGAACUAUACUUCCUUCAAAAGAAUAGCAAUUGUAUAGGGUGAGUUAAUAUCCCUUGGAGAGAAGCCGGUAAUGGUUAACAGCUUGGAUAAAAUGUUAAUGUUGGUAUCCAUCAAGCAACCGAAAAGAAUAAACGAGAUAAUUUAUUUAGAGGUGGGGAAGACUAAAUUUCCCAUAAGAGCCACUGAAAUGGGAUUAUCGAAAUUUAAAGGUGAUAACAGAAAGGUCUAUAGUGUGAAGGGAAGAGAAGAGCAUGAAUUAGUACAGGAAAGGGAUGACACUUUCGUGUCUGAAUCUGAAUCAACGAUGAGAUUAGGAUUGGAACAGAAUCCAGAGGAGAGACAAGGUUGGGAAAAUGAAGCAAUCAAUGCGAUUAUUCUCAAAAAAUCAAACGAUAAUUGCGGAUGUCAGAACAUUUCUCAAAACGUGAUUAAGUUGGAAGAGAAACUGAUCAGUGGAAUUAGGGUCGAAACUAGGGUGGGGGAAGGAUUUAAAAAGUGUGCAACAACCGGGCCAGGGAAUAUAUGAGUAAUAUGGGCUUCGCAAUAGAUGAAUUAGGAUUGGAAAAUGUGGAUGGGGUCUAAGAUGAGCAACGAAAUAGUGAGAAGGGUAUGGGCUUGGUGAUGGAUGUGGGCUUACAGAAAGUCAAUCCAAAUAAGUUAGAGGGGAACAGAUUGCAACAAACAAAAUGAAAAAUUGGGUGAUUUGGGAGGAGGAGGAGUAGAUAGAGAAAAAAAGGUUUCAGUUGAAGCACCUUCAAAUUUUCUUAAACAGAAGAAACAAAAAAGUGAUGGAAGAAAGAUUUGAUUUAGAAUAGAAUUCUUUUAGCAAUGGAGAAGAAGAAGAGAGAUCGGGCGUUGAAAAAGUAGAAAGGCAAAUGAAUUGUGGGCAGAGAGAAAGUUAUUGUUAAUGCUUCUCUCUCAAACUCUGACAUUAGCAAUAGAAAUAGAUUGAUUCUUAGGGAGGCAAGGAACGCAUGGAAAGUGGGGAAAAAUCUUGGGUUCAGCAUUCGGGGCAACGAACGAGAUGUUGUUAGAGAGAAUAUGAAAUUGGAAGAAAUGUAAAUCUGAGAAAAAAAGAAAAGUACAGAGGUCAAUAGGCCACAGGUUAGGUUAGUACCAAUUAUAAUCGUGAUUUUUUACUGUGAAUAAGAGUCUUUGGGGGAAAGAAUGAGGAUUUUAUAAUGGAACAUUAGGGGUAUGUCUUCAGAUUUGAAAAAAAAGUUAUCUCAAAAGAGUAAUCUUUAAAGCUAGAAUAGAUGUUUGCUUCAUUUAGGAAUCAAAAUUAGAAGAGGUUACGUAGGGAAUUCAACUAUUGUAAGGAAUUUAGGAGGUGUAAUUACAGUAUGGGAUAAAGGUAAGUUUUGAGUAGGUAGUUAUAUAUGUUCUAAACAUUUUGUACUAGUGGAAGGAAAAUGGUUAGAAGAAGGUUUGGAAGCUACGUUGAUUAAUGUUUAUGCACCUAAUGGGACUUCAAAUCAAAAAUCUUUAUGGGAGGAAAUUGUGGAGUUGAAGGGCUCGUUUGCCUACUCAUGGAUCAUGCGGGUGAUUUUAACACAGUAAGAAAAAGGAGUGAAAGAAGUAAUUGUGUGGGACUGGUGAAUGGUUCAAAGGCAUUUAACAGUUUUAUUGAUGAUUGUAAAGUGGUGGAUUUACUUCUGAUGGGUAAGAAGUUCACUUGGUUCGGGCCAAAUAACAAGAUGAGUAGAUUGGAUUGAUUUUUAUUGGAUGAAUAAUGGUUAAUUCGCUUCAAAGACUUUACUCAGAAAGGCUUUUAUAGAUCGGUUUCCGAUCAUAUUUCGUUACUACUAUAUAAUGAUUUUGUGGAUUGGGGAUCGCGCCCAUUUAAUUUUCUUAUUGCAUGGAUCAUAAAAAAGGAGUUCACGAAUCUUAUUAAUGAAGUAUGGGGAGGGAUGGGUGAAGCUAAAAUAAGGAUGUUCGGAAAGCUAAAGAGGUUGAAACUGGUUAUCAAAGAAUGGAAUGAAAAAUCUAGUAGGAAUGAAGAUAAAAGAAAUAGAAAUGAUUGAAAGAAAAUUUUCGGAAUAGGAUGAUAUUGGCAGCCACAGAAAUUUGAAUGAAAAGGAAAUAGAAGAAAGUAGCUGAUUGAAUAUAGAGUUGUGGGAUGCAAUUAGGUUCCAUGAAUCAGUGUGGCGUCAAAAAUCAAGGUUGUUAUGUUUAAAAGAAGGUGAUUCCAACAUUGUUUUUUCAUAAAGCAGUGAAAUUUAGAGCUAAAAAAAUUAUUCAAAGGCUCAGAUUUGAGUCUUAUUGGUGCAAAGAACCGGAGCUACUGAAGAAAAAAAUGUUCGAGUACUUUAGCAACCAUUUUAGUUGUCCAGUUAGAAAAUGAGUAGUGAAGAUGGAUCUAAAUUUUAAAAGAUUAAUAGAGGAAGAAGCUUCAAGGCUUGAAAUGCCUUUCACGAUGGAGGAGAUUAAAGACGCAGUUUGGGGUUGCAAUGAGUUUAAAGCUUUAGGGCCUGAUGGGUUUAAUAUGUUCUUCUUUAAGAAAUGCUAGUAGGUGAUGAGGGAGGAUUUAUUCAACAUGAUGAUGGGGUUAUUUAGACUUGAAAAGCUUGAAAAAAAGUAUAAAGUCAUCCUUCAUAGCUCUUAUUCCCAAAACCGAUUUGUUUGAUAGGAUCUUUAUAUAAAAUAGUGGCUAGCUAAGGUGCUGUCUAGACGAAUUCGAGAGGUGAUUGAUGGUGUAGUGAGCGAUACUCAGUGUACAUUUAUAAAAGAGAGACAGAUUUUUGGCAAAAUUCUGGUGGCAAAUGAAAUUAUUCACUCAAUUGUGAAAAAUUCGAGCUCGGGUGGUAGUUUAAUUUUGAAGUUGGACUUUUCAAGAGCCUAUGAUUGUGUUAGAUGAGGCUUUUUGGAUUUGGUACUUUUUUAGAUAGGGUUUGGGGUGAAUAGAGAGGGUGGAUAUCUAAUUGCGUAUCUACAACAAGAGCAACUAUUCUUGUCAACUGAUUGACAACAAAUGAGUUCAGAAUAAGCAGGGGCUCAGACAAGAGAUCUGCUUUCUCCAUUUCUGUUUAUUCUAGUAACAUAAGUGUUUCACUUGAUGCUUGAGAAGGCUGAAGAUAUUGGGUUAAUUGCUAGCAUUUAGAAUAUAAUCCCGAAUCAAUCAUUCUCUCUUCUACAAUUUGUAGAUGACACCAUUCUCUUUUUGAAAGCUGAGGAAGAGUAUGUUCUAAAUAUUAUAUAUAUUUUAAGGUGUUUCGAAUCUUUUUUUUGUCUUAGUAUUAAUUUUCAGAAAUCAUGCUUGGUGGGAUUUUGGACGAAAGAGGAGUUUCUUUUGCGCAUGGCAGCAUUUGGUGCUGAUCCGAGAAAAAUAGCUACUUGGGAGCCAAUUGUGGAAAAAUAUCGGAAGAAACUAGCUGGUUGGAAAUGUCAGUCGCUCUCUUUUGUUGCAAGAGUAAUACUAACUAAUUUGUUACUGUUAGCCCUCCCUAUAUAUUUCAUGUCAUUAUUUCAAGCCCCUAUCACGGUGAUAAAUAGAAUCGAUAAAAUCAGAAGAAAAUUUAUGUGGUGAGGUACAAAUGAAAGAAGAAGAAUGGCAAGAGUUGGAUGGAAUCAAGUGUGUUUACCAAAACAAUUAAGAGGGGUUGGUGUGGUAAAUCUUAAAAUUAGAAUCGGGCUAUUGUGGCAAAAUGGGGAUAGAAAUAUGCUACGAAAAAUAACGCUUUGUAGAAAAAAGUUAUCCAUUCGAAGUAUGGCUCACCUAUGCAACAUUGGUGAUUUAAGACAUCUAAACCAAAAGAGAUGUCGAUUGUAUGGCGCGAUAUUAUGAAAAAUUCAAAAUUAGAGGAAGUAUCAAAAUGGAUUAGGACAGAAUCUUUUAGGUAGGUGAUUGGGAAUGGGAAAUCGUUCCUCUUUUGAGAGGAUAUUUGGUGUGGUAAUUGACCUCUGAAGGUGGAGUUUCCUAGAUUGUUCAGACUUGCUAUUGUGAAGAAUAUUGUGGUCAACAAUGUAGUAAGGAAUAAUGGGUUUGAGGAGGUAUAUUGGGGAGGACGUUUUCUCAAGGAAGUUGCUGGGUAAAGAGGUAAUUAUGUUGAACAAUUUCAAGAAUUUGAUUAGGAGUUUUGAACUAGAUCUUGAAGUGGAGGACUGUAUCAUUUGGAUUCAUGAUAGUGCCAGAGAGUUUACAGUUAGGAAGUUGUCUCAAUUGUUGUCUUAUGAUGGAAUAGGAGCUAUUGAUUUCCCAUUUGAAAGGAUUUGAAAAUUGAAGGUACCACCAAGAGUCCAAAACUUCCUAUGGAUGUUGUUUAUUAAGAGUUGCAACGAAGGAUUUUUUGAUUAGCCGGGGGGUAAAUCUGGAUAGGUGUACAAAAAAUAUUAUGGUGGAUUACGAUUUCGGUGUCAUGUUGGACCGUGUAGUUAGCUUGGAACGAUAAAGUGUUCGACAGGACAUCGACGAAUCUAGAUACAAUAUUGUACCACUCUAAAAUGAUAACUUUGAUGUGGGCUAGGGCAGUGCAUGAAGAAUGUCAAUUUUAGGAACGUUAUUGGUGGUAUUGGCGAGCGAAAUUUAGCUCCUCAAAAAGCAUGACAAACAUUAUUGUUUACCAUUGGAAGCCACCUCCUCCCGAAUGGAUGAAAUUCAAUAUGGUUGGCUUUGUUUUGGAGGAUGAAGCGGGUUGUGGUGAGGUUUUGAGAGAUGAUAAAGGAGUGACUUGUGCGUUUUUCUCGGGUCGGAUCGAAGCUAAGGGAACAAAAAAUGGCAAAAAUAAUAGCAAUUAAAAUAAUAGUGGAUAUGGAUAUUGGAUCGAGUCCGAAGGCACAUGUUCCAUUAAUAAUUGAAUUAUGCUCGUUUGUUGCUUCAGAAUGGUUGAUAAAUAGGAGUUAUAGACCUUGGUUAUUACGUAAAUUGUUUGGUGACAUCGACUAUGGCAUUAAACAGUUGGCUCAAUUUCAGAUCGCAGUUAUUCAUCGACAAAGUAAUGGUAUGGAGGAUGCUUUUGCAGAAACAGGUAUAUCGAGAUCUUCUUUUUUUAAAGCCUUGUGGUGAAUUUGUUAAAUGCAUUCUUUUGCUUUUUGUGCGGAGGUUUUUGUAUCUGGUUGUUUGUUGUAUUAUUGUCGUAUUCUUGCUAUUCUUGAAACAGCUAGUGGUUCCAAUGUCUUUCUUGAAUUAUUUUAUUCGACUGAGAAAAAAAAACUUUAUAUUAUAAAUUUCUUUCUACUUUAGCAAUUAUUUUGGAAUUAGAAUACUUCUCAAUUCAUAUUAUUUGUUUAUAUUAAAUUAUAAAGUAAAAAUUUAAAACUUUAAAAAUACUAUAAACCUCUACAAUUUGUACAUUUAGACAUAGACUUCUAAAACUUGAUAGCAAACAUAUAUGUACAAAGUAUUAAUUGGUGGAAAACUUAUGUCUUUUUACUUAGUUUUGCAUGCAAUAAAUUUUAUGAUUUUUUUACAUGAUACUAUAAUAUAACAAAGUAAAAUUAAAAAUAAUUGAAAUGCGGAUAAAUUUGAUGUGAAAAUAGGGAUAAUAAAAUUAUAUAUUUUAAGUUAUCAACAUUGAUUAGGUUUAAAAUUAAGUGUAUAUAUUAUCUAGAUUUAAGUUCUAACAUGAUUUUUUUAUUAUAUUGAUUAUGAGAUGCACCAAUAUGUAAAUGACAUUAAAUAAUUAAUAAAACAUAAAUCAAAUCAAAAUAGUUGGUAAAAGUGUUUUAGUUGAUUUGAUUUGAAUUGAAUAUUUUAUGUUUGAUGAUCAACCGAUUAGUUUGAUCUUUAAAAACUUGAGUCCCCGAACGUAUGUUUACUUUUAACUUUUUAAUAUAAAAAUAAAAGUUAAAAUAUAUAGUAAAAGAAAAACUAAUCAGAAGAAGAAUUUUCAUUUUUUAAAUAGAGAUGAGCUUUCCUACAAAAUAUUUGGUGGAAAAUUCAUUAGGAAAGGAUAUUGUAUGAAUGUACCACAAAAUUAAUUGCACUCCCUUUGAUUAGAAAAGUAUUAAAAAGAUAAAAACGUCAUAAUCCAAACUCCAACCUUCAAAAUCCAAUACCAAUAUCAUUCAAAAUUGCAAACUCAAAUGGAACAAAUAAAGUAGAAUACAUUAGAAUAGUAUUCAUUAACAUUCCAAUUGUCCCAAUCAUCACAACCAAAAUAAAAAAGAUAAUCUUCAACAAGUUGGCUAACAAUCUUCAUGAUCACAAGUAAUCACUCAAAUAUUUGAUGUCUAAAAUAAUAUUUUGAACAUUCUUUGCCUUUACUAUUUUAGACCCAUUCCAAGCAAUAAAAUUCUUAAAAGUGACAUGACUUGCAAAUGGCACUUACAAUCAUAAAAAUUCUUUAAAGCAACAAAAAUAGUAGCAAAGCGUUUCUCACCAAGAUUACAACCAAUCCAGAGUUCAUUUGUGAUUAUACACAAAAACUAUAAAAGAAGAAUCACGCUAAACUAAACUCUUAACAUGAUAUAUUUACCAAUAUUCUUCUAAAUUAAAUUGAUGCAAGGUGCUGCACAUGGUGACCAUAAGAUGGUAGGAUACUUCUCAUUAAGUAAUCUCCUAGUGGCUUUAUAGUUUGCAGCAUUAUAUGUAAUUAGUUAGACCACAUUUGUAACACCCCAAAGAUUUAAUUCUUGCUUUGAUAAAACUUUGUCAUAGUUAAAUACCUACUUUAGUGGUUAAGGGCAUUGGGUGUGAAGGGUGGGUUGUGAGUUUAAGUCUUUUGGAGAGUAUUUUGCUAAGUAAUUUUUGGUUGUAUUACUUAGUAGAAUUUGAGUUAAAGUUUAACUCUAAGAGUGGGGGGGAUAUAUGUUGCUUGAUUAUGGGGAUAGGAGGUGGGUAGUUGUAUUGGUUUAAAUUAUAAGUUUUAAUUUAUUAAAACAAACAAACAAACAAAACUUCUUCCCUCAAACCCACAUUUCCACUUUCUUUCUUUUCUUGUUUUUUUUCUCUCUUCUUACACCACUGUCAUUUUGGAAGUGGGUAAUUUUUAAUCUUUCUUUUUGCUAUCCUAUUGACAUUUGAUUACUUGCAAUUGGAGGCUGCUUGUUUGGCUCCUUCACUUUUGUUAUCUUAGGUAAUGUUAAUGGAUCUUUAAUCGUUUAGUUUUGGGGUUAUGAGAUGCUAGUGGUGUUAUUAUUUUGUAGUCGUUAAUUAUUUAGUUCUGUGUUUAGGUAAAGGUCGUGAGACAUUUGGCACUCCUUCAACAUCGUACUUUCGCAUGGUUGUGGUUUGAUUAACUGUAAGACUAUGGAAGUGUUUUGGUGUUGGAAAAGUUUAAUUCUUAAUUGCCUUGUGCCUCGUUACCAUUAUAAUCUUUUUAUUUAUUGUAUUUCGGUCUCAGGAGUCUUGUGGUUGCAUUCCCGUCGAAAUCAAACCAAAUGGGUAACGAGAAACUCGAAAUCUAUGAACGGCGAAAGCCAAAAUUGGGGCCUGUCGACGCCACGUGGCCGUGUACGACACAAGGUCUAGGCCAUUUUUGGUCGUGUGGGCCUAAUUUUAAGAAUUUUUUCCUAAGGUCGUGUAAGUCAUCCCGAUUGACUGUGAGCCUUCUGAGGGGUUGGUAUGUGUUUAUAUAAGCCUUAAAGCAUGAAAUUUGCUAAUUUGUUAGUAUGAAUUUUGACGUAAAUAACGCCUAAAAAUGCAUGUAAUGUGAUAUGUGUGAUAUGUUAUUUAUAGGCAUGUUCAAUAUCUGUUAUACGAGCAUGCAUGAUAUUUAAACUCUGGUAUCUGUUAUUUCUAUUAUUUUCGGUGUUCUGUUCAUAUCUGGCAAUGGGGCGAGUUAUGUAUUAUGAGGAGGAAGUGUUUUGCUUAAGAUGUUAACUCGCCAUUAUACUAGUAGCACUGCUGUGAUUAUUCUGAAAAGUGUCAUAAGGACACUAAGUGGUGUGUAGGGAUGGGUGGGUGUUUUAUACCCCACAUGGUGUGCUGGGAUGGUCGGAGCUGAGGUGUAGAGGAUGGGGGUAGGAUUAUAUUUAUCUACAUCUAUACUACUCUUAUACGAUUCUGAUUCUGUAUAAGAAAUAUGAUUGUAUAUGUUCUUUUAUGUGAUUAGAUUUGAAUUUUUGUUUCUUUUGAGUUAUACACUAAGUUAUAAAAACUCACACUUUGUUUGUCUGAUAAUUUUAGGUAACCCUCUGACUUAGGCGGGUCGGUGCGACGGGAGCUCGGUUAUGUCCACAAUUUCAUAAAACUUUAUUUAAAUAAAUUUGGCUUAUUUAAAAUUUCUGAUUUGAGAGUUUUGUAAUUUUUGGACUCUCUAAACAUUUAAGUUUGUUAUUGGUUUGGAUUUUGUUUUGGGUUUUUGCUUGACAUUUGAUAAAACGAUUUUUUUUUUGAAAAAAGGCUAUGUUUUUGUGAUUAACUAUUUUUAAGAAAACAAACUCGGAUUUUCAAAAUAUAACGCUUUAAGAACUUUUGUUGCAACUUAUUUGAUUUAAUUUAGGAAAUGAAAUCAACUAUCAGUUUUAACUAUUAAGUAUGACAAACGUUUUUCAAUUAAAACGGACUUUUAAAUUAAAUAGCAAAGGUUCACAAUAUUUUUCAAAAAUCGAAAGUUAGAUUUAUAAUUAUUUUACGUAAUAUUCUAGAUUCAGCCAUAACGUCUAGGCCGGGUUUUAAGUGUUAAAACAUUGCUUGAACAAAAAAUAUUCAUAAUCUCCACAAACAAAUUGCAAAGAGUAUCGACAUCUAAAAUCAUGUUGAAUGCAUUAAGGGAUUUGAUGAAGCAUAAUCCUUUAGGACAAUACACUAAAAGAGUGGUUAAUGACUUUUGUUUCAAAUCUUUCUACCCACCUCUCAUUAUGGUGCAUCCACGUUUCACCCAAAUCCUUUUGUAGAAUUCAAAUAGCCAUAAAUCCCUUUUUAGAGUAUUCUAGUAGAUUGGUUAACAAUGCAUGAUAUGAUAUAGCUUUGUAUCCCAAUCCCAUAGAUGCUAUGGCAUCAAGGCACAGUUGAAACUUUGCGAGACCCUUUUUGCAUUUCUUUGAUAUUUGAUUAAACUUUUUAAAAGUCUAUUUGGGUGAGAGCUUGGGAAGAAAACUUUCAUUUCUUGCAAGGUUUUAGAAAAUAUUCUAAACAUAUAUUUACUUUUUGGGGUAAACAUAAUAAAUUUUUAAGAAAUUUUAAAAAGGGUUUUGAAUAACCCAAAUUCCCCGUUCAAAUUCCAGAGAUAGUUUUUUAAAAUUCCAUUCAUUUAAUAGAUGUGAUCUCACAAUAAAAUAAGAAAAAUGGCUAGCAUUUGGUACAUAUGCAAUGUACUUUUUUUAUUUCAAGCAUCCUUAAAAAAUUGUCAUGUCUCUUUUGUAAAAUUAUAUAUUUUUUGGGUAUGCAUUUGAUAUAUUGGUAAUAUAUUUUUUUUCCACAAGCAGUAUUGAAAAAUUGACAAGUCUCUUUUUAUAAAUAUCUAUUUUUUAAUAUUUUACUAUACUUGACACUUGUCAACUCUCUAACUCUGCUUGUGAAAUCUAAAAACUACACUGAUGGUAUACCAAAUAUUUUAUAUAACUUAAAAAUGUAAUAUUUAUUUAAUUUCAAUAUUUUUAUAUUUUAUAUUAUUAAAAAUAUUUACAUAUUUUUAUGAAUGUAAUGAUAUCCAUCUUGCAUAUUUUCAUAUUAUUUUUCUUUAUAAUUAUUUUUUAACUUAUUAAAUUUUAUUAACUUUAUUUUAUUAAAAUUGUUUUUUGAAACCAAACAAUUAAAAAUAUUAAAGGAUGUAUUUUAAAAUGGUAGCAUUUUUAAAGGCUUGAUAAAUUUAAAUUUUUAAAAUGUUUUAUCCACCCUAAAAGAUGAAAAGAUGAAGCAUAUAAUUGUAGUGGCCCGAAGCGAUGGCGGAGGAGACCAAGACGAAGGGGGAAAUGACUGAUGAGAUCAGAAAACCCAUCGAGUCACUUACUAAGUCUUUUCUUUUGGAAUUUUCGCCAUUUAACUCAGUGGUAAUUAUCUGAUAUUGACCUUUCAAUCCCCUUUGGUUUAUAUGCAAUUUGCUUUUAAAAUUAUUGUUUUCCUCUACUUGCACAAGGAAUAUAUAUAAAACCAAAUUAGCACAAUAAUAAAUAAAAUCAGUAAAAGAAGUGAAAUCCAUCUUCAUAUAGUGGAUUCCAUCCUCGUAAUAAAAAGUAUAUUUAUCGAUGUUGCAUCUAGAGUUGUCCAUUGCUUGGGCCUUGAAUAAAAUUUUAAGCUUGAGCCUAGCAUAAAAUUUUGUCCAAAUUCAGUCCGAAUAAAAAUUUUAAAACUCAAGUCCAGCCCAUAUUAAUUUUUUUUAUAUAAAAAAUUGAAAAAAAAUAAUACAUCAAAAAUAAAACAUUAAAAUAAUUUUUCCUAACAAAUUGAAAAUAAAUUAAAAAAAUCUUUAUACUUAAAUAACACUAAGAUAUGUGCAACUUAACUAGUAAAUGUUUCUAAAAUAGUAGCAAAAUUAACAAUAAAACAAUAACAACAAAAUAGUAGCAAUAUAAUAACGAAAUGGUAGCAAAACAACAACAAAAUGGCAGCAAACUAUUGGGAAAACAACAAAUUUUUUUUAAAAAAAUUUGGGUCGGGCUUGGGCCGAAAAACUUUACUCGAUGCUCGGCCUAUUUUCUAAACAGGCCUUAUUUUUUUAUUCAAGUCUAUUUUUAGAUCUAUAUUUUUACCCAAAUCCUCUUACUUUUUGGAAGAGAUUUCAAACCGGAUUGGGUUAUGCACAAGUCUAGUUGCACCAUAAUAGCUCUACUAUACGAUAAAUGUGUUUUUAAUAUAAUAAUUUGGUUGAAAUAGUAGAUUGUAUGAUAUUAAACUCACGGAAAUUAAUUAUUGUGCAUCAUGGAGAAAACGAUGAAGUAAAAUUUGCGUUUGUUAAUUAUGCAUCUAAAGAGUUGAAGUCUAUGGUUUUAGAAUUAAAUGAGUAACUCUUACGUUAUUCUUACUCCAUUAAAAGAAACCUUAAAAAUAAAAAUAAAACAAAAAAGGUGGUGCAUGGAGUAAUUGAGCCUAUUUUACUUGGUUAAUCGAUCUUGGAGUGCAGUGAUGUAAGAGAGUAUUUCACAAAAUCAUUGUAAUCUUUCAUGGCAUGUAUUAAUUUCUUUAUUAUGUUUGUGGAAUUAAUAAUAUAUAAUUUAUGAAACAUGAAAAGUUUAUAAUGUUAAUAAAAUUACUAUAUAUGAGAUUAUAAGUUAUUAUUACUAUUAAAAAAGAAAAAAGGAAAAUGAACAUCAAAAGAGAAGCAGCUCCCCAGUUUGUCCUUAAAUACAAAAAAAUGAAUAAGUUAGAUGAAAAGCCCACUCCUUAAGUCUCAAACCAAUGGCCCAACUAUAAUUUUAUAUUAUUUUUAAAUGAAGCAAGUAUAUUUUAAUGUAAUUGAAUCCCUAAUUCAAUCUAGUGAGUUAAAUAAAUAAAUUUUAAAAUUUUCACUAAAAAUUGAAAUAGUUAUAUAAAUUUUUUAAAAUUUUACAUAAAUAUUUUAUGUAAAAAUUAAAAUAUAUAAAAUUAUCAUAAAUGUAAAUAUUAUUUAGUUAUCAUUAAGAUAAGUAUUAUUUAUUGUAAUAUUAAAAUUUGUUAUCAUUAGAUUUUUAAAGAAUUAACAUUAUCAUUUAAUUUAAUUUAAUUUUUUUAGAAUUUUAUUUUUAAUUAUUUCAUUAAAUUUAAAAACUAUCACAAAACAUGUAUUUGAAAUAACUAGAUAUAUAAAAUUUCAAUUUUUAAUUAAAUUAUUUCAUUAGAUUCCAUUCUCGUAAUUAAAUUAUAAUUUUUGAGAAAAUUAGAAGAUUGAUAAAAUAAUUUAUUUAUAUUCAAACUUAAAUGAAGAUAAAAUAUGAAUACAUAUCCAAAAUAAAGAUAUUUAAUUAUAAAAUAUGAAUACAUAACUAUACAAUUCUUACAUUUAGACAGACAUCUAAAACUUGAUAGCAAACAUCCAUGUACGAAGUUCUAAUAAGUGGAAAACUUAGGUCUUUUCACUUGGUUUUGCAUGCAAUACAAGUAGAUUUUAUGAUUUUUUUUUUACAUGAUAAUAUAAUGUAACAAAGUGAAGUUAAAAAUAAUUGAAAUGCAAAUAAAUUUGAUGUGAAAAUAAUAAUAAAAUUAUAUAUUUUAAGUUAUCAAGGUUGACUAGGCUUUAAAUUAAGUGUUAUAUAUAUUAGCUGCAAGAUCUAACCUGAAUUCUUUAUUAAUUAAUUAUCAGAUGAAUAAAGAUAUCCUAUGUGAAUGACAUUAAAUAAUUAAUCAAACAUAAAUCAAAUCAAAGCAAUUGGUAAAAGUAUUUUAGCUUAAAUUGAUUUGAUUUGAUUUGAUUUGAAUGUUAUGUUUGGAGAUGAAUCGAUUAGUUUGAUUUUUAAAAAAUUGAGUUCCUAUAAGUAUGUUUACUUUUUUUUAAAUAAAGAAAAUAAAAGUCAGAAAUAAAUAGUGAAAGAAAAACUAAUCAAAUGAAGAUUUUUCAUUUUUAGAUAGAGACGAGCUUCCAUCAAAAUACUUGGUGGAAAAUUUGUUAGGAAAUAAUAAUAGUAUGAAUGAACCACAAAAUUAAUUACAUUCUCUUUUAUUAAAAAAUUAUUAAAAAGUCCAAAAUCUAAUCUUUAGAGUCCAAUUGUAAACUCAAAUGAAAUAAAUAAAGUAUUGUAAUAGCCCGAUUUUAGGCCUAGUCAGAACAGUGGUUUCGGGACUAUAAAUUCGACGAGGAAAAAUUUAUUUUUUAUUAUAUUUUUAUGGUAUAAAAUUUCACAAACUGAAUUCAUGAAAAUUUCGUUCAAAAAUGUUGACGUUUGGGCACUCAAUUUAGCCAACAUAACUAAAUUGUAAAAAAUUGCAAAAGUUGAACUCCACAUGUUAGAAGUGUCCAAUUGUUAUGAAAUUUUAAAUUGGAGCUCUUUAAAUGGUAAUUAGACCAUUGGUUAACUUGUUGGACAAAAAUGGACAAGAGAUAAGUGAAAUAGGAUUUUUUUUUGUUGGGGACAUUUUGGUAAUUUAGUAAUUAAAAGAAUUAAAAAGGCCAAAAUAGCCAAAAAAUUUUCCAUCUUCAAGCUAAGGCCGAAUUUAGCAAGGGGAGAAGCCAUAGUUAGGGUUUUCAAGCUUCCAAGCUCCAUGGUAAGUGAUUCUAACCCCGUUUUUAAUGUUCUUUACGUUUUUGGAGUCCCGGUAACUUGUUUUAGCUAUUUCUAGCAAUAAUUUAACCUAGGGUUUAUAUUUGGAAAAAUGCCCAUAGGUGAAAUGUGUUUAUUUUGAUGUUUUACGGUAGAAUAUGAAGUUAGAAAUUAUGUUUAAACAACUUUUGCUAAGCGAUUUUAAGUGAAAACGAGUAAAACGACAUAAUCGGUAAAAAUACCUAAUGUUCAUAAGUGUUAGAGUGGGAAUUUGAUGUUGCUAUAGAAGGUAAAAAUGUUAAGUAUGUCACAAAACAUAAGAAUAAGAGAUGAAGUUUAAUUUCCGAGCUUUGGGGCAAAAGUGUAAAUAUGUAAAAAUUUAGGGGCAAAAUUGUAAUUUUGCCAAAGUUGAGUUAAGGACUGUUUUGAUGAAUGUGCAUGUUAAAUAAGUUAAAUGUGUUAUUAUAGUUCAAGAAAGAAGUGGAAUCGACCUUGAUCGGAGAAAAGAAAAGAUUAAAGACUAAAUUGCUAAAUUUCUAUAUUGUUGCACCAAAGUAAGUUUGUAUGUGAAUAAUGCAUUAUUUUAAUUUUAUUUAAUAUAUUGAUGAGAUAUGAUUGAAUGUAGAAUAAAUAUUUGGUGUUGAUUACAAAAAUGUGGUUAAAUUUGAAAAAGUUGGUAAAAUAUUGUGAAAUAAGGUUUCCGAUUGAACACUUGGAAUAGAUCGGAAUACAUUGAAUAAAAAGGGGUCGCUAAGUGCAGAUUCCCCAAGGGGUUGCUAAGUGUUGAUUCCCCGAAUUAUUGACUCUAAAGGUGGUUGCUAAGUGCUAAUUCCACCGUAUCUUUGAUUGUGAAAGGGGUUGCUAUGUGCUGAUUUCCCGUAUCACUGAAUAUAAAGGUGGUUGCUAAGUGCUGAUUCCACCGUAUCUUUGAUUGUGAAAGGAGUUGCUAUGUGCUGAUUCCCCGUAUCACUGAAUAUAAAGGUGGUUGCUAAGUGCUGAUUCCACCGUAUCUUUGAUUGUGAAAGGAGUUGCUAUGUGCUGAUUCCCCGUAUCACUGAAUAUAAUGGUGGUUGUUAAGUGCUGAAUCCACCGAGUAACGGAUAAUAUUCCGAAGUGUUCAACGGGAAAAUUGGAAAAGUGAAAGUACAUGUAAAAUGGAUAAGAUUAUGUGAGGAAUAUUGGGUUUGAUACUUAAUCGACCCAUGAGUAAGGUGAUACGAAGUAUCAAAACUACUAAAGAGUAAAUUUAGAAAUAAAACAGUUUUGAACAACAGCAGUUGUGCAGCUUUGAAAAAUCACCAAAAAUGGUUUAAAUUGAAUUAGAGGCUGAAUAAUAUAUGAAAUUGAAGAUGAAUGACUCUAUUUUCACAUGAAAGAAACAGAGCAAGCAAAGAGUUAUAUAUUUUGAAAUAUUUGAAUUUUAGUGAAACAGGGCUGAAUUGAUUUCGAAACCCCCUGUUCCAGAUUUGGAAAAUCAUUAAAAAAUUUUAAAAAUAAUUAUGGAUUGUAAUUUACAUUAUUGAACUCCUAAUUGAGUCUAUUUUCAAGAGAAACAAACAAGAACAUCAUUUGAAUUCUGUACAAAGAGUUAAACAAUUUUUAGUGAAGAGGGUCAGAGCUGUUGAGCAGUGAAAUAUGGGAGAGUUUAAAGAAUAAACUGUACUAAUUGGCUAAACCAAAAAUUCUGAAAAUUUUAUGGUAAGAAGGUAUAUGAGUCUAGUUUUGGGAAAAAUGAACAAAAUUUAAUUUGGAUUUCUGUAGCUCCAGAUAAAAAUAAUUUAGUGACUGUAACUUGACUAGACAGCUUUAAAUUUAAAUAUAGGUGGAUAAUAAAAUUAUGUAUAAUGCUAUUUAAGCAUGUUAUAUACAUAAAGGAUGUGGAAUGGAGAGGAGGAGGAGGAAAAUAAAAUGUAUGAAUGAAUUGUGUAUAAAUAGUUAUAUGCCCGAUUAUAAUUGGUAAAUGUUAAAUUGAAUGGUAAAUAUGUAUUGGUACUGAAGGAACUAUUGCGGUAUUGAAAAGCAAUUGAUCAAAUGUUUAAGAAAUUUAGUCAUGAUAUAUAUAUGUGUGAUAAUAAUGAUAUAUGGAUGAUUAUAUCAUUGAGUUGCAUUGAUUAAUUCGGUUUAUGUGAUGGAAAUGUCAAGAACAUUUGUCUUUGAUACGUGAUGAUGUAAUGCCAUGAAAAUUUGUUUAAUUGUGUGGUUUAAAAUGUAUCUAUAUUUUGUUUUAUAACUUAUUUUGUAACCUAUUUGACAAAUGAUAAAAAUUAAUUCAGUUACUAUGCGAGGUGAAUUAUGAUUUGUGAAGCAUAUCUAUAUUUGGCAAUAAUGGAUAAAAUAUAUUUAUGUCAUGGGUGAAUGGUUAAACACUUGGGUUAGUAUAAAGUGUAUAUUUAGUAAAGUUUGUUGGAAAAGAAAUAACAAGUUUUGGUUUAUAUCGAAUAGAGAAAAUUUGUACUAUCUUUGUGGCUAAUUUUGUUAGCUGUAUGGGAGAUAAAUGGUUAAUGUAUGUAUGUGACAAUUAGCUUACCAGAUAGUGAACUAUUGAUAUACUACAAUAGUUAAAAAGGAAAAUUUGACGAUAUGAGAAUAUGUAAUGAUACGGAUCAAUUCAGGUACUCAGGACGAAUUCAACAAGUAAGUGAAAAUUUAUAAAUUCAUACGAAUAGGAAGUGAAAGAUUGUGAGUAUAUUUAGCUAAGUAAACCCUAAUUAACGACUCAAGAAUAACAAUUGGAAAGUUUUAAUUUGGAUGGAAUUUUAUAACUCGGAUUAAUAUGUCAAUAAGUGUAUUUAUUCUGGUAAUACCUCGUACCUUAUUCCAGCGUUGAAUACGGGUAAGAGGUGUUACAAUGUGACACCACCAGAUUCGGCCCUAAUGUUAGGCCGGGUUUAGGGUGUUACAAGUACAACACAUUGAAUAGUCUUUGUUAACAUUCGAAUUGUCUUAAUCAUCACAGUUGUACUUGUUGACUAACAAUCUUCAUCAUCACCAAGAAAUUACUCCAAAAUUUGUCGAAACUAAUAUUAAAAACAUUCUUUACCUUCCCUAUUUUAGACCCAUUCUAGGCAAUAAACUUCUUGGAAGUGAUCAUGGCUUGCAAAUGACACUUAUAGUCACGCAAAUUCUUAAAAGUAAUAAUAGUAAUAGCAAAACAUUUCUCACUAGGACGAUAAUAAAAGUAAUAAAAGUAAUAAAAGUAAUAAAAGUAAUAGCAAAACGUUUCUCACUAGGACGAUAAUCAACCCAAAGUCCAUUUGUGAUUAUACACAAAAAUUGUAAUAGAAUAAGCAUGCUAAACUAAACUCUUAACAUGAGAUGUUUUACCAACAUCCUUCAGAAUUAAAUUGAUAAAGGUGCUACACAUGGUGAACAAAAGACGUUACGAUACUUCUCAUUAAAAAAUUUCCUAACGGCUUUAUAAUUUGGAGCAUUAUAUGUAAUUAGCUAGACCACAUUGCUCAAACCAAAAAUUUUUACAAUAUUCGUAAAUAAAUUGCAAAGAGUAUCAAAAUCUAAAAUCAUGUCUGAUGCGUUAAAGGGUUUGCUAUAGCAUAAUUUUUAGGAAAAUACACUAGAAAAUUGGUUGAUGACUUUUGUCUUGUAUCUUUCUACCCACCUCCCAUUAUGGUGCAUCCACAUUCCACCCAAAUGUUGUAAAUCCCUUUUUGAGUAUUCUUGAUAACACUCUAGAAUAACAUAUUUUUAUGUAUUAAUUAUGUAUUUAUUCUGAGUAUGAUCGUGCUAAUUUGAGCUAUUUAUGAUCUUUUAUCUCAUAGGGACUAAAUUUGAGGCAAAAGCAAAAUUAAAGGCCAAAAGCAGAAUUAAAAGCCAAUGAUUGAACCCAAGGUGGAACGAGACAACUGGAGGCUGGAACCUCCCGUAAGAAUUUCCUUUCUCUCAACUCUAUUUUUAAUUUCUCAAAUUUUUGAUUCAAUAUUCUUAAUUCUGUAUUUAUUUUAUUUUUCAUUUCCAGAUCCAAAAUUUUAAUUUUGUUAUUUUUUUUUAUUUUUUUCAGGAAUGCAGGUUUUCUUGGGUAAGAUUCUGCCCGAGAUUUCACAGAAUAAGAUAUUGUGCAAAUCUAGUCCCUAAGGAUUUGACCUUAAUUCCCUUUUACUAUUCUUUUUCAUUAUUUAUUAGGGAUAGGAUUUUUUGGUGCUUUCAACGACUGCAUCAAAUUUUGGCAUCGUUGUUGGGGACUAGCAACGUACUAAUCUUGUUUUUUGUUUCUGAUAAUGAGAUAUGCUCCAGGUACUCUUGCGUUCAAUUCAGAAAUUGAAAAGACUGCUAGAGCCAAUCGCAAGGGGACAAAGUUACAGAAAAAGAAGUCAGCGGUGGUUGGAACUCAAAGUAACCCAUCGCCAGAAAUCAAAGUCGACGACAAAGCUAAGUCUAGGGUUAACGAAAACCUGACUCGAACACUUGAAAGCAAAAAAGUAAAAGUCGACUCACUAGAAAAAUUGUUUAACGCUAGGGUUAACGAAAACCCAAAUCUAGCACAACAACCAAUGGCUCAAACGAUUCGGCAAUUGGCCAAAUCUCCGACAGAAAAACCACCAUUGUGCAUCGCGUAUCCUACUAUGGGUUUAAUCCAGUUACUGCCAACUUUUCAUGGGUUGCAAAAUGAAAAUCCCCACAAACAUCUGAAAGAGUUUCAUAUGGUUUGUCUUAGCAUGAAACCUUAGGGGGUAACUAAGAAUCAGAUUAAAUUGCGUGUUUUCCAUUUCUCCUUAGCAGAUUCUGUUAAUGAAUGAUUAUUUUAUUUACCCCCUGGAUCUAUUACAACUUGGAAUGAUCUAUCUCGUUUGUUUCUGUAUAGGUUUUUUCUAGCGUCUCAAGCAGCUGAGUUAAGAAGAGAGGUUGUUGGAAUAAGGCAAAAAGAAGCUGAGUCCCUUUACAAUUAUUGGGAGUAGUUUAAGAAGUUGUGUGCAAGCUGCCCACAACAUGGUAUAACGGAGAAAUCUCUCCUCCAAUACUUUUAUGAAGGUUUGAAGCCUAUGAAGAUGAAUAUAGUAGACGCUGCUAGUGGAAAAGCAUUGGUCAACAUGACUCCCCAUCAAGCGAGAGACUUGAUCUCCAUAAUGGCUACAAAUCUCAAUAGUUUCGAGCCAAUCUUGAACCCCUAGAAGGGUUCACUAGCUAAGUAAUUCAACUUUAGAGGAUAAAUUUGAUAGACUUACUAAUAUGAUGAACUCUUUUAUUACAAAAAAAAAGUGAAGACAGCUUGAUUAUGCAGAAUAUGUACUACACCUGAUCAUGCAACUGAUACAUAUCCCAGUUUGUAUGAUGAUACCAUGGCUCAUCUGGAUGUUGUGGGAAAUUUUCGUAGGCUGCCACAAAGGUAAUACAACCCCUACGCUAAUACCUACAACCUAGGGUAGAGGGACCAUCCUAACUUAAGCUAUGGGGCCAAUCCACGAAAUAACCAACCAUACCAAAAUCGAUUUUCACAACAGCCGCAAGGUCAAGGUAAUCCUCUAGAAACCAUGGUCAAUAAGUUAGCAGUUAAAGUUCUUAUUUUUAACAGCAAAUCCAACAACAAACUCUUAAUUUCCAAAAAGAGAUGAAGGGUUUCCAAUAGAAAACUGAGGCGUCCAUCAGAGAGUUGACUACAUCGAUCGAGAAAUUGACCUCUCAAGGAAAGCUGUCGUCACAAACAGAACCAAACGCUAGACAAAAUGCGAAUGUAGUAAUGUUGCAAAGCGGAAAAGGUACUACAACCGAUUUCUGACAGGAAUCUUGACUAAAAAAUAGCCCAGGAAAAACUCGAGAAAGACGAACAGGUCCAACCGAAGCCUCUAUUGCCUAAAAUUCAUCCUUCAUUUCUAGAACGAUUCAACCAAUGUCAAAGAGGUAAAGAGGAUAAGGAAAACCUUGAAACAUUUAGGAAUGUCGAGAUCAACAUUCCGUUGUUGGAUGCCAUCAAGCAAAUACUGCGAUAUGCUAAAUUUCUUAAAGAUUUUUGCACCAACAAGAGAAAAUUAACAGGUAAUGAAAGGGUGAAUGUUGGUAAUAAUAUAUCCGCAGUGUUACAGUGAAAAAUGUCGGUAAAAUGCAAGGAUAGCGGUAUGUUUGAAAUACCGUGCAAAAUAGGCCAUCUGGGAAUUAAGAAGGCUAUAUGUGAUCUAGGGGCUUCUAUAAAUGUAAUGCCAUGUUCUAUUUAUGAAUCAUUUAACGCGGGUUUUUUGACAAAAACAAGUGUUAUCAUUCAAUUGGCGGACAGGACUAUUGUGCAUCCAGAAGGAGUCCUUAAGGAUGUUCUGAUAAAAGUUAACGAGCUUAUUUUCCCUGCAUAUUUUUAUGUGAUCAAAAUGGAUGAGGAUAGCACUCUUGAAUCUUCAGAUCUUCUACUGGGUCGACAGUUCCUUAGGACAGCUAGUAGUAAAAUCGACAUUCGAAGUGGAACUCUCACGAUGGAGUUUGAUAAAGAGAUCAUAAAGUUUAAUGUCUACGAUGCCAUUAGCCAUCCAAGCGAAAUCUUGAGCGUAAAUCGUAUCGACAUAAUUGACACUUUAGUGGAAGAGAAUUUUGAGUCAAUUUAUGGUGAUAAUUCUGAACUUGAUGAAUUUGAAUUUGUUAAUGAGUUAUUAUCUCCAAAUAUUAAACUGUUACCUUCUGUUCUACAAGCAUCAGAGUUGGAGUUGAAACUGCUUCCUGAGCAUCUAAAAUAUGCAUUUUUGGGGAGGGGUAAUACCCUACCAGUCAUAGUCUCCAAUAGACUCUCCACACAUGAAGAGGAAAGUUUGGUUCAUGUACUAAAAAGUCAUAAUGAGGUGAUUGGCUAGACCAUUGUAGACUUAAAAGGGAUAAGCCCUUUGACAUGCACACACAUGAUUUAUUUGGAAGAAGACACAAAACUGAGGCGAGGGGCACAAAGAUGGCUAAAUCUGAAUAUGAUGGAGCUAGUAAAAAAGGAAAUCAUCAAGCUUCUGGAUGCUGACGUAAUUUACCCUAUUUCUGACAGUAGGUGGGUAAGUCAGGUACAAGUCGUGCCGAAGAAAACGGGCGUGACAGGAAAGAAAAAUGCUAAAAGUAACUUGGCACCUACCAGAGUACAAAAUAGGUGGCAUGUUUGCAUUGAUUACAGGAAGUUGAAUUCAUACACUAGAAAAGAUCAUUUCCCUCUUCCUUUUAUAGAUCAAAUGCUUGAAAGAUUAGCCGAAAAAACUCACUUUUGUUGUCUUAAUGGAUACUCAGUUUUUUUUUUUAAAUUCUAAUCGCAUCGGAGGAUCGGAAAAUGACCACUUUUAUAUGCCGAUUUCAUACAUUUACGUACAGAAGGAUGCCAUUUGGUCUUUGCAAUGUGUCGGCCAUCUUUCAGAGAUGCAUGAUGAGUAUAUUUUUCGAAUAUGUGGAAAAAAUUAUCUAAGUUUUUAUAGAUGAUUUUAUUGUAUAUGGGAGUUGUUUUGAUAAAUGCCUUAAAACUUAACGAUAAUUUUGAGUAGGUACAUAGAAUUUAAUCUUAUCUUGACUUAUGAAAAGUGUCAUUUUAUGGUAGACAAGGGUUUAAUUCUGGGUCAUGUUGUUUCAUCUAAAUGAAUUGAGGUCGAUAAGGCCAAAAUUGACAUUAUAAAUUCUUUGCCUUAUCCCUCAACUGUGAAGGAAAUUCGUUCUUUCCUUGGCCAUAUAGGGUUCUACAGGCGCUUCAUAAAAAACUUCUUGAAGGUAGCUGAACCAUUGUGUGAGUUUUUGCAGAAGGAUAAGAAAUUUGAGUUUGGCCCAAAAUAUAAGGAGACAGUUGAUACCCUCAAGCAAAAGUUAGUCUCCGCUCCUAUAGUGCAACCGCUAGAUUGGAAAUACUCGUUUGAAAUUAUGUACGAUGCCAGCGAGCACAGUGUAGGAGCCGUGUUAGGGCAAAGGAUAGACAAAGAACCAUAUGUUAUAUGUUAUGCCUCGAAAACCCUAGAUGCUGCGCAGAGCAACUACACCACUACGGAAAAAGAACUCUUAGUCAUUGUAUUUGCUUUAGAUAAAUUUCGACCUUACUUAUUGGGAUCUAAAGUAAUUAUUUUUUCUGAUCAUGCAGCCCUCAGGUACUUGAUCGCGAAGAAGGAAGCAAAAUCGAGGCUCAUUAGGUAGAUUUUGCUUCUCCAAGAAUUUAACAUCGAGAUUCUAGACAAAAGGGGAGGCGAGAAUUUAAUGGUUGACCACUUAAGUAGAAUAAAAGUACCUUUUGACGACAUCCCUAUUAAGGAAGAAUUCCCUGAUGAGAGCCUAUUCUCGACUGAGGCACGUCUCUCAUGGUAUGCAGAUAUAGUAAACUUUCUAGCCAUAGGAUCGUUACCCACUGAGUUAGCACAUUCCAUGAGGGACAAGCUUAGACGCGACCCUCGAUAUUACAUUUGGGAUGACCCAUACUUGUGGAAACACUGUUCAGACUAGAUAAUACGAAGAUGUGUUCUAGAAACCGAGGUAACUUCUAUCCUUAAUUUUUGUCAUACUAAAGCUUGUAGAGGUCACUUUGGCCCUAAGCAGACCGCUCAUAAGGUGUUAGAAUGUGGGCUAUAUUGGCCCACAAUUUUUUCAAACACAAAUAACUUUUGUAAGUCUUGCGAUAGGUGCCAACAUACAAGUAACAUCACUAAAUGAAAUCAAAUGCCCCUUUUCCCGAUUCAUGUAUGCGAAAUCUUUAAUGUAUGGGGCAUCGAUUUCAUGGGCCCAUUUAUUUAUUCAUUUAGCAAUGUAUAUAUACUUCUUGCAAUAGACUAUGUUUCUAAGUGGAUAGAAGCAAAGCCUACUCAAAAUGAUAAUGCCAAAACUGCUGUGGAGUUUCUAAAACGAACUAUUUUUUCCAGGUUUGGCACACCUCGAGCCCUAAUCAGUGAUCGUGGCACCCACUUUUGCAAUAAACUGCUGUGAAGUUUCUAAAACGAACUAUUUUUUCUAGGUUUGGCACACCUCGAGCCCUAAUCAGUGAUCGUGGCACCCACUUUUGCAAUAAGGUCAUGGGGGGCACUGUUGGCAAAAUACGGAGUCCACCACUGUAUAGCUAUGGCUUACCAUCCCCAAAUGAACGGUCAAGUUAAGGUCUCGAACAGGGAAAUCAAGACUAUUUUAGAGAAAACAGUUCGUCCUAACCGAAAGGAUUGGAGCCUUCGGCUAAAUGACGCACUUUGGGCCUAUCAAACUGCGUAUAAAAGAUCAAUUUGCAUGACCUCGUAUCGACUUGUUUUUGGUAAAGCUUGCCACCUUCCGGUUGAAUUGGAACAUAAAGCCUAUUGGGCCGUUUGACAAUGUAACGUGGAGUUAGAACCCAUAGGAAAGGCAAGGAAAUUAGACAUCCAAGAGUUAGAAGAAAUUCUCAAUGAUGCCUACGAGAAUGCUCGCAUUUGUAAAGACAAGACAAUGUUGUUUCACGAUAAAAGAAUAGCUCAGAAGCAUUUUUCGGUAAGAUAAAAAGUUUUACUUUAUAACUCCAUGUUAAAGUUAUUCCCAGGUAAGCUUCGAUCACGAUGGCAAGGAUCUUUUAUUAUUACUGCAGUGUUCACACAUGGAGCGAUUGAAAUAGAUAGUGAAGAAUAUAGAAAGCAGUUCGUAGUUAAUGGCCAGUGGUUGAAGCCGUUCUAUGAGAAUUUUCAAGCCCACACGAUUGAGAAAACCUAUUUGGAACCACCAUAGAACCAAUAACGGCGUCGAGCUAACGACGUUAAUAAGUGCUUGUUGGGAGGCAACCCAAUUUUUCUUAUUUUUUAUUUUUUUAUUUACUUUAUUUAUUACCUUAUUUUAUUUUACUAUUUAUUACUUAUUUGGAUAUUAAUAAAUUUCUCUUUUUUUGUUUAGAUAAAACAGAGCGAAAAUGCAACGAAAAAGGAAAAAUCUAGAAAAAUAGAACCAAACAGCCCUGUCCAUGGUACCAAACAUCCUCUAUUCUUGAUACUAUUCCAACCCAGAAUGCCUGCAGCCAAACAACCCUAUUCCUUGUAAUACCCCCCAAAAAAUUACUAUCGUAAGAAAGUAAGAUAAUAUUCCUGAUAUAGUAAAAUAAGGAAAUAAAGUGAUAAAAAGGGUAAUUUUGAGUUAUGUCAACAUUGAGAGGUAUAUUAUGACUUAUUAAUUCAAGAAAGGAUUAAAUCGCAAAAGUGAGAAAAGUUUUGUGGCCCAAGAGUAAAAACUCUAAAUUUAAGGGGUUAAAGUGUAAAUAUGAAAAGUUGAAAGACCAAUAGAGUAAAUAUUUUAAAGGUAGAAUAAUCUAGAAACCAAGGAAAAUGGAUGAAUUAGGACCAAAUUGAAAAGGUGAAGAAUUUUGAGGGACUAAAUCAUAAUUUUACCAAAUUAAGUGAUGACUCAAGGAUGGAAUUUUAAAAGAACAUAAAUGGCAAAAUGAUCAAUUAGAAUAGAGAGAAAUCGAGAAGGCAAUAAUGAUGUUGGUGAUAUUUUAGAUUAAUUAAUUAAAUAAAUAUUAGUUUAUUAAUAUUUUACUUUGAUUUUUAAAUGAUAUUUUAUUAUUUUAUUAUUAAUCUAUUUAGUAUAUAUAUAUAUGGAAAGAAAGAUGAAAAACCACCAUUCCACAAUCUUUCCAUGCAUUUCACGUUAGAAGGGAAGAGAAGAAAGAAAAUUUUGCUUUCUUUACAAUUUGGUCCUUUUACCAAAAAUUUAUCAUUUUCACCUAGAUAUCAAAAGAAUUUAAGUUUGAUAUUAUUGAAAAAGCAUAGAAAUGAUGUUAUAGUAGAGCUUUCUUAUAUAAAGUCUUAUUUUCUUGAUAUAUUUGUGAAGGGAAAUAAGUGAAAGUGGUGGGAAAUAUUAUAGAGAAAGGGAAUAAGGGAGUUAUAAACUUAGUAAUCAACAUCUUGCACUAAAACAAUUUUGGACAGAAGCAAUAGGUUAAUUUUGAAAAAUCACCAUAAAUUGUGAAAAAAAUUAGAGGAUAAAAAAAAUUUGGAAUUUAAGCUUAUUGACUCUAGUUUCUCAUAGAAGAAACGAUGUAAGUAAUGGAAUUUUAAAUCAUGAGAUAUAAUAAAUUUUGUAAGACAAGGUCAGAAUGAAUUCGGGUUCCCCUGUUCUGAAUUUGGAAAAUCAUCAAAAAUUUGAGAAAAAUAAUUAUGGGCUUAAAUUUAUAUUUUUAAAUCCUUAAUUAUUCUAUUUUCAAUAUAAACUAACAUUAACAUAAUUCAAAUUUUGUACGAGGAGAUAAUCAAUUCUUAGUGAAGAAGGGUCGGAACUGUUAGACAACAGAAUAGGGAUGAAUUUAAAGAAUAAACUGUACUUAUUGGCUAUACCAAAAAUUCUAAAAAUUUUAUGGUAAGAAUAUAUGUGAGUAUAGUUUUAGAUAAAAUUAACAGAUAUCAAUUUGGAGUUCUGUACCUCAAGAUAUAAAUAAUUCAGUGACUAUGACUCAAGUGGAUAGCUUUGAAUGAAUAUAGAAAUAAAUGGUGAAAUUAUAGAUAAUGUUACAUAUAAGCAUGUUAUAUACAUUAAGGAUGUGGAAUGGAGAGGAGGAGGAGGAAAAUAUAUGAUUAUUCAACUAGCAUGAGUUUUCAUUAAAAAUGAUCAAUUUAAAUGUUUUAGGUUUAGGAACUAAAUUGAACAAAUGUGAAACUUUAAGGGUAAAUUUGUAAAAAUAUCAAAAAGUAACCAAAUUGCAUAAAUGAAUUGUUUUAUUAUUUAAAUUAGUAAAUUGAAUGAAAUAUUAAUUUAGAUCAAGAUUGGGUGGAAAUUCGAGAAAAAUAGAAAUUUUCCAAAAUGUCCCUGAAUUUUGGUAUUUCUGCAAUUUGGCCUGGUAAGUUCGUAUGAGCUAUCUUGUAUAAUUUUAAUUGAAGUGAAUGCUAUUUGGUAAUGAAUAUUAUAUAUAUGUGUGUUUUAUUAUUGGAAUUGAAUUAUUAUUGGUAAUAUGUAUAAUUAUUAGAUGUUUUGAAAUGAUUAUCGAAAACUCGAUUGGGUUGGAAGCUAGUUGGAGAUAUAUCAAAUUAUCCAUUGGCUUUAUCGGUAAUUUUGGAUGAUUUGAUUCUGGUUAUAAUGACUUGUAUAAGUUAAAUUGGUUAAUGUUAGCUCAUAAAUGUUUUGAUUUUGAUUGGCUAUAAAUAUGAGUGCCUGAUGAAAUGAAAUGUCUGAAAAUUAAUUUGUAAACUCCAGUAAUGCUCUAUAACCCUAUUCUGGGGAAGGAUACGGGUUAGGGGUGUUACAUUUAUUGGCAUUAGAGCUACGGUUUAGUCGAUUCUUAGACCGAAUGUAGCAUAUGUGAAGUUUGGAAUAUACAUGUCAUUAUAUAACCUGUGAUAGUGUGAUAUCUCCCAACCUUGAUGAGAUUUAUUUUACUUAUAGAUAGAGAUUCUUUUCAACUUAGCUAAUUUCGAUAAUAUUGAAAGCAUUAUACGAAAAGUGUAAAAGUGAUAUGCAUGUAUUUUGAUGUUUUAUGGAAGAAUAUGAAUGUUUGGAGUGUGAUAAACGACUUGAACUAAGUGAUUUUCGAUAAAAACACCUAAAAAGACUAAUUUGGAAAAAUUAUAAAAUAUGCCAUAAGUGUGUGAAUAAGUGAAAAUUGUGGAUUGAAAUUGUCAUAAAAUGGUUCAGCUAGUCCUAAAAUUCAAGGAAAUUGAAUAAAAAUUAUUUUACGAGCCUAGGGGAAAAAUUAUAAUUUUGUGAAACUUUAGGGGCAAAAACAUAAUUUUUCCAAAGUAUGACUUUUGGAAUGGAAUGAAUAGUGUGAAUGUUAUAUAAGUUAAAUGUAUUGUUAUAAAUCAAGAAAGACGAGAAAUUGAAAUUGAUCGAUAAAAAGAGAAGUGAUAAAAAGGGGAAAAUUCACUAAUGAACCUUCGGAAUAAAAAGGGAUACGUAUGAAGUUACAAAAAUGAUCACAUGUGUGGCACAGAUUGUGUGUAGGCCACUAUGUAAAUGUGAAAGUGAUGGUCACGUGUGUUGUACUAUGUGCAGGCUACUACGUGUACCGGAAUAAUGGGUUGCAUGUGUAGUACUAUGUUCAGUCUACUAUACGUACCAGAUAGCUUCGAUCACGUGUGUAGUACUAUGUGCAGGCUAUUACAUGUAUCGGAUGAAAAUGAUCACAUGUGUAGUGCUAUAUGUAGGCUACUAUGUGAACCAGGCACUAUUGACUAUAAAGGUGGUUACUAUGUACUGAUUCCACCGUGUAUCUAUUAUUAUUCCGAAGUGUUCAUCGGGAAAUUGACUAAGUAAAAAUACAUGAGAUAAUGUAAUGACUAAGUGGAAUAUAAUUUGAAAAUGUGAAUUGAAUAUGAAAAUGUGAAUAGAAAGCAUGAACUAAAUGUUUAUGAGACAAAUAAUGGCUCAAUGUGAUAGUAUAUCAUAUUAACUAAUGAAUGACUUAUUAUUAGAAAUAUAUUAUUGAAUUUAAUACUUAGCUUGGAUUGAACGCAGGAUUGAGUAUAAUCGUUCUGUGGCAAAAGAUGAAUUUACGGAUAAGACCAUAACUGGGUUAUGGCACCUGAACGUAAGACCAUGGUUGGACCAUGGUAGUAUAGAUACAUGUGUAAGACCAUAGUUGGACUAUGGCACAAAAAGAACAAUGUACUCAUAUCCGUAAACCGUUCUUCAAUUCAGUAAGAAAUGUUAAGAAACUUAUGUGAUUGAAAUGAAACAUUUCUAAAUUAAUAUUGAUAUGGUAUUUGACAAGGAAAUUAUGUAUGUUGAGACAAGUAAUAAACUCAAGUGUGACAUAUUGAGAAAAUAAGUUUAUCAAAGUUGAAUUUAUAUGUAAUAUGUGCAAGUACGCUAAUCAGUGGUGUUGCUUGAUGCUUAGGCAAGUGCCAAGCUAUUGGUUGAAUGGUAAUAUGAUUAUUUAUAUAAUGCAUUGAAUUGGUAAGUAUUUAAGUAAAAAUAUGCUAGCGCUCACUAAAAAGUGGUAAGGUUUAAAUUAUGCAAUUUCUUAUGAAAUGAUUUAUCAUGUGAUCAAUUCGAAAAAGAUUUUGGUUAAAUGCAUUAGCUUGUGACCAUGGUUGAAUGAUAUGUUUAUGACUUGUGUGUCAUGCAUAUGGAAUAAGUGUGGAAAGUAAAGAAAUGCAAAUGAAAAUAUAGAAAUUCGGAAGAGUAUAAAGUUGUUUAAAAUCCUAUAUUGCUAGGGAUAAAAUGAACAGGUAAUGAUGUGGAUUUAUUUACCUUGUAAGUUGAUGAAUAUAGCCACAUGAGCAUUGUGGUAUUAAUAUUAAAUUAUUCUUGAUAUUUAUAAAUUUCACAUUUGAAAUGAAUGGACAUGAUUAAAGUUUAUACGAGCUUACUAAGCAUUUAUUGCUUACAUACUUGUUAAUAGGGGUAAUCAACUGAUAUUACAAAAUGAAUGAAAUUGAUCGAUUGAUUUAUUAAAGAAAUGAGAAAGUUGAAAUUGUGAAUUAAAUGGAGACUGAAAAUAAAGGACAUGAACUAAAGGUUCACAAGAUGAUUAAAUUCAGUUUGAGGAUAUGCGAUAUUAAUUUGAUUAAUUGUUAUUGUUGAAAAUUUGAAGUUGAAGUAUGAAUUAAUAUAUAUACCAAUAAAUCAUUAUAUGUUUGAUAUUUAAAGGUAAUUGAGAAUGUGUAUUAAUUAUGAAUUUCCUUGUAAAUUGAGCAAAAAGGAAACAUAAGAUUAUAUGAAUAAUUCCAAAAGUAAUCUACUAAAGGUCUUCUAUUCUUAUGGAAAGGAAAAUGAAGUUCAUGAUCAAAAGAAAACAAGGAAAUUUCGAGGACGAAAUUUAUUUUAAGGGGGAGAGAAAUGUAAUACCCCCCAAAAAAAUUACUACAGUAAGAAAGUAAGAUAAUAUUCCUGAUAUAGUAAAAUAAGGAAAUAAAGUGAUAAAAAGGGUAAUUUUGAGUUAUGUCAACAUUGAGAAGUAUAUGAUGACAUAUUAAUUCAAGAAAGGAUUACAUUGCAAAAGUGAGAAAAGUUUUGUGGCCCAAGAGUAAAUACUUAAAAUUUAAGGGGUUAAAGUGUAAAUAUGAAAAGUUAAAGGACCAAUAGUGCAAAUAUUUAAAGGCAAAAUAAUCUAGAAACUAAGGAAAAUGGAUGAAUUGGACCAAAUUAAAAAGGUGAAGAAUUUUGAGGGACUAAAUAGCAAUUUUACCAAAUUAAGUGAUGACUCAAGGAUGGAAUUUUAAAAGAACAUAAAGGGAAAAAUGGUCAAUUAGAAGAGAGAGAAAUCUAGAAGGCAAUGAUGAUAUUGGUGAUAUUUUAGAUUAAUUAAUUAAUUAAAUAUUAGUUUAUUAAUAUUUUAAUUUGAUUUUUAAAUGAUAUUUUAUUAUUUUAUUAUUAAUCUAUUUAGUCUAUAUAUAUAUAUGGAAAGAAAGAUGAAAAACCACCAUUCCACCAUCUUUCCAUGCAUUUCAUGUUAGAAGGGAAGAUAAGAAAGAAAAUUUUGCUUUCUUUACAAUUUGGUCCUUUUACCAAAAAAUUAUCAUUUUCACCUAGAAAUCAAAAGAAUUUCCAUAUCCCUCAAGAGAGAAAGAUAACAAGGAGACUAUCGGGAGCUAAAAUAUCAAGUUAGAUUCAAGAACUAGAAGAUGGACGAGAGAGAAAAUCAAGUUAAAUAUUGAAACCAAUAGGACAAGGUAAGAACAUCAAGAUUUCAAUAUGUUUUUAAGUUUGAUUUUAUUGAAAAAGCAUAGAAAUGAUGUUAUAGUAGAGCUUUCUUAUAUAAAGUCUUAUUUCCUUGAUAUAUUUGUGAAGGGAAAUAAGUGAAAGUGGUGGGAAAUAUUAUAGAGAAAGGGAAUAAGGGAGUUAUAAACUUAGUAAUCAACAUCUUGCACUAAAACAGUUUCGGACAGAAGCAAUAGGAUAAUUUUGAAAAAUCACCAUAAAUUGUGAAAAAAAAUUAGAGGAUAAAAAAAAUUAUGGAAUUUAAGCUUAUUGACUCUAGUUUCUCAUAGAAGAAACGAUGUAAGUAAUGGAAUUUUAAAUCAUGAGAUAUAAUAAAUUUUGUAAGACAAUGUCAGAAUGAAUUCGGGUUCCCCUGUUCUGAAUUUGGAAAAUCAUCAAAAAUUUUAGAAAAAUAAUUAUGGGCUUAAAUUUAUAUUUUUAAAUCCUUAAUGAGUCUAUUUUCAAUAGAAACUAACAUUAACAUCAUUAAAAUUUUGUACGAGGAGAUAAUCAAUUUUUAGUGAAGAAGGGUCGAAACUGUCAGACAACAGAAUAGGGAUGAAUUUAAAGAAUAAACUGUACUUAUUGGCUAUACCAAAAAUUCUAAAAAUUUUAUGGUAAGAAUAUAUGUGAGUAUAGUUUUGGAGAAAAUUAACAGAUAUCAAUUUGGAGUUCUGUAGUCAAGAUAUAAAUAAUUUAGUGGCUACGACUCAAGUGGAAAGCUUUGAAUGAAUAUAUAAAUAAAUGGUGAAAUUAUAGAUAAUGUUACAUAUAAGCAUGUUAUAUACAUUAAGGAUGUGGAAUGGAGCGGAGGAGGAGGAAAAUAUAUGAUUAUUCAACUAGCGUGAGUUUUCAUUAAAAAUGAUCAAUUUACAUGUUUUAGGUUCAGGGACUAAAUUGAACAAAUGUGAAACUUUAAGGGUAAAUUUGUAAAAAUGUCAAAAAGUGACCAAAUUGCAUAAAUGAAUUGUUUUAUUAUUUAAAUUAGUAAAUUGAAUGAAAUAUUAAUUUAGAUCAAGAUUGGGUGGAAAUUCGAGAAAAAUAGAAAUUUUCCAAAAUGUCCCUGAAUUUUGGUAUUUCUGCAAUUUGGCCUGGUAAGUUCGUAUGAGCUAUCUUGUAUAAUUUUAAUUGAAGUGAAUGCUAUUUGGUAAUGAAUAUUAUAUAUAUGUGUGUUUUAUUAUUGGAAUUGAAUUAUUAUUGGUAAUAUGUAUAAUUAUUAGAUGUUUUGAAAUGAUUAUCGAAAGCUCGAUUGGGUUGGAAGCUAGUUGGAGAUAUAUCAAAUUAUCCAUUGGCUCUAUCGGUAAUUUUGGAUGAUUUGAUUCUGGUUAUAAUGACUUGUAUAAGUUAAAUUGGUUAAUGUUAGCUCAUAAAUGUUUUGAUUUUGAUUGGCUAUAAAUAUGAGUGCCUGAUGAAAUGAAAUAUCUGAAAAUUAAUUUGUAAACUCCAGUAAUGCUCUAUAACCCUAUUCUGGGGAAGGAUACGGGUUAGGGGUGUUACAUUCCUGUAGCCAAUCACCCUUAUCCCUACACCCAAACACCACCUCUUAGUAUAAAUUGACCCCCCAACCCUAAAAUUUUAAAACAUUUUUCCCUUUUCCUACUAAACCACCAUAACCGCCGCUCUUCCCUCCACCAUUGUCCCCCAUGCCAAACGACCCUACCAACAGAGGCACCCACACCUCAUCAGCCUUGAUGACAGCCAUCCAAACCCUCGGCCCAACCUCUGCAAUCCUCCGCUCCUCCGUCCUCCGACCUGACUUGAAACCUUUGGCCAGUAACUGAGUGAGCUCAUUGCCAUCAUAUACGAUUGACAUUAAAUAACAUGGGGAGUUUUUCUAAACUUUUCUACCUAUUUAUUUCUUUUCGUCCACAAUGAGGACAAUGUGCUUUCAGUAAGGGAGGUACUCUUCGUUAUUACUGUCAUUUUUUGCUCUGAUUUUGGUUGUUGUUGCUAUUGCUGUGAUUAUUUUUGGCUUAUGUUGCUGCUUGAGGCUCCAUUUUGUCCAUAUUUAUUUUUUAGAAUCUCCUGCCUCUUUUCAUGCCUAAGAUUUUUACCAAGAAUUGCAUACUGUUUGACCUACAAACAUGAUUCUUGUUUUUUAAAGAAAUUAUGGAUUUUCCAUAAUUGAUGUCAUUUCCACUGUUUUAUUCUUAUUAGGCUAAAAAUAAUUUUGAUUCAUAGAGUUAACUUUAUAUUGCUUUUCGUAAAAUUGAUCAAGUUUAAUACAAAGUGGACUCUUAAUAUGUUUACAUGUUAAAAUAUGUUCAUGACUAUUAAGGUAAUUACUGAAACUUAUUUUUGGCACUUGAUUGUUUUUUUCUCUAAAGUCCUCAUAAAAAAAAGUUAUUAUUAAAAUGUCAUUUAAUGUUUCCGUGGUUAUGAGUGCAGCUUAAAAACGUGACUGAUUGAGUAACCGGGGUAGGGUGCUUGGGUUGUCAUCCUAUUUCGUGUCAAAAGGUUGUGUGACGUGUUAGGUAAAACUCCACUAACCAAAAUUAAUUUUUAAGAACAUGUUAAGCUGAGUAACCGGGGUGGGGUGCUUGGCUGUUAUCUCUCUUCGUGUCAAAAGGUUCGAUGUGUUCUUAAGAAAAAAAUAUAAUAAAUUAGGAGUUUGUUGGGCUGAGUAACCGGGGUGGGGUGCUUGACUAUUAUCUCUCUUCGCGUCAAAAGAUUCAGUAUAUUCCUAAAGCAUAAAAAAUAUAAAUAAUAAAUCAAAAUCAAAAUAAAUAAAAAAGAAAAAAAUAUAAUUUGGGGACUAAAGGAGGAAACAAAUAGUGUGUCUUGGUAGGUUUGGUAAUUUACCUAAUUUUCAUUAAAUAAUUCAAGUCGAUUCUAAUUUUUGUGUGUAUUAAUUGGAAAACUUUUUCUGUUUUACUUAAAGCUAACUUAGGGUUCUCUUUAUUUUUCAUAUGCAUUUUUGACUGAUUUUUAUAAAACUUUGGAUUGGUAUUUCUUUUAUGGUAGAAUCUAACUUUCACAGUAGAUAGGAAUCAUAUUUAAGGGCAAGCAUGGGCUAAGUAGGGGGACUUUGAUAACACUCUAGAAUAACGUAUUUUUAUGUAUUAGUUAUGUAUUUAUUUUGAGUAUGAUCCUGCUAAUUGAGCUAUUUAUGAUCUUUUAUCUCAUAGGGACUAAAUUUGAGACAAAAGCAAAAUUAAGGGCCAAAAGCGUGAAUUUAGAGAUAAAAUGGGCCAAUGUACGACACAAGGAAAAGUUGGUGCCAAAAAUGCAAGCAUGGAGGACACAAGGGUUGAAAUGCAAAAAGAAGAGAUUUUAUUCUAUCAGACUCUAUUUUAAUUAUAUUAGGAUAAUUAAUAUUAAGAUAAUUAUUAAGGAUUAUUUAAUUUUAGGAUUUUAUUUUAUUUAUCUUUAUUUAUCUUCAAUUAAAUGUAUUUAUCUUUUGGGAGUUUAAGCAGGAUUAAACUAUUAUCUUUUGGGAGUUUAAGCAGGAUUAAACUAUUUCCCCUAGCACUAUAAAUAGGGGGUGAAGUGAUCAAAAGGGAUCCACCUUUUUCUAAAAACAUUCUCUCCCCAAAAGUCUAGGCCUUUGUUCUUCUCAUAUUUCCUUUCAAUAAAAUCUCUAUUUUUAUUAUAUUUAUUUUCUUUUCCACCACAACCAUGAGCCACUAAACCCAUCUAGCCAAAAGUUGUCGAUAUUCCUCAAAAAGGGUUUUUGAGGCUUAGAGUCCGUACUUAGCCUCCUCGCUGAGUAUUCAUCGUUUCUCCGCACUACAAGGCUGAUCCUUCCGUCCAUGUCCCUUAAGAAAUAAGCUUUUCAACGUAUGCAAAGGCGACUGCUUUGUAUGUUUUGGGAAGGUUGCAUAGUCAAUUCGUUAGCUUAUUGCGUCAGAGGCUGGCGAGCCCAAAAGACAAAAUGGCGUGGGAUUUGCCAUUGAGAAGCAUUGAUCUAGCAUAAGACGAUCCCACAGAAGCAAUUGUUGGCUAGAGUCAGGUUCCACUAAAUAGUAAGUCUAAAUCCUUGGAGCUGGUGGUCGUAGGCAUCCUCUUCCACUAUAACUAGCUUAUUCCGUUUGGGAAGGAUCAUCUAAAAGCUAAGACUUGAACCCAAGGCGGAACGAGACAACUGGAGCCUGGAACCUCCCAUAAGAAUUUCCUUUCUCUCAACUCUAUUUUUAAUUUCUCGAAUUUUUGAUUCAAUAUUCUUAAUUCUGUUUUUAUUUUAUUUUUCAUUUCCAGAUCCAAACCUUUAAUUCUGUUAUUUUUUUUUAUUUUUUCAGGAACAUAGGUUUUCUUGGGAAGAUUCUAUCCGGGAUUUUACGAAACAAGAUAUUGUGCAAAUCCAGUCCCUGAGGAUUUGACCUUACUUCCCUUUUACUAUUCUUUUUCAUUAUUUAUUAGGGAUAUGAUAUUUUUGGUGCUUUCAACAACCGCAUCAAUUCUAGUAGAUCGGUUCACAAUGUAUGAUAUGAUAGAGCAUUGUAUCUCAAUCCCAUAGAUGCUAUGGCAUCAAGGCACAGUUGAAACUUGUCAAUCUUUGAUCCUAUUUAUGGAGUCUAAAAACUCCAAUGGCAAUAGACCAAAUAAAUUAUUUUAUUUUUUUAAUAUUUUACUAUACCCCUAGAGAACACUUGUCAAUAUCUUGACGUUGCUUAUAGAGUCUAAAAACUUUAUUGGUAAUGUACCAAAUAAUAUUACAAAUAAAAAAGCAUUAACUUGGCAGUGUAAUUUUUUUAUGGCACAAGCAUUCUUAAAAAAUUAACAUUUUUUUAAUAUCUAUUUUUUUAAUAUUUCACUAUACUCCUACAGGACAUUUGUCCACCCUUGAUCAUGCUUAUGAAGUCUAAAAAUUUCAUUAAUCAUGUCUUAUUAUAAAAUAAAGAGAGAUGGAGAGAAUAAAGAACAAAGAAAAUAUGAAAGCAAUAGAGAAUGUACUUUAUUGAUCAAUUUGGAUGAUUACGAUGCUUCAUGGGAGUACUAUUUAUAGACAUAAGAAGUAUAAAAGAAGUAGAGAUCUAAUUCUAAUAACUAUUAGAACUUAAAGUACAUUAUAACUUUAUCCUGAUCAUGAUGGACAUCCACGUAAUAAAAUAUUCAUAACACUUCCCCUUCGAUGUCCAUUGGUAGAUAAUGUACCUUGUUAAAACCUUAAUAAGAAAAACUCUAUGAAAUAAAAACCUAAUGAAGGAAAAAGAGUACACGGUCUAUAAUACGCAUAAUAUGCUGCCUUAUUAAAAACCAUACCAAGGAAACUCAAUUAGAAAAAACCUCGGUUAAGGGAAAAAGAGUACAACGUGUAUUUACUCACCCUCAUGAAAACAUCACAUAUUUACGUAUUCAAUCUUGAAUACUAGUUUUUCAAAUGACUAUUUGAAUGUAUCACUAAUAAUUUAUAUCACCAUUCUUUUAAAAGUCAUAAGUGAGGGAAAUUUGGGGAAAUAUAUUUUGAUCUCUUCAGGAGAUUCAACAAUAAUCAUAACAAACUUUAACCAUGAUUCUUUUAUAAAAACACAAAUAGGUAUUUUGGAUCAUUUUAUAGUCCUUCUUUAAAUCACUAUUCACUGAGCAAAAUUUACCACUUAUAUUCAAAUUUUCUCGAUUCAUAUAAAUGAACAAUUUCUCGAGAAUUUCAAUAUGCUUCUAGCAUCCUAAAUCCUUUAAAGAUUUUACUAUAAACUUUACUAUAUAGUGAUUCAUAAAAGGUUGUAACAAUAACCAUUAGAUGCAAGUUAAAUCUUUUAAGAAUUGUCAAUUUAAUAAUAUAUGUAAAUAUUAUUGCAUCCACCACAAAAGAAUAUUAUAUCUUUUCAUAAUCAAUGCCAGAACUUAGCGAAAAACUUCAUAUUUUUAUUCCGCUUUUGCAGAACUACUUCAAUUAAACCCUCACUGGCUUUAUAUUUGGACUACUGGUCCAAAAAUUACAGAAAUUUAAUUGUACUUGAGUUAUGUCUUUCUAUUUUGAUCAAUUUAUUCCAUAUUUAUAUUUCUUAAUAGACUUAUUCAAGAUUCUCCUUUUAUCUCAUUAUUUCAAUAGUAAUAUUGCAUUCAAAAUUGUUGUCGACCAAUUUUAUUAUUCAGUUCCACAUUUUCUUGAAUUGACAUAACUUAUCGAGAUCUCUUUUUUUUAUUAUUUUAAAAUUCAGUUUCAGGUACCUAAAUUUCUAGAGCACCUGCCUCCACUAUAUGACCAUUUAGAAGAAUUUUUGUUUUUGGAACCGAUCAAUCUAUUAUUUAUUCUAACUGACUCUCCUACUGGGACUUUGAUUCAAAUUAAAAUAUUAGAUAGUAUAUAACACUUGGUUAUUCUCAUUAAGUUUGUAAAUACAUCUAUAAUUUACUUGUAAUGAGUUAUCCUUAUUGAUUUUCUGGUUCAAAUUACUCUCCCCCUAACUCAAUACAGGUUAUUAUUUCUCCCCUCUAAUGUCGGGAAAACUAUCAAAUCAAAACUGUAAUAAAAAAUCAUGUCCUAUUUGAAUCUCGAAUACAUUCAAAACAUCUAAUAAUAUAAAUAAACUUGUAAUUAAUAUAUAUUCUCAACUUUCUUUGAGGAUUCACUCAUCUUUGUGCGUUGUGGUGGAGCAAUUGGAACAUAUACACACAUACAAAAAUUCAAAGAUGAGAAAUAUUUAGUUCUUAAUCAAAAACCAAUUAUAAUGGGGAGUAUUUAUAACUUAUUGGCUUGAUGCGUACAACACACAUAAAUCAACAUAAUCUCAUGUUGAAACAGAAAGUUUAAUUCUCAUAAGUAAUGGUUUAGACAUUAAUCAGAGGAAUUUAAUCAAUAAUUUCUCUAAACCAUUAUGCACAAACUUUUACAAAAAAAUUUCAAACUCAUGAUCUGAAAUUAAUUAUUUAAACAAGCAAUCUUGCGAAUGAUAGGUUGCAAAUUGAUAACACAUAUGUGAUUAUUUUGUAGAUGCAUCUACCAAAAUCAUAUCAUAUUAAAAUCAUCUACAUGGUGGAUGAAUGAACCCGUAUUCAGUUCAGAAAUGUAAGACAUUAAAUCUCAAUUUUAGCUAGUGAGUUUCUAAGAAUCAAUUUUCAUUGAGAACAAGCAAAAAUGAAAAUUUUUUAAAUUAAAGAAUCUUCUGGUUCUUUAAUGAAUAUCCAUAUGAAUUCUCAAUUAAUUUUCGCAUCAUAUAUGAUUUAGGAUGGUCUAACUGGUCAUGCCAAGUAGUAAAUGCAUUUGUAUCAGAAAACUUCUAGUUUACUUUAACAUGUGUUUCAAUUGUACUAAAUUGUAACAAAUUAAUAAUUUCAAUUGUACUAAAUUGUAAUAAAUUAAUAAUUUUACUAUCAUUCCUUUGACUUUGUAUCCUCAUAAAAGUACUAUUGUGACAUAAACUACUGAAAAUCUCUAAAUCAAUGUGAAUAUUAUAAUGUCACUAAUUCAACAAAAUAAAAUAAUUUCCAAAUAAUUAUAUGCAAUAUUUGCUUCAAGGAAUAUGCCAAAAUCUUCAAAUGUAGGGAAUUUACUACAUCCACGUUAAAGAUCAUGUCUUUCAAAUUUAUUAUAUAUUGCUACAUUCUCUUCAGGGAAUGGUUAGGUUUCAUGGUUAAAAACUUUUUUUUAAUUAUAAGUAAUUUUUUUUCAUGAUACUACUACUGUAAGAGCACAUUUGAUCAUGAAAAGUUGAAUAAGUUCUCUCUUGCAAGGUUCUCAUCAGUUAUAUUUUUCCAAGUAAUAUUAGUUGAGAACUUAUUUUGAAUACUGUAAAGUUAUACUCACAGUUUUAAAAAUUUGCAACUUCAGGUGCAUCCAACCAUAACGAGCUUUAGAUAGAAUUACCAUAUUCUACUACUCACAUUUUUCUUUUAAAUUAUUCCAGAAUUUAUUUAGAUUUUUCACAGUCAAAUAUUUUUCUUCCAACCCUUUAUUAGGGAUGAUGACAAAAGAAGAUCACAAAGAUUAUAAAAUAAAUAUAAAUUAAUAACUCAAUCCUCUCUUUUUUAUCCUUUCAAAAUAGACAUCUGAUACCAAUUACAGGGUAUAAAGGAAAAUGCAAAAGUCUAUUGAUUUAUUUAUUACAAAGAAAAUUUUUAUAAGGAGAGAAUGAUAAAAGAAAAAGAAAGAUUUCUAAACUAUUUUUCGAUGCCUUCUUUAGGCUUCCUCUUUCUCUAUUUAUAAUUGAAUUCUAAAACUCUAUUUAAUUUUCUUUGAAUCUCGCACAGUUUUUUGAUAAGGAUCUCGUCUCAUCAUGAACAUGGUUUGUUUCACGUUGCAUUGUCUUGUCAAGUCAUUGAUUUAAUGGUUGCUUCCACGUCUUGUCACAUUAUUGAUUUGAUGGUUGUUUCCACGUUGCAAUCUCUUUUGUUUGCAUUUGGAUGCCUUCUUUUUCAAGUUGCUUCUUGAGUACUUUCUUUCCACUUGUCUACAUGUUUUGGCUUUAUCCCUCUUGGAUAUUAUUUAGAUUCAUUUCUUCUAUGUCAUCUAGAUGUAAUGAAUGUAAUUAAAGUCUUGGUAAUGAAUUCCAAGUCUCCCACAUGCUUUUGAGUUCUUCUAUAAUAUGAUAUAGAAAAUCUUCAAUCUCCAUUUCGACUAUCUUUUUUAAUAAUCUUAUAGAUUUUUCAUCUCUAUCAUUCUAGAUGUUUCCAGUGUCAUAUGCUAAUAUUCUUCUUCCAUCAGUCCAACGUUUAUAAAUUUAUUGUUGAAGUAAAUAAAUUUCUUGAGAGGUUUAUUUACAGAGUUAGUUGAUAAAAACAACAAGACUAUUACAUAUUUUGAUAGUCAAUGUGUCAUACAUCUCACCAAAGAUCAGAUGCAUCACAAUAGAACAAAGCAUAUAGACAUUUUGUCUCAUUUUGUUCAGGAAGUGCUUGCUCAAGGAGAUGUUCAGAUUCACAAAAUCAAUAGAGAAAACAACCUAGUCGAUAUGAUGAUAAAAAUUCUUCCAAUUUUCAAGUUCUAAAAUGCUUGAACUUGGUAAGCAUCUGACAAAGAUCAAGUUAGGCCCAUAACAGGGUUCAAAAAAGAAAGUUUUUUAAAAAAUAUGAGUUAAGGUGGAGAUUUGUGGGAUUUGCCUCACAUUUCAUCCGAAACAGAGUCGAUGUCGUGAUAAGGAAUAGCCAAUGUCCUAGCGAUGCAACAAAUGAUGUCCCUACGAGAAGAACCCGUCGUCCCGAAGAUGCAACAUGUAAUGUCCCGACGAACUAAUAGCAACAUCACGACAUGGCGACGUGUUCCCUACUAAAUCAGAUUUCUUCUCAUAAUUAUACUUUGAUAUCUUUUCUAGUCGAACUCUAAUAACUCUAGGGAUAUUCUAAUCAAGUUGGCCACGAAUUUUAACCUAUAAAUAGGGCUUUUAAAACACUAGAGAGAUUGAUUCAACAACAAAAGUAAGAGAGAGUUUUUGUGGGAAUUUUUGGAGAACUUUGUAUUUUUGAGUUCAGGCUUUUUUGUUUCUCCAUCUUGUACUGCUCUUCUGUAAUUUUCCUAUUUAGUGAAGUGUUCUUUGCCCAUGGUGUUUAAUCCUCUUCGGAGGGGGUUUUCCACGUAAAUAUUUGUGUGUAAUUUUCUCAUUUUUCGUUCUUGAUCAUUACACAAUGUAGGUUUAACCCAACAUGAAUCUUGAUUAUGACAUGGUGGAAGAAGUGUUGGAAAUUGAUUUGAGAGUUUUACAUAUGUAUUGAAAUAUUUGUCAAGUUUAAAUUGCAGGUCAGUUUGAAUGAAACUAGAGGAGGUGCUAUCGAAAUUUUUGUUAAAAAUAAAAAUUCUAUAUUCUUAAAUUGAUUAAUGAGAAUUAAGUUUGAGUUGCUUCGGCAACGGAUUGUGACAUUCUAUAUUCGGAUCUACCAACUAGAUCGAUUGUAGGGUGUCACAAAAGUAAAAACUUUUAAAGAUAUUAAAGAUGCACUUUAGUCAAAAGUAACUAUAAAAAAAUUGAAAAAGAAAAGAAACAUCUAAAGGAGGAGAGGGUUGCGCACAAAAAACAUAAAAUAAACAUGGAUGGUCAACAAGCUCAUUGAAUUAUUAGCAAAUUGAGAUGAUCAUGUAAAUAAUCAAGGAACUAAUAAAUCUUGAAACCAGGGAUAGUACUAGGGUAAAUAAUUAAUAUAUAACAAUAUUUAAUUAAUUUGUAAUAAGGUUUUUGUUUGUAAAAAAAUCAUAUACAUUAUUUAAAUUACAACUCAUCAAAAUUAUAUUUAUAAUUAAUUUAAUAAUUUUAAAUGUAAAUAGUUUAUUUUUAUUAUUUAUUAUGAAAUUAUAUUUUUCUAUAUUUAAACAUUUUUUAAACAUUUUUAUUUCCAAUUAAUUAUUUUAUUUAGUCAAUAAUUAUGAACGAAUCUUAUAUAUUAUAAAUGUAACACCCUUAGCUCGACCUGAUCGUUGGGUCCAAGCUUCGAAAUGCUACAGCCAUUGCAAGAACAACUACGAAUAGUUAACAUUCAUAUUAAAACAUAAAUCAUACAAUCAUAAUCAUUUCAAAACAUAAUCAAGUUAUAUGAUCUUUCUCAAGUCUUAUACUAGCAUACUUAUGAUCUAAAGUUAACAUGGAAUCGAAUUAGGACCAAAAUUUAACAUUGUCAAAAUUCCAACUUGACAUUGCAACAUGAGGGGGUUCCUCAUUGCAACGUAACAUAAUAACUUGGGCCUCAUUGUGGAGAUGAGGUUCCUCGUCACGCUGUACCUAAAACCCAAGUCUCAUCACGAAAGCCUAUGCCCACGUCGCGACGUCGACUAUUUUCUUGGCAAAAAAUAGGCCUUUUAGUGCUUAAUCCGGAUCAACUACACCAUUAAGACAUUUAGUGCAUUAUUGCACUUUUGUACCUACUCAAAACCAACCAAAAUACAUACCAAUACAUCCAUUUAACCAUUUCACACAAUCAAACAAUACCUCAAUUUGGCAACAAAGCAUAUUCAACAACUUGUUUAAAACACAAAUUAGCAUUCAUGCCCUAAAGCCAUUCAAAACAACAUUCAAUCAUGCCAUUUCCAUGUUAAACUCAUACUAUUUGUACAUUCAAAUAAACCAUUCAAACACUAUACAUAUGGUCCAAACACAUGACCAAAAUCAUGCCUUAAUAUAAGUGUAAACAUUAACAUCUCAUGAUUUAUGUACUAUCCCAAAUUCAAAUGAAACAUAUAGUUUCAAUCUAACACACUUAUAACACCCAUGUACAAUUUACAAUACCGAGUUGCAAAAUGAGCAAAAGGCUACCGAGUUGAUAGAGGGAUGGUGUGAGCUUUGUGAAGUCCAAUCAAUAAGUUCCACAAACCAACUAUCUACAGAGAAGGAAAAACAACUAGAUAAACCUUUCUGAUGCUUAGUAAGUUUGAAGGUAAGAAAAUGGUAAACUUAUCUCGAUUUAUAAAAUAACAUAUCAAACUAAAUAAUUUUGGUAAAGAUGACCUAACAUAACAAAUCAUAAUAAUAAGGUCAGUUUACCAAAAUCCAUCACAUAUGUACCAUUUUAUAAUAUAUAUAUAUAUAUAUCAAUACCUAGUAUUUGAGUGAUUAUACAAGAAUACUAAAACUUAAUAUUCAAUUCAUACAGUAAUACACGUUUGAUCGUCAAAUAUAUUUCGAAUCAUUUAUAUUUCCCAUUACUUAUUUCCCAUAUUACUUGAUGAAACUCAAUAAACAAGCUCAAAUACAUAGGUACAAAUCACAUCGGAGGCUUAUUUGAGCUAAACAUAUAAUCAUCUUAGGUUACCAGUUCGGGCUAAAUCUUUAUAUCGACACAUCAGAGAGCUUGGCCAGAGCUAUACAUAUCGAUACGGGAUUGAAGCGGAAAAAGCAGAUCAGGACUGAAUUCAAGUUGUUUGACUCAAGAAGGAAAGAUUUGGAUAUAGUCUGAAAAGAAAAACAUAAACAAAUGUAGUAAUAAAGAAAUUGAAAAUAGUAAAGAAGAAAUUUGAGAAUAAAAAAAUAAAAAUCAUAAAUAAAUAAGAAAUAGAAAUUUAAAAAAAGAACAAAGUGGAAUAUGGACGAGUAAACCUAUGGAUAUGAUGGAUAGAAGGAUAAAUGUCUAAUUGAACCCUUUGAGAUAUAAAUCCCAAUAGACUAAAUUAAUGGCUCUAAUCAACCCUUUAAGAAAUAAUCCUUGAAGAAUGAAUUGAAUGAUGAAGAAUGAAUUCCCAUGACUUCUUGAAGAAAAUCAAGAAUAAAACUACUUUUAAAAAUCACAAGAAAGAAAUCUUGCACAAGAAAAAAACUCCCAGAGUUGAAAACUUUAUUAAUGAAAACAAUUGUCUCCUUAAUAAAAAAUGAAGAAGCCUUUAUAUAAGCUAGCUAAGUACAUCCAAAUAAAACUCUAAAGUAUACUGAAACUCUAAUUAAUCUAAAGAAAAAGUAGUUUUAAACAAAACUUUUUUAUUAACAUAAAACUUCUAAAUAACUUAAAAUACUUAAUAGUUAUAAAAAAUUCGUAAUAAUCAAAUAAUAAGAGAUGAUAAAUACAAUAUUGCACUCAUAUAUAAUAAAAAUUAAGCAAAAAAUCUGAACCAAAUAUGAUUUAAACUUGAGUUAAAAGCACAAAACUCAUAAUUCCCGUCAUAAUCCUGUCCAAAAAUUUUGCUCUUGCAGUCUUCACUAAAAUGGUCAUAAUUUGAGCUCCUGGACUCAAAAUCGAGUGAUUCAAAGUGUGUUUUAAAGCUAAGAGAUAGAACUUCAAACGCCACGAAAUUUCAACCCAAAAAUGCCUAGAUCCCAUUCAAAAAGUCGAUGCAAGUAUGCUAAUUUCCCAAACUUAAAAAUUGAUAGUUUUGGUGAAUGCAAUUUAAUAAAUUUCACCUCAUCCGUGCAUGUAUCACAUAUAUAUAUCAGGUUAUUCGUUUGAGCUAAACCUUUAAAACAAAAUCAGGUUACCAAUCCAAGCUAAACUUGUGUCACAUGUAUAUUCAAGUUCGCAACAAAUGUUGGAUUCUUGAAAUUAUCAAAAAUCAACCUGUAACCAUGUGUAUGAUACAUUUACAAAGUUGCAUCAUUGUAAUUUGUAUCAUGCAAGUUCAUAUUUAUUUUUUUUUCAAUUUAGUCCAAAUCUCACACUUUAGUACUAAAUUGAAAAUAAUCCAAAGUUCAAUAAAACAUACAUGUAUUCACAAUAUUGCAUACAUAAGGGUCUAAACAUAAUUGCACCAUAUGAACUUACCUGGUAAAAUAACAGUAAACACAACUUUGAGGACUAUUCUACAAUUUUCUCUUUCUCGCAACUAUCCUCCGACUGGUUCAAAUCUCGGUCUACUUCAUAACUUAAUUCAAAUAUCAAUUCCAAACUUCAUUUAACAACCUACUAUAACUAUGUAUCAAUUCAAUUUCAUCUAUCCAUGUUUUUUUAUUUUAUUCAGUUUAGUCCCUAAAAUUAGAAUUGUCAUAACUUUCAAAUUAAAGCUUGAUUUUGAAACUCAAUCUCGAUUUCAUCCUUCUACAGUCCUAUAAAUAUCUAUAUUUACAAAAAUUUCAUGUUAAAUUCAAAAUAUUCACACUUUAGUCCUUAUGUUCAAAACUAACAAUUUUCACUUUACAAACUAGUCAUUUGUUUCAUAUCUAAGCUUAGAAUCUAACAAUUUAACACCAAAAGUUUCAAGAUUCAAUAAUAGAAACUUUUAAAAACUUAACAUUUUUGCAAAUUGGUCCACAGGUAGCUCCUAAAACCUCAAAAACAUAAAAUUACAAUAAAAUGACUAAAUUAAGCUUACCAAUCAAGGACCUGAAGUCUUUUAAAGCCAAACCCUAUCUCUCAUUUCGUUUUCAUGAGAAAGAAGAUGAUGAAUGAAGAAGAAUAAAAAUUUUAGCUUUUGUUUAAUUAAUUUUAAUAUAUAACGUAAUUUAAUUAAAAAUUUUAACAUAUAUUCACUUAAAAGAAAACACCAACCAUCCACCACUACUUAAAAAUGGCCUAAUUGUCACUUUCAACUGUGGUUCAAUAUUAUGUAGCCCUUUUAUUAAUAAAAAUCAAUAGUGAUUAAUUUUUUACCGCUUUAUAAUUUAGUCUUUGUACCUAAUUAGUCACCAAAUCGGUGAAAUUACCUAUCCAAAAUUCAAUUCACAUAUACAGUAACUCCAUAAAUAUUUAAUAAAAAUAUUUAAGGGUUCGAUUUACAGAAAUGAGGUCCCAAUACCUCAUUGUUCAACACCACUCAUUUAAGGGUUGAAACACUUGUACUUUAACUAACAUUCAAUUAACAAAUUUGUCAAACCAAAAUUUAAUAUAAUAUUAUAAUCUUAAUCAUCAGAGAAUGGGGUUCUAAAACCACCAUUUCCAGCACCACUAAAAAAUGGAUUGCUACAAUAAACAUCAAUUAAAUUAUUAUUUUUGUAUGUAUAGUUAUUAUUAUGUCAAAUUUUUAUUUUAAACUUAUGGUCAAUUAAUUAUUUAGAUUUAAAAUAUCUUUCAAAUGAUAGCAUUUUUUACUUUGGCAUAAUGAUAAAAAAUUAACCCCUAAAAGUUGUUGCUUUGUCACUUUUGUUAUAUUUCUUUUUUUUUUUUGGACCACUUUGUCCCCUAGCAUUCAAAUUUUAGUUAAACUGCAUUUCUUUAGGUGAAAAUUUUGGUUAAACUAUUAAAAUUUUAAUGGCAUCAACAUGACAAUUUGCAUAUUCUUCAUAAAAAUUUAAAAAAUUAUUAAAAUUAUUAAAAUUUUGAUAAAGUUUAAAAAAUUCAGUAAUUUAUACUCUAAAAAGAAGUACAAGUAAACUAUUAUGUAGGGUACAACAUUAGUGUCAUUAAAAUUUUAAUAGUUCAACCAGAUUUCCAUCCACAAAAAAUAAUUUGACUAAAAAUUGAAGGUUGAUGACCAAGGUGAUCCAAAAAAAUAAGGUUAAAGUAACAAAAUGGAUAUACAUUAGGGGUUAAAUUUAUCAUUAUGCCCUAAGCUUUUUAAAAUAAAGAUAAAAUUAUUUUAAUAUGUAGUGGUUUGAAAUUUUAUAAAUUAUAUGAAUUCUUUUAUGUUUUUUUACCAUAAAAUUAUUUUAUAUUAUUAAAUAUUGCUAAUAAUAAAUAUAUUAUAUAAUAUACACAGUAAUAUCUUUCACGUGAGUUAAAACUAAUUCCAAUUUUCAGAAAAUGAGACAUGUCCAAAGCAAAUUCAAUUAUUUAAUCAUUUGAAACUUGAGUCUUCAUCCUUGCAACUUAUGUUAUGCUUCAAUAAAUGAACCCCACUUUGAGACAUUUUGAGGAGACAAAGUAGUUAUAGAAAUAAUUAUAAAAUGCAUAAAUAAAAUAAAACAAGAUCUCAAGAAAUAAAUUGAAACAACGCAUACAGAUUAAGCUCCAUCUAUUGUAAUUUAACACUAUAUUUCUCUCGAAACUAGGAAAUUUAGAAGCAAACUAUUUAAAAUCAUACACCAUCGGGCUGCUUUAGGUUCAAAUGUGAUUAUGUACAAAUGAUAAUCUGAUUACAUACUUAGCGAGCACCUUCAAGUUCAAAUGUGAUUCUGUUAUUUAUGCUAUCAUACCCCAUCCCUAUCGAGCUGCUUGUCACACCAUCGUCGUAAGUGCUGGGAAACUUACCAAGCAAGUAUUCAGAUUCUUCGCUUACUAAAUUACUUUUACUCCAAGGAUGUUUAGCCAUUGCUUGCAGUCCUGCUAAUUCAUGGGCAACUUCCUUCAUUGUUGGCCUUUCCUCUCCCUUCACUCUCACACAUCUCCUAGCUAAAGUUGCUACUUCCAUAAGCUGCCCAACAUUUUCAUCAUUAAGCACUCGAGGAUCGAGAAUGUCAAGCAAACGGUCUUCUUUCAUCAAAGAGGUGAAGUACAUUGGCAAAACUCGAUUUUCUUCCGGUCUUUUGAAACAUACCACUUUUUGUCCUGUUAACAACUCCAUAAGCACAACCCCAAAGCUGUAGACAUCACUUUUUUCAGUAAGAAGGCUUGAAAGCAUGUAUUCAGGAUCCAACUAACCGAAAGUUCCUUGCACAAUUGUAGUUAUUUGUGCUUGGUCGGAUGGGAUCAAUCUGGAAGCCCCAAAAUCAGAAACUUUUGCGGUGUAAUUGUCAUCUAACAGUAUGUUCGCCAACUUGAUGUCUCGGUGAAUGAUUGGAAUGGAAGCUGCAGAGUGCAAAUAAGAAAGGGCUUCUGCUGUUUCAGUGGCUAUUCUCAAACGGGUCUCCCAUGAAAGAUAAGAG
RNAcentral lists this long non-coding RNA (100287 nucleotides) under Gossypium barbadense (sea-island cotton). Its description in RNAcentral is "long non-coding RNA (GBAR_LNC014029)". Lineage: Eukaryota; Viridiplantae; Streptophyta; Magnoliopsida; Malvales; Malvaceae. The record is from RNAcentral.